AUUGAGAAGGCCAGCUGUCCCAAAACUCUAGAGGAAUUGUGUCCGAAAUUCCAGUAUUGGAAAGAUCAAGAAAGGUAAGAUUUUUAAGUGUCUGAAUAAUCCAUUUGGGGAAGCGAGGCCCUAGCAGCUUGCAAGAGCUCAGAUCAAGAUAUUUAACAUAAGAGAUGUUUGACAAGUGAUAUGUGGAAGGAACUGUAAGAUUAUUAAAAGAAAGGUCAAGGGUUCGGAGGCUGGGUAGUUCCCACAGUUUCUCACUUAUACUUCCAUUUAAGUGAUUAUGAGAUAGGUCCAAGUAUCGUAGGGAUGAAAACUUUUGGAUCUCAAUGGAAAAUGACCCUGUAAAUUGGCUUCCUUGAGCAGACAACUCUUGUAAUGAAAGGGAUGUGCAUCCAGACAAGUUGUGGAGAAAAUCAGGAAAUUUGACAGCAGCAGAGUUGUUAGAGAUGGAUAAAGUUUCCAGACUACAGAGGUUACCAAGGUAUUUGGGUAUCCCAUCUAACAUGUUGCCAGAGAGCAAAAGAACACGAAGCUUAUUGCUGGUUAAUGGGAACAACCAACGAUACAUGGAUGAGGUUAGAUUGUUGUCUUGUAGAGAAAGGGUAUGAAUGGAUAAAGAAGAAGAAGAAGAGUUGAGAAAUGAAGAAGAAUAUGGAUACAUGACCUGUGACAGCUCACAUCCCUCUAAAGAUAAAUAUGAGAGUUUCCGGAGACUCAGAAUGACAUCUACCCAGUGAUUUUGUUUGGCUAGGGAAAUCCCACCCAUUCUCAGGGACUGCAAAUGAGAGAGAUGAGACAACCACUCUACCUUUUCAACUCUACACCUUCCAACAGAAUUAAGAUGAAGGUGCUGCAAGUUGGUGAGGUUUCCAAACUCUGGAGGGAUGGGUCCAUAAAAAGAGUUAACGGAAAGGUCAAGGUAACUUAACUCUGUCAAGGAACCAAUUGACCUGGGAAUGGUCCCAUUAAAAUGAUUCACGCUAAGGUUAAGGUACCUUAAUCGAGUCAAAGAACCAAUGAAGGUGGGAAUGAUUCCAUUGAAAGCAUUCAAGCCAAGGUUAAGGUACCUUAAUCGAGUCAAAGAACCAAUGAAGGUGGGAAUGGUUCCAUAAAAAGCGUUACCGUAAAGGCCAAGAUGAUUCAAGUAGGUUAAGUUAAGCAGUGAAUGGCUUAUCUCACCUUGAAGCCAAUAUUCAUUGAGAUCAAGCCCUGUGACAUGACCUGUUUGGUUGCUGCACACGACUCCUCUCCAUUUACAGCAAUCAUCAUCUUCUGCUGUCCAUGUAGAGAGAUAAUCAUAAGGGUCUUGAAAGGGAGCUUUGAAAAGAAGGAGAGCAUCUCUCUCCUUAUCCAAACACUUCUUUUUCAUAUCAUUUCCUCCUGCAGCUACCAAUUGGCUGCCAGUUGUAGUCACAAGGAGUAGCAAGAGAAGUGAGGAAAUUAUAAAAACACAAGAAUUCAUAAUGUAAAUCAAAAUCUUAUGUGCUGAUUUUUGGUUUGUAUUGAUGCCUGCCUAUAUGAACUGCCCCCAUAAGGGUUUAUAUAGUCUCCACUGUCAAGAUGAAUGACUAUAAGUGGGUGGCCAUUAAUUGUGUGGAAUUUCUUUCCCCAUAUUAAACUUCAAAGACUUGCAAGUCUUGGCAAUUUGUCUUUAUUAUAGUAGAUAUCUUUCCCCAUCUUCUGAUAUGAUAUUGUUUGGUAUAUGAUAUAAAUCCCCAAAUGCAAAACUAAUGGAAUCUUUCAGUCAAAUACAAAUCUACCAAUGAUAUCAAUAAUGAUAUUAUUUGGUCUUUUCCAUUGUUAAAAAUGAUAUUUAAGAUAACACUGCAUUAAUAAUGAUUCGAUUUAAAACAGAUUAGGAUGAUAAUUAAUACAAUUUUUCAACGUUCUUUUGUCCAAAUAAAAUGACUAUAAUUAAUAUCAGCUAUACUCGAUCGGGGACCAAAUAUAGUCAGUUUAACUGAAACAUGGACCAAAGCAUUUCAAGAACCUCAAAUAAGGACCAAAACUAAAAAUUUCAGCUAUACUCAGGGACCAAAAACGUUUUAUUUUACUCAAAAAUAAACAUAACAUACAUAAACAGAAGUUUUCAUUUGCAACAAAUCCUACCUUCUGUUUACCUAAAUUAAGCUCCUGUGAAUCAAAAAUCACAUAUUAAAGGCUCCAAUUCUGCAACUGUCUUUUCUGACCAGCAAUUUGUAGCUUCUGAAGCUCCACUCCAUUCACCUCUAUCAUUUUGCACUACUCAUUUAAAAUUUUUUAAGAAAAUCAUGUUAUUAAUAUUAAUCUCAAAGACAACGUAUUGAUGUAUUAAGUAUUAUAGUAUCCUACUUUCAUAGUUUGCUACCUCUUGAUGUAAUACAAGGGGUAUGUUGGCCAUUUAAAGACAUCCAGGAGAAUACUUUUUCCAAAAAAAAAAAAAAAAAGAAGCCGUUAAACUGGAUACAAAUUACUAAAAAUAAUUAUCGAAAUGAUCAACUUAGAUUCUGCUUCAUAGAGGUAUGUAGAUAACUAGUUCUUAACUGAUAUGAGUAUUAUUAUAUGAAAAUAUAUUUUUGCUCGUGUAUUGAAUGUAAAAAACCGUGAAAGUAUAAUGAUGUUUUAGUUACAAAACCUUAAUUGAGAUGCUCAUUACAAUAUGAUAGAUAAUUUUCUUUGUACAUGAAUUAAUUUUUUUUUUAAAAAAAAUACAUGAAAGUAUAUCCAAUAAAACUUUCAUUUUACUCUCUAUGAUAACUGUUAGAAGAACACAUUAAGUAAUUAGUAAUUAGCCUAUCCAUCAAUUAAACUACAUAGCUUCUCCAGUUCAUACUUUCAAUUUUUUUUUUUAUAAAAAAUACAAAUUGCAAAAUAUCACAAGAUGAGAAAAGAUAUCUACAAUAAAGACAAAUUCCCAAGACUUAUAAGUCUUUGAACGUAUAAUUUGGGGCCAUUAAUUCCAAUUCUGCAUCUAUGAUUUUUCUUAUAGUCUUGUUCUAAUUUUAUGGAGAAUAAGUAUUGAUGGAAAUUGUGUAUGCCUCAUAUAAGUGGCCACCAAUUUGAGGCCACCCUCAUGGGCCCAGGAGCAUGUUUGGGCCUUCUAACACAGACCAAGAAUUACUUGUUGUGGAGCCCACUUUUAACAAUUCUCAUCACAUCACUUUUUUAAAAGUGAUGUAUCUUUGAAAAUAUCACAAGUUUGGAAAAGAUCUUGAUAAUAAAUUCAAAUUGCCAAGACUUGCAAGUCUUUGAACGUCUAAUUUGGGGCAGUGUAUUAUAACUCUUCAUCUUUAAUUUGUCUUCUAGUUUUAGGUUCUAAUUUCAUGGAAAUUAAGCAUUGUGUGUUCCACCCAUUUAGAAUCAUUCAUCUUCAUGGAGACUAUAUAAACCCUCAUGGGCCUGUUCAUAAAGACAUCAACACAAUACUAAAAUGUCUUAAUAGAGAAUAAAUGAAAGUACAAUACUGCAAUAACAAAAAGAUUAAUGAAUGUACGUUGCUAUUUCUUACAUUUAACCCUUUUGCAUUUGACCAAAUGUAUUAUCAUCAAAGUCACAAUACAAAUUAUCACAAAGUGUAGUAGAUUAUGGUGUUAAUGAGAAGCCGAAUACAUUUGCUCUCAUCCAAAACAAUCGAUCAACUUAACCCCUGGUGAUUUUAGCAUUUACCUCUUCUAAAAGCUAAGUUUGAAAGAUAUCAUCAACAACACUAAUUCAACUGCAAUCAAAUAAUAUUAUGUUGCACCUACUUGUGCAGCUAGAUCCGUUUGUUUAUUGCUGGGUUUGAUAUGGAGAAUGUUAGUGAAUGCUAGUGUACACAAACAUUAGCUUAGCAAUGUAGGCACAAUCAACCAACAGAACAGAUGCUCAUAAGGUAGCUGGAAGAAAAGAUCAGAUAAAGACCAGAACACGCUCCAUUUUUACAUUUAUAUUAUUGAUAACUGAGAAAUAAAACCCAUCGAUCAGUAAAAAUCAAUGGCCUUUUCCAUGGCAAAACCCUGAAUUUGCAGGUUAUGCAAAUAAUAUAAACUCACAAGUCUGUCUCCUAAUCUAACAAUAGAUUAGAUGCACCUGAAGAAUACCCAAAAUGAAGCAACAAUACAGAAGUAGGACAUCACCUAGGCAAUGAUGUGUGCGUGGUUGCUCUGCUACGAUGCUCGGAUUUGGAACCCUCGUUGACUGAUUUUGAUUGUAGAGGAAAAAUGGUGUAUUGGAUGGCACAUAGAUCUCACGAUCCUAUCUGGAUCUUGCGAGCAUAAUCACGAAUCUUGUUUCAAAAUCAGAAAUUAAUUUCUGAUGUAUCGAUCACGAGCGCGAUAAACAAAGCUUGUCCAGUCAUACAAGAGCAGCCUGUUUGUGACCUUAGAAUUGGGAAUUUGGUCUAAAAUGGUAAAAGAAAGGUUUUUUUUUUUUUCCAGGUUAAGUAUAAUAACUUUUAUCAUAUUCUCUAAGUCCCAUAUAGGGACAGGAUUUGGCCCGAAAACCCGAAUCGAACCGAAUUAGAUCCGAAUAAGCAAUUCGAUUCAGUUUUCGGGUAUCUAUAUAAGGCUUAUUCGGUUUUCAGGUUAUUUGGUCCGGGUUACCCGAAUAAGGGCUUAUUCGGUCCAAAUUAAAGGAUUGAACCGAAUAUGAAAAGUCACAUUUUUUUCCACUUACACGAUUGCUUAUUCGGUCUUGUGUUCUAUCGAUCGUUACCCAAAAUACCCACGUAAUAUUUAAUAUUUAACUUAUAUACUUAUAGAUAGAUUUUUGGGUGUUUUACAUGUUUAAUGUUUAGUGUUUAAUAUGUUGUUUAAGAAUGUGGUCGUUAGAUUUUACAUUUUAUAUAUCAAUAAUAGUUAAUCUGUGUUAUUUGUCUUUAUCAUAAGCUACAAAAGUCAUACAAAAUACAAUAUUUAUAAUCACAUUGUAAAUGUUAUUUGGAUUAUUUGGGUUAUUCAGCUCCUUAAUUAUCUUCUACAUGUUAUUUGGGUUAUUUAGGCCGGAACCGAACCGAAUUGAAUAAUACCCGAACCGAACCGAACCCGUAUUGCUUAUUUGGUUCGGUUUUCGGUUCAUAUAAUUACCCUUAUUCGGUUUUCGGUUUAUUCGGGUUCGGAUCGGUUCGGUUCCGACCUGAAUAACAUCCCUAGUCCUAUAUAAACAAAAUUAAUAAAUUUAUAAAGGCCUUAGGGUAUUAAAAGAGGAAAAAGAAUGUCCCGAACUUUUACCAUACUUAUGAAAAAAAUUAAAAAUUAUGUCUUCUUUUAAUAGAAAAAACAAGAAAUUAGGUAAUUUAUUCAUUUUUGGGAUAUUACAAAGUUCACUCUAAUUCAAUGGAUUGAUUUGUUGAACCAAAUGUUAGGUGAGUAUACUAGAUGCUUAGGUGGCCGGUAGGGUUAUAUUGAAACCCAAUACACCUUAUUUGAUAAUCUGGUUAACCCUAAGUCGUAUAAGGAGGAGGGAAAUGGAACCAUUUUCUUUUGUGGGAAGGGUUCUACUUUGAACACACCAAUCUAUAUUACCAUCCUGUACCAUUAGGUUUACUUUUUAGUUUAUUAUUACCUUAUUAUUAUUGACUUUACUUUUUAAAUUAUCAUUACUAUAUAAUUAUUAUUUCAUUACUUUUUAAUAUUAUUUCAAUAUAACCUAAUCAAUAAAUCAUUAUUAUUUAAUGAUUAUAAUUUUAGCUUUUGUUAUUUAUUUAUUUGUUUAUUUUGAUACUUCGUGAUCAUUUAGCCAACGAUUUAAGUUCAUAUGUACUGCUAUUUUACUGGACUCCAAAGCAAUUACAUGUCCAUUAUUUUACUACUAUAAUCUAAAAAAAUCUUUUACGUCGUAGUAUAUUGUCAUUAUGAAAUUAAAAUAACGUUAAUUUUUAGACUAAUUUGAAAAUGGCUAACUAAAAAAAAAAUUCUAAACUGACUAUCAUAUUUAUUGUUAUAAAAUAAUAGUUUGUGAAUGACCAUUGGAUUCUUUAUUUCUCUCAUAACUCCCCAUCAUUAUUUAGCAUUAGUAACAACCAUUUCAAUGUGUUUUAUGAAUGUAAUAAUACACCAUCAUAAUGUGCAUUCAUAUUAUAGCUCAUCUUUCAUCUUAUUUGGAUAGUAUAAAUAGUGAGCUAUAUGUAUUAGGCAUCUGAUGAUUUUCAUCACAAAUAUUGGAAUAAAAGUUCUCUCUACUCUCAUGUCUUUCUUUACUCUAUAAAUUAUCUUAUUAUUUGAUCAUAUUUUAUAACACGUUAUCAGCACGACUCUACCAUAGAGCUCUAACUCCUUAUUGUUCUUGUUAUUUUCAGGUAUAUAUUUUUAAUAGUUUUACAUAUAUAAUGCUUACAACUUAUUUUAAGGAAUUUCUUAACUAACAAUUCUUUAACAUACAAGUCUUUAUUUUGACUUUUAUUUUCAUUAUGGAAAAUCAUGCUAGAGAAAACUUUCUCUAGUUUUCAUAUUACUAACAUGCUCCUGCAGUAGCAAUAUCAAGAGAAAAGUUUAAAAUAAAUAUGAAUUAAUCUCAUGUCUUCUUGUGGCUAAACAAAACAAUGAGUUGUUGAUGAAAAAUCACCAAUCAAUCCCGAUCGGUUCUAGUGCAUUUCCUGAAGUGAAUGCCACAUCAUAUAAUCAUAAUAGUCAUGGGUCUAACCGUGGCCGUGGAGGUUAUUAUAAUUAUCAUAAAAAUAACAAGAUUACAAGUAACCACCAGAAGUUGGAAAAUAGCAAAAAUCCACAUCCUAAUGAUAAAGUGGUCAAGGCAAAAAAAAAAGUUUAAAAUGUUUGUCAUUGAUGUUGAAUGACCGAUCAUUGGUCUUGUACAUAUCGCUUGCCAAAGCAUUUUGUUGAUAUUUAUCAAGCUUAUCUAAAAUCUAAAGAAAAAUAAAAUAUCAAAACAAAUUUUAUUCAAAGUGAUAUUCAUGAAGAUCAAACAGAAAUGACAUAUUUGGAUGUUGCCGAUUUUCUUGUCUACCCAGAAGAGACAAGUGGUGAUAUGGAUGGUGAUUGGAGAAUAAUGUGUAGUUUUGUUUCAUGUCAUAUAUUAUGCUUUUAUGUCAUAUUCAUAUUGUGAGAAAUGAUACCAUCACAAUCUUAUUAAUGAAAUAAAAUAUGAAUUUAUUUCUCUAAGAUGAAUGUUUCUUAUGUUUUAUUUAUUUAUUGAAAAGAAAUAUGGAUAUUCGCAAAAGAAAUAAUGAAGAUAUAUUUCUUGCAGACAAUGCAAUAACACAUAGCAUUUUUAAUAAUGAAAAAUAUUUUUCUUACAUAUCAAUUAGAGAGCAAAUGUUAAUAUAAUAACAUGUAAUGGAAAAAUGAUUGAAAGCUCCGGAAGAGCGAAUAUAAUAUUACAAGGGACACUAUUACAAAUUANNNNNNNNNNNNNNUAUUUUCGUCUAAAUCACCAAGAUUGAAGGCUCCGGAAGAGCGAAUAUAGUAUUACCACAAGUGACAAUAAUUACAACUGGUGAUAUAUUAUUUCAUUAAAAUCAUCAAGAAAUUUAUUAAGUUUUAAGGAUAUUCAGUCUAACGGAUAUCAUAUUGAAACAAAUAAUGAUGGUAAUCAAGAUUAUCUCAACAUUACAAAAAUGAUAUCGGGUAAGAAAAGUUUUUGGAAAAAUUACCUGUAUUUUCCUCUCGAUUGUACUAUAAAAAUAUUACAAUUAUUCAUACUAUUGAAAAUAAAAAAGGUAUGAUAAUACCUUCAAAGUUUGGCAUGACCGGUUGGGUCAUCUCAGAUCAAUUAUGGUAUGUAGAAUAAAUAAAACUUCGAGUGGUCAUUCCUUGAAAAACCAGAAGAUUUUUCAAGAUAAUGAAUUGUCUUGUGUUGUGUGCUCUCAAGGAAAAUUAAUUUCCCCAUCCAUCAUUAAACAAAGUUGGGUAUGAAAGUCGUAGUUUUAUAAAAAAAUCAAAGGGAUAUAUGUGGACCAAAUCAACUACCAUGUGGACCAUUUAGAUAUUUUAUGGUUUUAAUUGAUGAGUCAACUAGAUGGUCACAUGUGUGCUUGUUGUCUAGUUGUAAUUUGGUUUUUGAAAGAUUACUUGCAUAAAUAAUCAGCCAAAAGGCACAUUUUCCAGAUUACCCAAUUAUGAAAAUUAGACUUGAUAAUGUUGGAGAAUUUACAUCAGAAGCUAUUAACGAUUAUUGCAUGUCGAUUGGAUUGAACACCCUGUUACACAUGUUCAUAUGCAAAAUGGUCUAACUGAUUCAUUAAUCAAACGUCUUCAAUUAAUUGCAAGACCAUUACAAAUGCGUUAUAAACUUCCUAUAUCGAUAUGGGGGCAUACAAUUUUACAUGCAACAUCAUUUAAAUUCAUAAUGCCAACUAGUUAUCAUUAGUUCUCCCCUAUUCAACUGGUUUGCAGUUAGGAACCAAAUAUUGCACAUCUAAGGAUGUUUGGAUGUAUAAUUUAUGUACCCAUUUCUCCACCUCACCGAACAAGAAUGGGUCCUCAAAGAAGAAUGAGAAUUUAUGUUGGAUAUGAAUCUCCAUCUUUAUUAAAUUAUUUAGAACCAUUAACUGGAUAAUUAUUUAUAGCUAUAUUUGACGAUUAUUAUUUUGAUGAACAUAUUUUCCAACAUUAGGGGAAGAAAUAAAGAAGUUGGAAAAUAAAAUCUCAUGUACUAGCUAUAAUGAUCCAGUUAGAAUUGAUAUCCCAGAAGAAAAAAUACAACUACAAAUGAAUCUAAGUCAUGCCUGAGGCGUGAAAGAACAACUUGUUCUAAAGAUAAAAAUCCUUGAAAAUAAAUGGGAAAAAAUAUAAUGAAUGGUCAAAAAGAGAAAACAAUAUCUUUUGAAAAAAUUAAUGAAGCUCUAGAAGAGCCAAUGACAUAACAAAAGAAUAUAAGGUACCUGAAAAAAAUGAAAAUGAUGAGAUCUCAAUAAAUUAUGUCAUGACAGAAAUAAGAUGGAACCAACAUAAGACAGAAGUCGGCGAUAAUUUUUCAUAUCAUGUUCCGCAUGUGAUUAUAAAGAAAAUGAGGAUCUUGAACCAAAAUCUAUUGAGAAAUGUAUGAAUAGAAAAUAUUGACCAAAAUGGAAAGAUGAAAUAAAUAAAGAGUUCAAUUCUCUUACUCAACGAAAAGUUAUUGGACCUGUAGUCCAUACACCAAACAGAGUAUGAACAGUGCGACACGAAUGGGUAUUUGUGCGCAAAAGAAACGAGAAAAAUGAAGUUGUGAGAUAUAAAACAAUACUUGUUACACAAGGUUUUACCCAAAGGCCUGAAAUUGAUUAUGAAGAAACUCUCGGGUAGUUGAUGCAAUUACAUUCAGUUAUUUUAUAAGUUUAACAAUAUAUGCAAAACUGGAGAUGUGUCUAAUGGAUGUAUUUACCGCCUAUUAUAUGGUUNUUGAAAAUUAUAUUUAUAUGAAAAUCCCAGAAGGGUUUAAGGUGCCAGAAGCACAAACUUCUAAUUCUCGUGAAGUAUAUUUGGUAAAGUUAAAUAAAUCUUUGUAUAGAUUGAAACAAUCUGGCCGUAUGUGCUUCAAUUGUUUUAGUACAUUUCUAUUGAAAUAGUGCUAUAAAAAUGAUCCAUUAAGCCCAUGUGUAUUCAUAAAACGAUGCAGAUAAGAGUUUAUUAUAAUUGAUGUUAUUGUAGAUGAUUUGUACAUAAUUGAAACUCCUAGAGAAUUGGAAAAGGUCACUUCUUGUUUGAAAGAAAUUUUUUUGAAAUGAAUGAUCUUGGGAAGAUGAAAUUCUAUUUGGGUCUUCAAAUUAAGCACACAAAAUGGAGUUUUUGUACAUUAAUAUCUAGAAACGGUGCUAAAAAGGUUUUAUAUGAAUAACUCACAUCCAUGAGUAACCUGAAGGUGGUAAGGCAAUUAGAUGCCAAAUAAGGACCAACUUCAGCAUCAUAAAUAACAUGAAAAUCUUCUUGUUCCAGAAGAACUAUAUCCUAGUGCUAUUGGUGCACUAAUAUAUCUUACUAUUAAUACAAGACCUGAUAAAUCUUUUGUCGUAAACUUAUCAGCAAGAUAUAGUUCUUGUCCAGCAAGAAGAUACUGGAAUAGAGUCAAACACAUUCUUUGAUAUCUUCGAGGUACAAUAGAUAUGAAUUUAUACUAAUCAAAUUCAUAAAAUGCAAAGUUAAUUAGUUAUGCAGAUGCGGGAUAUUUAUCUGAUCCACACAAAGCUCGAUCCCAAACAUGUUAUUUAUUCACUUGUGGAGGUAACGUAAUUUCUUGUCAUUUUGUUAAACAAAAUUUAGUUGCUUCUUAUUCUAACCAUGCAGAGAUUAUAACAAUUUAUAAGGCAAGUCAUGAAUGUAUUUGGUUAAGAAAUUUAACUCAACACAUUUGCAAGAAUUGUGGUCUAACUUCUAAAAGGGAUGUUCCAACCAUACUAUAUGAAGAUAAUACAACUUGUAUAGCUCCAUUCAAGGAAAGAUUUAUCAAAGGCGACAAAACCAAACAUAUAUCACCAAUUCUUUUUUCACUCAUGAUCUUCAAAAAGAACGUGGCAUCAACAUCCAGAAAAUUCAAUCAAGUAACAACUUGGCAGAUUUGUUCACUAAAGCGCUCCCUACAUCCAAAUUUGAAAACAUGGUACGAAAUAUUGGAAUGCGACGCUUUAAGGAAAUCAAGUGAUGUGAUGAUCAGGGGGAGUUGGAACAUAUUGUACUCUUUUCCUUAGCUAUGUUUUUCUCACUGGGUUUUCUUAGCAAGGUUUUUAACGAGGCAAUUGUUCGAAAUAUCUAUUAUUAAUUAUGUACUUUUUUUCCUUAAUAAAUGGUUUUUCCCAUGAGGUUUUACCUAUUAAGGUUUUAACGAGACAUGAUACAAUCGUCAUUAGUUUGUGAAUGACCAUUGGAUUCUCCAUUUCUCCCAUAACUCCCCAUCAUUAUUUAGCAUUAGUAACAACCAUUUCAAUGUGUUUUAUGAAUGUAAUAAUACACCAUCAUAAUGUGCAUUCAUAUUAUAGCUCAUCUUUCAUCUUAUUUGGAUAGUAUAAAUAGUGAGCCAUAUGUAUUAGACAUUUGAUGAUUUUCAUCACAAAUAUUGGAAUAAAAGUUCUCUCUACUCUCAUGUCUUUCUUUACUCUAUAAAUUAUCUUAUUAUUUGAUUAUAUUUUAUAACAUUUAUGAUUAUAUACAUAGUUGAUAAAAACAUUAAAUACGACAAUACGCCAACAUACCUUUGGUUAAGUUAUAAGAAUGAAAUGGAAUUUAAAUUGUACAAUUUAAUAAUCAAUAAAUCAUUAUUAUUUAAUAAUUACAUUUUUUUACUAACUUAAUAAAUAUUAAUGAUUUUAUAUUUAUUUUUUAUUAAGAUAAAAAAACAACAAUAAUAUAGUUUUUAUAAUAUAAUAACAUAAAUACUAUUAUAAAAAAUAAAAGUAUAAAUAAAUUUUUAUCAACCUAAUAUCAUCGAUAUUAUAAGAAAUAAAAUCCGAACAAAUCUUUAUCAUUUUUUUAAUUUUAAAUAUUACAUAACAAAAAUCCAAGACAAAAAAUAAACAACAACUAAUCAUCUAUAGUCAUAACAGAUGUUUUCUAUAGGUCUGAGGCGCUUAUAAAAUUCUAGAUGCAACUUAUAUAUAGUUUCCCAUUCGGCUGCGGAUGAGUCUUUGUGGCGGAUCCAUAUUGCUGAAAUAGGAGGCAUCGGGUACUCUCCUUCUAACUGUGCCAUCACAUAGUGAUUGGUGUAUACGUGUGCAAGUGUAAGGACACGAUGAUUUUGAAACUCACUAUGAUUUUGAAACUUACUAGGACCUCUCCAUAGAGGGGAAAAGGUUAUAGAACCUAUUAUGGUGAAAAAUUGAAAUAUCACACCAAACCUGUUGGCUAUCAGGAUACUUGUCUCGUCUCAGGCAUAAGCAUAUAGUGUUCUGGUGGUGCUAUCCUAUCUAUCAUGAAGAAAGACAAUGAAUCAAGUACUCUAUCGCAUCCAAUGAAAACUCUAGAAUAGUCUUCAUAUGAAGUCAAUAACUCAUCAUACAGUUCUCGUACGGAUGAUCAUCAACAUUAAGAUUUCCAUAAUCCACAAAUACACAAGGCUUAAAAUCAAGCGUUCUCCAAAAAAUAUCAAUUGAAUCCAACGGAAUAGGUGAACGUAUAGUAAAAAAAUCAAAAUGUUAUAAAGUGAUUAUACAUAUAAACAUUGUCAAUUUAAUACAAUACAUUUGACAUACCUGUAUCGACAUUCAUCGCAAGUUUGUGAGCACAUGGUAAACUAAAACAUGUCCGUAGUUAACAGCCACAAUUCUCAGGAGUUGGUACAAAUCUUUUUAACCGAUGAAGCUCUUCUAAGAUUUUAUCCAAAGCAUGCUCUGAAACAUGAUGUCGUAGUGAAUUGAAUAUCUCAUCUUUAAACUUUGGCUUACGAAUGAUUAUGCUCCUUGUGAAACUCUCUUUAAUAGUUGUGUCUUGUGACUGUACAACUCUUUCAAUAACAUAUAUGAAUUUUACGGCAAGGUUUAUUAAUAGAUAUCAUAAAAUUAAAAGGUUUAAAUUAUGAAUUUGAUGUAUCUAAGGGUUAAUUUGUAAAUAAACAAGAAAAAAAAAAGCAAUACAAAAUAUUUUGCAUUAAUAUAUUAUAAAUUAAAUAAAAGUCAUUGGAAAAUACUUUAUUAUAAGCUUAUAGUAAAUAAAAUUAAUUUAACAGUAAGGUUUAAUAAUAAAUGUCGUAAAAUUUAAAUGUUUAAAUUAAGAGUUUGAUGCACCUAAGGUUAGUUUGUAAAUAAAUAGCCAAAAAAGAUAUAAAAAAUAAAGGAAUAGGAAAAGAUAUAAAACAUUAGUGGCAUCUUAGCAGCCAAAAAGGGGGGCGCGUGGCUUUUUUCUUGAAAAAGAAGUGCAUUGGUUUUUGUAGAGUGCAUAUUGAUAUUAGAUGGGCGCCAUUAAAUUUUGUAAUAUUAGAUUGGUGUAUAAUAGGGUUCAAUAGUUUGGUGUGUAAAAUAAAAAACCCUUGUGGGAAUUUGAAGCGAAUGAAGUGCAACUUGAUCGGUUUGUCAUUGUGAAAGGUGUAGGUGCACUUGUGGAUAUCAAUGUCCAAAAUGGGUUUCGUGGAUUCUAAUGAUGUAGACUCUUUGGUUGCCCUAAUUUAAGAGCAAAGGAAGUAAAUUUUGCACAUGUUAAUAAUGAUUUUACUUUUAAAGGAUGUAAUGGUCUAACCUACUUGAUGAAGAGAAGAAUUUCAAAUAUUUUUCUUGGAUAUACCAUGCAUUACCCAAUUGGACCCAACAAAUAGUACAAUGAUAAAAUGUUUGAUUUGUACACGCUUGCAAUGCUAACGAUACUAAAAUUGAAGAAAAUGUAGAAAAUGAAGUUGACUCGUUAAAGGAAUGUGGAUAAAUCGAGUAUCCAAUUUCAAGAUCAGCUCCCAAAAGUUUUUCAAAUCACAAGGAAAUAAGUUCCCACAUUAGGAAGUUAAAUAUCAUUUUCCAGCCAUUUAAAAGUCAAUGCCACAUAAAAUAUAUAUUACAUAUUUCAUAAAUCAGGAAUGUAAUGUACGGAUACAAUUAUUCUUAACCUGAUUCAAUCUCCUAAUCCAAUUUACCAUGUUAACAGCCCUAGACCCACUCUGUGAUGUACCAACGUCAUCUUUCCUAAAUUGGUUCCUCUUAUUGUAACCCACAUUCUUUUUUCCUAACCUAAUAAACUCACUAUAGUAUUUUACCACACAUAUACACUUCUUCUUUCUCAUCAAAUCCCAAUGAGCUCGCCGUAGUACUUAAUGACAUAUGUACACAUCCUCUUGUUCAUUACAUACUAAGUUUUAGUAUUUUACCCACAUGUGUAUGGUGCUGUUUGUUUUUUUGAAAAAACAUCUUCAGACCUGUUAUUGUUGUGCGACGCAACACACGCGGAACACGUUUCAUCUCGCAGCUGUUUGUUUUUCAGAAGUCUUCGGAUUAAAAAAUAUUUGUGCGUGUUCUUCUUGGUGCAACACUUGUUUUGUCUCUUUCUACCUCUUCCAACCUCUUUUUUUUUCUUGCUACAAUAUUGAUUAUAUAUUGCUGAAAUCUUAUUUCAUUUUUUUUCGUUUUUCUUUUCUUGUUGAACUUUUUUCUUUUUUCUAUAUUGAAUAAUAUUAAUUUGGUGAUGAAAUAUCAUUAUUUUAUGCUAAAAUAUUUUUAUUUUUUGUUAAAAUAUCAUUAUUUUUUGUUGAAAUAUCAUAAAUUCUUGCUGAAAUGUCAUACAUUAUUAAAUUUUCGGUACUAAAAAAACUAUUUUCGUAUUAUAAAAUCAGUUAAUUUUAAAUUUUUAAUAUCUGCAGCAGUAUGCAGAUGCUAAAAAAACAAACGCGCUUCUUAUUACAGUCUGCAGCCGUUUGAUCCACCUCUUCUACUACAGAGGGCUACAAAGGUGGUCCGCAGACUUUAUGGAUUUUUUAUUUCAAAAAACAAACAACACUUAAGUUUGCACACAUAAGUGAGACAUUAAUGGAAUGUCAUCACAAACCCUUAGUAAAAUUUCAAGAUCCCAAUCCAAGUGAACUCUCAAGUCAAACCUAGUAUGAGUGUACACACUCAGACUAGAAAACAUUUUUGUCAGAAAACUAUAAUGCACACAUAAUUCAAACUCUUGAAAAUUUCUUUUUAUGGAUGUAACAUCCAUAAAUUUAAACUUUUUCAAUCAUAAAUAAAAACUCAAAUAGCAUUGUUUACAAAAUAUUUUCAAAUCGAUAUCCAUCAGAGUGUCCCAUAAAUCAUAACAUAAGGAUGAGGAGCGGUAGGUCACGCCUUUGCCUUGCCAUGAUCUCCUGAAGUACCUGAAACAAUAAGCUGAAAACUGUAAGCCCGAGGGCUUAGUGAGCUACCCCCAAAAUACCAAUACCACACUGACAAUACCAUAUCAGUAACAAUCAAUCAAUCAACAUGCAUACCGGGCCAUCGGCCUGACUGGACCGCUCUACAGGGCCUACAGUCUAUCUGGAUCUAUCCCGAGCCUUCGGCAUGACUGGUCCGCCACGUGGGCCUACAGUCUCCCCGGACUGCUCAUAAGGUGUGUUGGCCUACAACACAAAGCAGGAUUGCCUCAACCCAACCAACGAGCAAAUAACUAUGUGCGCAUAGCUAUCAUAUAUUGGCAUAUACAAAAAUCAAGCAUAUCUAUCAUUGGUCAUCAAUCAUAGAAUUCUCUCGUAACUAGAGUACCGACCUAGCAGGUCACUAACAUACCAAUCCCUACGGAUCAUAAGAGCAUAGAAUACUGUCUACCCUGAUUCCGAUCUAUCAAACCAUGACCACAUAUAGCAUACCAUAACAAUAACAACUAAAGGGUCGGCCUUGGUGCCAUAUACCCUAUCGAUAUAGUGAGGAUAACUCACCUCGCAGAUGUCGACUCAGAAGGUAAACUCCAACUCUCGGAUCACUUGACACAGGAUCCACCACAUAUUAUCAUAGCACAAUAUACUCGUAAGUCCUUAACCUUAUAAGGUACUUCAUAACCCCUAAUCAACCCCUGAUCAAAGUCAAAGUCCUCAAUCAAGGUCAACAGUCCAUGUUGACCUCGACUCGCCGAGUACCCUCGGCUACUCGUCGAGUUCCUUGAAGCACAUUCCAACUUGCCGAGUCAUCGGGGUGACUCGUCGAGUUCCUUCAAUUCCCGAUCAAACAUUAAGGCCACCCGUCGAGUUUCCCUCAUUGCAACUCGACGGAUACACACGCAUACACAUCCAGGAGAAAACUCAUCCGACUCGCCAAGUUGUUCUUCAACUCCUCGAGUCUAUGGCAAUCAUCAUCGGACUCACCGAGUUGUUCAUCCAACUCGUCGAGUUCACGGCCAUCUUCAUGUGACUCGCCUAGUCAACCUUGCAACUCGCCGAGUCCAUUCAGUCCUUUUUCCAUACAGACUUAUUUUGAGCCAUGCAGCGGCUCCAACUCACAGAUCCAAGCUUCUAGGGCAUGCUUAUCACGUAAAGUUGCAAACUUCACGUGUAUGCAUGGCUUUAAAGGCUCCAAAUGCCAAAUCUAAGCUCUUAAUGGGGUUUCAUGCCCAAAAGGGACCUCAACCACGACCAAAACUAUGACUUUAUGCUUCUAGAAUCCAAAGAGGGUCCAGAUCUGAAGUUACAACUUCAGAUCUCGCCCAUAGCUUAUCAUACCAACUUGAUAUUCCAGGAAAACCCUAAAACUCAACCAAUAGAGGAGAUCUAUAAGGAAAAAGACGGUUUAGGUACCUUUAGAAGAUGAUAUCUAAGAUGAGUGUUGAUUUCCCACUCUAAAUUCUCCAAUCUCCUCCUCCUCCAAGUCUCCCCCUUCCAAAGAUCCUCUUUUCAAGCUCCAACACACACAAGGCACACACACACACACGAAUAAGGGCUCUCACGGACUCUUUAAAACUGUAAAGAGGUCCAAGGGAGGCUAAGAUCCCUUUAAAUAGGGGUACAAACCCCGGGAUUUAGGGUUUCAUCUGCUAGCUCCUACUCACCGAGUCCCAAUAUGGACUCAUCGAGUAGGUCACUUAACACACGAUCCCACCCCACUGCUACUUGACGAGUAGGGCAACCUACUCGUCGAGUAGAGCUUAACCUAAUACAUUUUAUUUAAAACAAUACCUAAGAAUCGGAGUGCUACAACUCUCCCCCACUUGAACUAGACUUCUCCCUUGAAGUCCGCUGGAAUAAACAAUGCCAGGUAAUGCUCGCGCAUCUCCGCCUCCGGCUCCUAUGUCCACUCGGAUCCCCUCCGAUGUUCCCACUGUACCUUUACCAAAGGUAUUUCCUUGUUCCGCAAUAUCUUCUUCUUCUUUUCUAGAAUAGCCACAGGCCUCUCCACAUAGUUCAGGCGCUCAUCGACCUGAAUGUCAUCCAACGAUACCACUGCCUCCUGGUCCAUAAUGCAUUUUCGCAAUUGCAAAACAUGAAACGUGUUGUGGAUCCGGCUGAGCUCCUCCGGAAGCUCUAGCCUAUAAGCCACCCUGCUAACCCUGGCAAUAAUUCUGAAUGACCCAAUGUAACGGGGACCCAAUUUUCCCCUCUUCCUGAAGCGGAUCACACCCUUCCAGGGUGAGACCUUCAUGAGGACCAUGUCACCCACCUGAAAUUCCAACUCAGAUCGGCGUCGGUCGGCAUAACUUUUCUGCCGACUCUGAGCGGUCUGCAGUCGCUGUCUAAUAUGUUGUAUCAUCUCGGUAGUUUGCAGAACUACCUCUAUCCGACCCAUUACCCUGUGCCCAGCCUCACCCCAGCAGACAGGGGUCCUACACUUCCGCCCAUACAACAGCUCAAAAGGCGGGGCGCCAAUACUGCAAUGAUAGUUGUUGUUGUAGGAGAACUCUGUAAGCGGUAGGUGGGAAUCCCAACUCCCACCGAAAUCAAUGACACACGCCCUCAACAUAUCCUCGAGGGUCUAAAUGGUCCGCUCACUCUGCCCAUAAGUCUGCGGAUGGAACACUGUACUAAAAUGCAGCCUUGUACCCAGUUCCUCGUGGAACUUCUGCCAAAAGCAGGAAGUAAAUCUAACAUCUAGAUCGGAAAUAAUGGAAACUGGGACCCCAUGGCGAGAGACAAUCUUGCGGACGUACAUAGCGGCCAACUUCUCCAUCGACGAACUCUCCCGUAUGGCUAGGAAAUAGGCACUCUUGGUCAAUCAAUCCACGAUGACCCAUAUAGCAUCGAACCCCUUUGCUGUCUUCGGAAACUUUGUGAUGAAAUCCAUUGCGAUCCGUUCCCAUUUCCACAUGGGAAUCUCCAGAGGCUGCAGCUUACCGUGCGGCCUCUGAUGUUCGUCCUUGACCAUCCUACGUGUCAAACACCUCUCAACAAACCAAGCGAUAUCUCGCUUCAUACCAGGCCACCAAUAACUCGAAUUCAAAUCACGGUACAUCUUGGUGGUUCCCGGGUGAAUAGAAAACCAAGACUUAUGAGCCUCCUCCAUCACUGUCUGCCGGACCCCUCCGGACAUCGGAACCCAAACCCGACCGUAAAGGAUCAAUAAUCCGCGGCUAUCUUGAAAAAAUCGGGCGCUUUCGCCCUUAAUCCUUUCCAACUUCCGGUUCUCCGGCCACAUACCCUCAAUCUGAGCAUCCCUGACCAAACCCACUAGCGGGGAAUCCACCACUAUCCUCAUACACUUGGCUAGGGUAGAGGACCCAGCUGACUUGCGGCUCAAAGCAUCCGCAACCACGUUCGCUUUACCAGGAUGGUAAAGGAUCUCACAAUCAUAGUCCUUGACCACAUCCAGCCACCUGCGCUGCCUCAUGUUCAGGUUCGGCUGAUCCAUGAUGUGUCUCAAACUCUUGUGAUCCGUGUAUAUAGUACAACAGACCCCAUACAUAUAGUGCCUCCAAAUCUUGAUGGCGAAGACCACUGCUCCCAACUCAAGAUCGUAUGUGGGGUACUUGUCUCGUGCGGCUUCAACUGCCUCGAUGCAUAAGCUAUCACUCGUCCCUCUGCAUGAGGACUGCCCCCAAACCUGUGAUGGACGCAUCAAAAAAUACCACAAAAUCCUCAACUCCCUCGGGGAGUGUCAACACCAGCGCCUCGCACAAACAUCGCCGCAGGGUCUCAAAUGCCCUCUGCUACUCAGGGCCCCACCGGAAAUCCACCCCUUCCUCGUCAGACGAAUGAAUCUCCGAUAAUACCCUGCUAAACCCUAGAAACUCAUGAUGUAUGAGGGAGAUUUCGGAGUCUCCCACUGCAUAACUGCCUCCACCUUGGCCGGAUCAACCAAAAUCCCCUCCUGGUUAAUGAGAUGUCCGAGGAACUUGACCUCUCGUAACCAAAACUCGCAUUUCGAGAACUUGGCAUACAACCGUUCUCGCCUCAGAACCUCCAGCAGCUCCCUAAGAUGCUCCUCAUGCUGCUCUCGAGUCUUGGAAUACACCAAGAUAUCAUCUAUAAACACAAUGACUGAGCGAUCGAGCAUCGGUAUGCUGGCUUGGUUCAUCAGAUCCAUGAACACCGCUGGCGCGUUGGUGAGCCCAAACGGCAUCACCAUGAACUCGUAAUGACAAUAACGAGUCUGAAACGCAUUCUUCUCCACGUCUUCCUCUCUUACCCUUACCUGGUGAUAUCCUGAUCUCAAGUCAAUCUUGGAAAACCAAGAUGCACCCUGCAGCUGAUCGAAAAGAUCAUCUAUCCUCGGGAGCGGAUAACGGUUCUUCACCGUUAACUUGUUCAGCUCCUUAUAGUCAAUGCACAUCCUGUGCGAACUGUUCUUCUUCCUGAUGAAAAGGAUCGAUGCUCCCCAGGGUGAACUACUCGGACAAAUAAACAACUUACCCAUCAACUCCUGCAACUAAGAUGAUAGCUCCUGCAUCUCAGGCGGUGCCAAACGGUACAACGCCUUGGUGAUAGGGGUCGCACCUGGCACUAGGUCAAUCCUGAACUCAACCUGCCUCUCCGGAGGCACUCCGAGUAACUCCUCUGGAAACACAUAAGCAAACUCCCUCACUACCGGGACCUCAGAAACUGAGAGCUGCUCUCUAACCCGCGUAUCUACCACAUACGCCAAAUAACUGGCACAUCCGUGCUGGAUAUACUGUCGAGCCCUGAUGGCCGAACAAAACCCUGAUCCCAACCUGGUACCCUCACCAUAUACUACAAGUUCUCCCCCACUUGGGGUUCGAACCACCACCCGCUGUCCCUCACAGUCGAUCAUGGCGCCAAAAUGGCUAAGCCAAUCCAUCCCUACAAUCACACAUACAUACCUCAUGGAGAUAGGAAUCAAAUCUAUCAGGAAGAACACCCCAAAUAUCUCCAACUCACAUCCCCGGUAGACCGAAGAAGCAGAAACCCCGUGCUUGUUGGCGAUCGAAACUCGUAACGGGCACUCAAGAUCAUCCAUCGGCACACAAAACCCUCUAUUGAAAGUCUGAGAUACAAAAGACCGACUCGCCCCCGAGUCAAAUAAUACCAAGGCGGGCAAGGAAUUCACUAGAAACGUACCUAAUCACAGGUACAAUGAAUAAGCAUAACACAAAUACAAUAACUGAGACAGAGAUUAGAAACGUACCAGCAACCACGUCCGGUGCUGACUUGGCCUCCUCGGCCGUGAGUUGGAAGGCGCGACCCUGAGCCUUUGGAGGCUCCACCUUGACUAGCCUCCCAUCUUCAAUCCUCACAGUAGCUGGCGCGGAACCCUACGUCGGCUUGGCGGCGAGCUGCGGACAAUUGGUCUUUACAUGACCAACCUGAUGACACUGGUAACAAAUCUUCAUAUCUGUUGGAGGGGCGGACUGACGGCAGUCCCUGGCAUAGUGCCCCUCCUUGCCACAUUUGUGGCACCCACCUCUUGCUCGAGAAACCCCCGAAUGAACCCUGCCACACUUUCCACAAGUGCGGCUCUAAUGACCCCCAGACCGUGUAUCAGCGGUCUUAGACCGCUUAGGCGCCGGCUGAGACUGUGCCGGUGCCUGACGCUACUCCUUCAGCUGCAGCUCUAUCUCCAACUCACACCGCCUCAUGGCUUCCUGAAGGUCCAGGAGGGUAUCACAUCGCCGUGUAGACACAAACUGUUGAAUAUCAGUCUUGAGCAUACUCAGAUAACGAGUCAUCUGAGAUUGCUCCGAAGCAAACUCUGGGCAAAACAUAGCCCUCUCCGUAAACAUACUGGUAAUCUCCAUCACAGACUCCCCAUCCUGUCUCAACAUCAAAAACUCCUGAGCAAGUCGCUCCCGCUCGACGCGUGGAACGUAGCGGGUGCGGAACACAUCCCUGAACUACUCCCAAGUAAUAGUAGCCCACUGAUCAUCAGUAUACGACCCAGUCGUCAAUCUCCACCAGUCUUUUGCCCCAAGCCUCAGUAGGUUCAGGGCACACCUGACCUUCUGGUAAACAGGGCAUGAGCAUGUGAAGAAACAACCCUCCACGUCAUACAACCUCCGCAUAGCCCUGAUCGCAUCCUGCGUACCAUCAAAUGUCGGGGGCUUCGUAUUAUCGAAGUCCCGGUACUGGAAAGCCCUGUCGGCUCCUCCACCAACCCCUGCUGCAGUUACAGCCGAAGUGGAUGCAACGACAGCUAUCUCUGCUAGAGCUGCAUAAUGCUCAUCAAAGUACUCAACCAUCGCGGUCUUAAUCGACCCAAACAUCUCUGGCAGCUGCGCUCGAAACGCAACAUCAAUCUCAUUGUGCAUGAUCUCUCGGAUCCUGGCAUCUAACUCCUUGGUCCCUAUCAGUACCACGAGCUCAGGUGCUACCAGCACCUCCAACCCUCCGUCUCCUGACCCCGAUCCUGAUCCUGACCCUGAUCCGGAUCUAGAAGCAACACGUCUUGUCACCACCAUACUGAAAUAUAUAUAUAUAUAUAUANCAGCCUUAGACACUAUUCCAACACACACACACACACACACACAUAUAUAUAUAUAUAUACACACACACACAAGGCAUCAGAUAAAUAACAUAAUGUCGGGAGACCAAAACCCACAAACCCUAGGGGUUGUGAUUUCCUUGCUACGUGUAUGGGUCCUGUGCUUUCAGUAGUAUGGGCCCAUACUACCUUCCACACCUACCCAUAUUUGUCUCAGGUAUCACCACAACGCCCAUAACAAUAUCAUCAACAUAAAAAUGCGCUCAACCCUCACUUCUAGGGGAAUACCAACUGUCUCGCACCUAGUCUCACCACUUAUCAUGACUCACACAUCCAUGAAACUUCCAUCAUCCCCUACAGCGCUAGUGCAUGCUAGCUGAACGUAAGGCUGGACACAAUAGACUUUCGAAUAUCCAAUCCUACCCGAAGGCCGAAUCAACAUUCUCAGGCUAUAAGGUCUUUAUUACGCACAACCGUGAUACAUACACUAAACAUCUACAAUUAUGAUUUCAAUUCCACAUACAAGAAACCCUAGGCUAAUAGGCAUCAUGUAAUCAGGCAAAUCUAUCAUGCGCUUCCUAAAGAUCCCUAGCCUAGCACUAGCAUGCUGUUCUAACAUACUAGAAUAUCAAAUAACUGUAUGGUAUUUUGGGGUUUACUUACAGGCUCCGACUGAUCGUACCCUUUGCAUCCUCCAUCCUUUAUUUUGAAAACCAUUUUUUCAAAAAAAAAACUUACUUUCCGAAAAUCCCCUUGAUUUGCGACUGGAUUCACAAGAUUGCUCCUCCAAUUCACUCAAACCAAUGCUCGGAUACCAACUUGUAACAUCCAUAAAUUAACGCCAAAUUUAAACUUUUUCAAUCAUAAAAAAAACUCAAAUAGCAUUGUUUACAAAAUGUUUUCAAAUCGAUAUCCAUCAGAGUGUCCCAUAAAUCAUAACAUAAGGAUGAGGAGCGGUACGGUCACCCCUUCGCAUUUCCAUGAUCUCCUGAAGUACCUGAAACAAUAAGCUGAAAACUGUAAGCCCGAGGGCUUAGUGAGCUACCCCCAAAAUACCAAUACCACACUAACAAUACCAUAUCAGUAACAAUCAAUCAAUCAACAUGCAUACUGGGCCAUCGGCCUGACUGGACCGCCCAAAAUGGCCUACAGUCUAUCUGGAUCUAUCCCGAGCCUUCGACAUGACUGGUCCGCCACGUGGGCCUAUAGUCUCCCCGGACCGCUCAUAAGGUGUGUUGACCUACAACACAAAACAGGACUGCCUCAACCCAACCAACGAGCAAAUAACUAUGUGCGCAUAAUUAUCAUAUAUUGGCAUAUACAAACAUCCAACAUAUCUAUCACUUGUCAUCAAUCAUAGAAUUCUCUCGUAACUAGAGUACCGACCUAGCAGGUCACUAACAUACCAAUCCCUACGGAUCAUAAGAGCAUAGCAUACUGUCUACCCUGAUUCCGAUCUAUCAGAACAUGACCACAUAUAGCAUACCAUAACAUUAACAACUAAAGGGCCGACCUUGGUGCCGUAGACCCUAUCGAUAUAGUGAGGAUAACUCACCUCGCAGAUGUCGACUCGGAAGGUAAACUCCAACUCUCGGAUCACUCGACACAGGCUCCACUACCUAUUAUCAUAGCACAAUAUACUCGUAAGUCCUUAACCUUAUAAGGUACUUCAUAACCCCUAAUCAACCCCUGAUCAAAGUCAAAGUCCUCAGUCAAGGUCAACAGUCCAUGUUGACCUCGACUCGCCGAGUACCCUUGGCUACUCGCCGAGUUCCUUGAAGCGUAUUCCAACUCGUCGAGUCAUCGGGGUGACUCGUCGAGUUCCUUCAAUUCCCGAUCAAACAUUAAGGCCACCCGUCGAGUUCCCUCCUUGCAACUCGACGGAUAUACACGCAUACACAUCCAGGAAAAAACUCAUCGGACUCGCCAAGUUGUUUUUCAACUCUUCGAGUCUAUGGCAAUCAUCAUCGGACUCGCCGAGUUGUUCAUCCAACUCGUCGAGUUCACGACCAUCUUCAUGUGAAUCGCCGAGUCCAUUCAUCCCUUUUUCCAUACAGACUUAUUUUGAGCCAUGUAACGGCUCCAACUCACAGAUCCAAGCUUCUAAGGCAUGCUUAUCACAUAAAGUUGCAAAAUUUACGUGCAUUCAUGGCUUUAAAGGCUCCAAAUGCCAAAUCUAAGCUCUUAAUGGGGUUUCAUGCCUAAGAGGGACCUCAACCACAACCAAAAUUGUGACUUUAUGCUUCUAGAAUCCAAAGAGGGUCCAGAUCUGAAGUUACAACUUCAGAUCUAGCCCAUAGCUUAUCAUACCAACUUGAUAUUCCAAGAAAACCCUAAAACUCAACCAAUAGAGGAGAUCUAUAAGGAAAAAGACGGUUUAGUUACCUCUGGAAGAUGAUAUCUGAGAUGAAUGUUGAUUUCCCCACUCUAAAUGGUCCAAUAUCCUCCUCCUCCAAGUCUCCCCCUUCCAAAGAUCCUAUUUUCAAUCUUCAACAAACACAAGGCACACACACACACACACGAAUAAGGGCUCUCAAGGACUCUUUAGAACUAUAAAGAGGUCCAAGGGAGGCUAAGGUCCCUUUAGAUAGGGGUACAAACCCCAGGAUUUAGGGUUUCAUCUGCCAGCUCCUACUCGCCGAGUCCCAAUAUGGACCCGUCGAGUAGGUCACUUAACACGCGAUCCCACCCCGCUGCUACUCGACGAGUAGAGCAACCUACUCGUCGAGUUGAACUUAACCCAAUACAUUUUAUUUAAAACAAUACCUGAGAGUUGGGGCGCUACAAUGGAUGCAAAAACAUGUACAUAUAAUAUAACUUAUAAAGUAUUAUUCUACAAACAUGUUCCACAGAUAAGUAUAAAACCAUGUAGGGAUGUGUCUCCAGGUAGAAACUCACCUCAAUAACUUUAUAUCUAACUCAUUUCAAACUUGUAACGCCUUUUAUUCACCACUUACUACUGACUAUAAUCAAAUGGUUAUAAUCAGACAAAAUUACUCCAAUGAAGGUGUUAGGUUUUCUUUGUUGGAAACUAUGUCCAAGGUCAUUAACUAUUAAUAAUAUUUUUAAUAAUAACAUGGUCCUUUUAGGUUGCCCUCAAGACCCAAAUUGAGUAGAAUAAAUAAAAAAGAAAUUGGUUUAUUAAUUAUUAUGGUUAAUAAUUAAUUAGAAACUAAUUUGAAAUAUAUUUUGGGAAUUAAUAAACAAUUUAAUUAAUUAAAGGGUUUAAUAUUCAUUAAUCGAUAGUUGAUUAAUCAGGAAUAAUCCAAAACCCUUAUGAGAUUAGGGCUGGAUGAAAAUCACUCCAUCCCACAUGGGAAAAUGAGUGAAUUUUGUUCUAGGUUCCUUGUCCCACAUGGGAAGGCGUACUAAACCUAGGAAGGGAUCCAAGGCUAUGAAUAGGGCCUUAGGGAUUUCAUUCUUCCUUGUACCUUGGCUUGAUGUUUCGCCAACUCUUCUUCCUUUCCCUAUUAGGGACAAUUUCUAACCUUCUUAGGGUUUGGAAAAUUAAUCAUUCUCCUAGUUAUUUUUAUUCCACUCUUUUGUGUCAUUAGGUGUGAUACCAUUAGAGGGAUUCUGGUGUGGGUCCUCUCAUCCAAGCAACUUCAUGAAGGAUCAAGAUCUCAAUUAUGGAGAUCAUGGGCUACAUAAGAGGUAUGUUUUCUUCUUAUUUUUUUAUUUAUGUUUUGUAGGGUAGAUGUAACUAGCAUGAAUCCAUAUAUCCAUAGGUUGCAUGUACAUUUAAGUAUAUCGUAGUUUCGAUUUUUCCGCUACCUAAUUUAGAGUGUAUUUGAUGCAUAGAAAACCCAACAGUGGUAUUAGAGCCAUUGGUUCAUGAUUACAUUCACCCUAGAUACAUAUUUUAUGUAAACACUUGUUUGAAAUUGAAUGAAAAAGAUAAAUAAAAAUUUCAUAAGUGUAGAACCUAAUUGUUGCUACGACGUGAGAUCAUAGGAGAUGAAUUUAGUUUGGGAUGUUAGAUCAUGUGUGUGCUCGACUUUGGAUGUGAUUGGAUUGUCAAUCAGCGGUAGGACCAUGGUCAAUGGUUGAGACCACGUGGAAAGUGUUGUAGGACUGCGGGAUAGCCUUAGCAUUCACAAGCAGCCAGACAGUGUGGAAAGUGUUGUAAGACUGCGGGAUAGCCGUAUCAUUCACCAGCAGCCAGACAGCGUGGAAAGUAUUGUAAGACUGUGGGAUAGACGUAGCAUUCACUAGCAGCCAGACAACAUGGAAAGUGUUGUACGAUUGCAGGAUAGUCAUAGCAUUCACCAGUAGCCAGACAACAUGGAAGGUGUGGUAAGACUGCGGGAUAGUUGUAGCAUUCACUAGCGGCCAAAUAGCAUGGGAAAUAUGGUAAGACUGCAGGGUGGCCUGUAGCAUUCAUUAGUCAAUAGAUAGUGUAGAAGUGUUGUAAGACUGUUGGGUGGCCCAUAGCAUUCACUAGUUGGCAGAUAUAGUAGAAAUGUUGUAAGACUACGGGGUAGCCCAUAGCAUUCGUUAGUUAGCCGUUAGUAUAAGGGUAUAGUAAGACUGCGGGGUGGCCCGUAGCAUCCACCGGUCCCUAUUCGGCAGUGAGAAUGUGACAUAUAUGUGGUUCAAUCAUGGAUUCCUUCAUAUAGUUUAGACCAGACCGGGACAACCUGCACGAAUGUGAGUAGGCCACAGUAUGAUCAGAUUCUAGGAAUGGUAGGUCCUUGGAGACCAGGCAUGAUGUAAGGCUAUAGUGGUUCUGGUAGCAUUCACUUUUCAUAUUAGAUUCGGGGAUGAUGGGUAGUCGAACUGUUAUGAUUAGGAGGAUCAAAAGGAAUAAUGGAUCCAUGAGUGGCAAUAUGGUUAGGGUAGAUUUCGAUAGACGAAGUUCUUUUUGGAAGUCGUAGGAAGUGACUGUGAGGUUGCUCUUUGGCUCAGCAACCGGGUAGGAAUCUGAUAUUCCGGAUAGCGGAUGUGAUUUGGGAUUUGCGUAGAGUAGAUUGUGGACAUGAAGAUGCUAAGACACUUGUAGUUGGAUUAAAUAAUCUUAGAGUAAUUAAUUUGACCCUGUUGCGCAGCUCUCGUCUGAGUCUAACCGUUGCAGGGAUGAAUCUUCUACUCGAAGGAUUAUCUGAGCCUUCUGUCAAAUAUAAGUAUUUUGCAGCUGGUUAUGGUCAGUGGCUUAGUUUUCGUAGGUUGCAUCAAGAUAAUCAGGGUUGCAAGUAUUAUGGUUGGUCAGUUAUUCGUUGAGGUUUUGGCAUGGUAAUUUUUCAGCUUAGGCGGUCUGUCGGGGAGAUAGACCAUUAUAGAUUUCGGAUCUCGGGAAGGUAGAUGUGGUUUUUUGUAUGAAAGUAAGGAUUUAUCCUUCAUCGGGUUUGGAGAGUCUUGCUUCGUUGGGUUCAGUUGCCUCGGGAAGACCAUUGAAUGCUCUGUAUGAUGGAUGCAUCUUUUAGGCUGUCGGGUGACAGUAUUCGUUGGAUUCAGAAUGGGUUGUCGGUUGUGAGUGGGAACAUCGAUGGGAUCAUAGCAGAAAAUGGGAGCAUGCGAAAGUGGCAUGUGAGUAGUAUCCGGAGUGGGUUGCUGCAGCAGACUUCGAGGACGAAGUCUAGUUUAAGCAAGGGAGAUUUAUAACAUCUUGAGAAUCAUAAGGUUCAUAUUGCAUGCAUGGGCUUGAUCUAAUUAAGUAUGGAGGUUUUUCAAGCCUAGAACGUUUAAUUGCUAGCUUGGUGUUGGAGGUAAGGCUUGCAUGCGGGGCGUUCAUAUCUUGAACGCUCAGCGUUCAGUGCAUGAAGUGGACACAGAGGCCAAGACGAACGCGGGGAGUUCUAGGGAGAAACGCAGGGCGUUCGCCGUCUGUACUCAAAAACCCUAAGUGUGCACUAUUGAAACAAGUUAAGACCCAAGGUUCUUCAUUCUUUCUGCCUCCACUGUACCUUGAGCCUCAUUCCGAAACCCUAACCUUAGUUGUGAGUGUGUGAGCUUGGAAGAUCAUCUUUGAGUGUAUUUUGGUGUUCUUGAAGGAGAGUGAUCACCUUAGAGUCUCAUUGAUCAAGGAAGAGCUUUUGGAUUAAGAUUCUCUAGCUCAUUUGCAAGUAUCAGAAGGUAUAGAGUUUCUAUCUUGAUAUCUUAUAGCUUAAGACCUAGAUUAGGGAUUGUUUUGUGCUUCUUAUGAACAUGUGGAUGCUCUUUGGGAGUUUGAGCCACUCCAAAAGCCUAGGAUUGCAGAUCCUCACAUUUCUGAGUUGUUUGAGUCAUAAAAAUGGUAACUUGAUGGUUGAUGACCAAGCAUUCAAAGGUUUUGGGUCUUGAUUUAUGGAUUGGAAUCUUUAAUGGAUGUUUGGGUCCUUUUUGGGCCAUGCAAAGGUGCCAAGUUGAUGACUUUAUGGCUUAAGACACUGAUAGGAAGCUACUUUGAAGAUUUGAACUUUGGACUUAAGGUAUUAACACAUAAAUGUAAUUUUUGGUCCCUGGUCGGGAACGCAGCAUGCUCAUCUCGGGAACGUUGUACGUUCCGACGUCGAGUCACGAUCGGCGGUCAGGCAACGAACGCCCAAUGUUCGGUCCAACAGUAGGCUUCUUAGGCUUGUUCUCAUUGGGCUUCAGACUUGGAUUGGAGUUUUUGCAUGUUGGGAUUUUUGUUAAGAAGGUUCUUAGAGCUUUGGACUUUUUUUUGGACAUGUCUAGUUGGGCCAAUAUUUCGUAUUGGGCCUUGGUGGUCCCAAUGGUUUUGGACUUUACUUGGCCCAAUGGGCUUGGACCUAUGGGCCAUCGGAGAAUUAUUAUUGGACCAGGAAUUGUUGGCUUUAGGUAAGGCCCAUAUGGGGUUAGGCCCAAUUUGGAAAAUUGGGGCAUUAGUGGGAUCUUAUGGAUCAUAUAGUUUUGGGCCUUUUUGUAACAUCCAAGAAUACGACCCAAAAAUUUUUGUUUUAAAUAAUAGUAAAAUCAUAUUCCAAUCGUCACAUCAUAAAAUCAUGUGUCAAUUAUCUCAACCCAUAAUAAAAUGUCAUGAACAUUUGUGACAAACCAAACUAUGAAUCAAAACAAACAUCCAGGAAAAAGACUGAAGCUGUGGUGUGUGCGAUGCCAUCAUCCCGAGAUCUUCCCUUUACUUGCGGAAGUACCUGAAACCAAAACUGAAACUGUAAAAAUGAAGCUUAGUGAGCUACCCCAAACUACCACAUACCAUACAAUAACAUAUAAAGCAUCUACUGGGCCUUGCCCACUGCAUCGGACCGAAGUCCGGAAACUUACCAGGGCCUUGCCCUCUGCAUCGGACCGAAGUCCGGAAACUAACCAGGGCCUUGCCCUCUGCAUCGGACCGAAGUCCGGAAACUGCAUCGGACCGGAGUCCGGAACUAACCAGGGCCUUGCUCUCUGCAUCGGAUCGAAUUCCGAAACUAACUGCAUCAGACCGAAGUCUGGAACUGAAUGGGACCUUGUCCCUUGCAUCGGAUCGAAGUCCGCAACUGACCGAACGUAACAUAGCAUAAACAUAUCAACUAGCAUGAAAACAUAUACUGCAUACUACAUCGGAACAGAGUCCGGAACACAUAACACAAAACGUGCUUGAAUCACAAAGACGUCAAGCACUCUAACUACUGCAUCGGACCGAAGUCCGAAACUACUGCUAACUAAACGGGCCGACAUUGUGGCCGUAGACCCGUUCCUACUGGAAGGAAACUCACCUCGUGAUGCUGACCGAUGCACUCCUGAAUGAGAAAUCCCUGACUGCUGCUCCGGCUGCUUCCCAGCUAUAAUGGGAAAUAAAUACUAAAUCAGAAUAGGGAUUCCUCUCUGGGUAAAAUGACCAUUUUACCCCUACUAUGGUGUGAGACACAACAUGGCCCAAAACCUCAAUUCCUUCUAAGUUCAUCUAUGGCCCCACUAUAGGCCCACUAAUGGCCCAAUUUGCUAUUUUAGGCCUAGGACCCUUUUAUUGGGCCUUACCCAAGCCCAAUACUAAAUCCUUGGUCCUUAGCAACUGAAUUCUGAUGGGCCAUAAAGGCCCAAGGAUCCUAAGCCUAAAACCCAACCCACAUCGAGGCCCAACACUCAAAGCCCAAACUGGUAGCAUACGCAGGGCGUACACCAAGGUACGCUGAGCGUACUGGCUGCUGGCUUUUACACGGCGCGUACUUCCUUGUACGCCCAGCGUACAACUCUGUUAAGCCAACAUCCCAUUAAGUCCUUAAUAAUUCGAUCCAGAAGCUACAAAUCCAGAUCCUAAGCUUGUUCCAUGACUUAAGCUAUAAAGUUGCUUACUUGAUGGCUUACAAGUCUCAUAAAGGCUCAAACUUACACAAAUAACAUUCUACUUCCAUAAAACCAACAAGAUCUCAGGCAUGGUUCCAUAUAAGCCACAAAGAUCGAAACUUUACUACUAUAGGGACACUUGAGCCUCAAGGAUAGCAAUCCCAAGCUCCAAAAACGAAGUUGCUAGAUAAAGGUCCUUCCUUUGGACCUAAAAGGUCCAAACUUCCAAAAACUCCUAGAUCUAAACUUACAAGAGGAAAGUUGGAAGCUUUAUACCUCUUUUGAAUGCCAAAAGAAAGGAUGAUCCCAGAUCUAUGAGCUCAAGGUGCUCAAGUUCUUCUUCUUCCACUUCUCUUCUUCUUCUUCUUCACAAAAAUAAGCUCAAAGAUCAAACACACACAAACAAGGAGCAAAGGGGGACGAACUAGGGUUUCUAUGGAGUGAAUGAUAAGUGAGGGGUCCAAAUGGAAGGCUAUAACGGGGUUUAAAUACGCCUCAACCCCUAAAAUUAGGGUUUGCCACCUGGUCGCGUACACUGGGCGUACCUUAAGGUACGUUGCGUGUAUGCUCAGCCUCCCCGUGUUUCAUUUAAUCAGUACGCCCAGCGUACAAGGGGGUUACGCCCCGCGUACAGCUUAUGGGCUGCUUACUCUUCGGCCCAAAAUAAAGGUACACUCACAAUAUUAAUUCAGUUAUGGCCCAAACUAAACUAAAGAAUUAAAUAACUUUUAUACCUCGGAAACGAUCGUUACAAAUCUCCCCUACUUGAAUCAGACUUCUUCCUCGAAGUCUGCUGCCACUGAAUCUGAAAAUAACUCCGGGUAAUGCUCCUGCAUCUCCUCCUCUCAUUCCCACUUCUACUCUGAACCCUUCCGGUGCUGCCACUGCACCUGCACUAGCUGAUUUACCUUGUUCCUCAAGGUCUUUGUCUUCCGGUCCAGAAUCGCGACCGGCCUCUCAAUAUAAUUAAGCUUCUAUCAACCUGAAUGUCCUCUAAGGGAACAACUGCUGACUCAUCCACCAAACACUUCCUCAACUGGGAAACAUGGAAAGUGUUGUGGAUCUGGCUAAGCUCUGCCAGAAGAUCCAACCGGUAAGCAACCCGACCCACCCGGGCCAGAACUCUAAAAGGACCAAUGAAUCUGGGGCCCAUCUUUCCCCUCUUCCGAAAUCUGAUGACACCCUUCCAAGGUGAUACCUUAAGGAGGACCAUGUCGCCUUCCUGAAACUCCAAGUCUUAUCGCCUCCUAUCGGCGUAACUCUUCUGCCGACUCUGCGCAGUCUGCAGCCUACUGCGUACCUGCUGGAUCAACUCUGUCGUCUUGAGCACCACUUCGGUGCUCCCAAUGACAUGCUGACCGACCUCGCCCCAACAAAUCGGGGUCCUACACUUCAUCCCAUAUAGCAUGUCGAAGGGAGGUCGGUCAAUACUCGCAUGGUAACUGUUGUUAUACGAAAAUUCAGCUAACGGAAGAUACGUAUCCCAACUGCCACCGAAAUCUAGGACACAUGCCCGAAGCAUAUCCUCCAGGGUCUGAAUCGUCCUCUCACUCUGUCCGUCCGUCUGGGGGUGGAAAGCGAUGCUGAAAUAGAGACGAGUGCCCAUCUCGUCAUGAAACCGCUUCCAAAAUCUGGAAGUAAAACGGACAUCUCGGUCUGACAUCACAGAUUCAGGCACUCCAUGCCGUGCAACAACCUCUCGCACAUAAAUAUCAGCUAGUUUCUCCGCCGAUAUACUCUCCUGGAUCAGUAUAAAAUGAGCACUCUUCGUCAACCGAUCCACAAUAACCCAAAUCGAAUCCUCCCCACGUGCGGUCCUAGGGAGCUUAGUGAUGAAAUCCAUGGUGAUAUCCUCCCAUUUCCACACUGGAAUGUCUAACGGCUGCAACUUGUCGUGGGGCCUCUGGUGCUCUGCCUUGACCUUCCUGCAGGUCAGGCACCUCUCCACAUACCAGGCGACAUCCCGCUUCAUGCAGGGCCACCAAUAAUCAGGUCGAAGAUCCCUAUACAUCUUCGUCUCCCCUGGAUGGAUGGAAAAUCGAGACUUAUGAGCCUCGUCCAUCAACAACUGCCGUAAUCCGCCCCACUACGGUACACAUACUCUCCCAUGAAGAGUCAACAAUCCUCGACUAUCGUAGUCAAAAGAAGCUACUCGGCCCACAAUCCUAUCAUACUUAUGUCUCUCCUCCUUGAGGCCCUCGGUCUGCGCCUCUUUGAUUUGCUCCAACAAUGUAGUAAUCACUGUCAUCCUCAAACAAAUAUCUCUGAUCGGGGCUGCUGCUGCCUUGCGGCUCAGGGCGUCGGCCACUACAUUGGCCCUCCCUGGGUGAUAUAAGAUCUCACAGUCGUAAUCCUUCAACACAUCUAACCAUCGCCUCUGCCUCAUGUUUAGAUUCGACUGAUCCAUGAGGUACCUCAAGCUCUUGUGAUCCGUGUAAAUGGUACAACGGACCCCGUAGAGGUAAUGUCUCCAAAUCUUGAGGUCGAACACCAUUGCCCCCAAAUCUAAAUCAUGUGUAGGAUAAUUAGCCUCGUGAGGCUUCAACUGUCUCGAGGCGUAAGCUAUCACAUGACCUCGCUGCAUCAACACUGUUCCCAUACAUGUGAUCGAAGCAUCACAAUAAACCACAAAAUCCUCUACUCCAUCUGGCAGGGUAAGAAUCGGUGCCUCGCACAAUCUCUGCCUGAGGGUCUCAAAUGCUGCUUGCUGCUCAGGCCCCCAACGAAACACCACCGACUUCUUAGUCAGUCGGGUGAGCGGUACUGCUAUCUUGGAGAAAUGCUGAAUGAACCUCCUGUAGUACCCUGCCAGACCUAGGAAGCUCCGAAUCUUAGAUGGAGACCUCGGGACCUCCCACUUCAUCACGGCCUCUAUCUUGGCCGGAUAUACCAAAAUACCCUUCUGGUUGACGAGGUGUCCAAGGAACUGCACCUCGCACAACUAGAACUCGCACUUGGAGAACUUCGCGAAAAGUCUCUUUUUCCUUAAAAUCUCUAGCACCUCCCUCAGGUGCUCCUCGUGCUACUCCUAAGUUUUGGAAUAAGCCAAGAUGUCAUCAAUGAAUACUAUCACUGAUCGAUCCAACAACGUCCUACAUACGCGGUUUAUGAGGUCCGUGAACGCGACUGGGGCGUUGGUGAGCCUAAAUGGCAUCACCACGAACUCAUAAUGACCGUACCGGGUCCUGAAAGCAGUUUUCUGCACAUCCUCAUCCCUGACUCUCAUCUGAUGAUACCCGGAGCGUAAAUCGAUCUUGGAAAACCAAGACGCUCCCUGCAGCUGAUCAAACAAAUCAUCUAUCCUUGGAGUGGGUAACGGUUCUUCACCGUUACCUUAUUUAACUCCUGAUAAUCAAUACACAUACGGUGCGGUCCGUCCUUCUUCUUCACAAACAAAAUCGGUGCUCCCCAGGGCGAACUGCUCGGCCUAAUAAAACCCUUGUCUAACAGCUCAUGCAGCUGCGUAGACAACUCUUACAUCUCUAGGGGAGCCAACCGAUACGGUGCCUUGGCUAUCGGAGCCGCACCAGGGAUUAGGUCAAUUCCGAACUCGACCUGCCUCUCGGGAGGUAUUCCAGGAAAAUCCUAUGGAAAUACAUCCGGGUAGUCUCGCAUUACCGGAACAUCAUCAACUGUUGUCUUUCCCUUCUCCCGGGCAUCUAAAACAUAGGCAACAUAACCGGCAUAACCCUACUGAAAAUAGCGCCUCGCUCUCGCCACUGAACAUAGAACUGGUCCGCACUGUGGCCUCUCGCCCUGAAUCACUAACUCUCCCCCACUAGGAGUGCGAACCCUCACCAACUGUAGCUCACAAUCUAUCACCGCCCCAUUGGGGCUCAGCCAAUCCAUGCCUACUAUGAACUUAUUCCCUCGCAAGGGAAUAGGGACCAAGUCCACCGGAAACUGCUCAUCGAAUAAUUGUAGGGAACACCCUCUGUGCAUCCUUGCAACCCUAACGGUCCUAUCAGCUGCUAUCUCAACCUCAAGUGGACAAUCUAGCUCCCAUGGAGCUUUGCUAAACCCCUUGCUAAGUGCAAGAGAGACGAAUGAUUGGGUAGCCCCCGAAUCAAACAAUACGGUAGCUGAUAUGCCGUUCACUGGGAACGACCCUAUACAAAACAUAUAACCAUAAGAAACAAUCAAUAAUAAAUGCAGAGGUACGGAGAAAAAAAAUACAUACCCGUCACCACGUCAGGAGUCGCUCGCGCCUCCCCUGCUGUCAACUGAAAAGCCCUACUCUUUGCCACUGGAGUCUCAGCUCGGCCCUGACGGCCAUCUGUAAUCCUCAAAGUAGCAGGGGCAGGGGCUGACACCUUCCCUGCAGCAGCUAAACCCGGACACUAGGACUACUUAUGUCCCCUCUGAUUGCAAUGGAAGCAAAUCAGAUCUGAUGCCGCAACGGCAGUAGUAGUGGCUAUACAAUCUCGGCUCAUAUGCCCAGUCCGACCGCACUUGUAGCAGCCAGCACUCCCUGCUUUGCACGCCCCAUCGUGCAAUCUCCCACACUUGCCACACCUAGCGUGGCUCCGCUGACUCCUAGCUCUGUGAUCUGAACCCUUGGGCUUUUUGCCCGAACUUCGUGAACCUGGAGCCGCCUCCGGCUUCCUCUUUCUCUCCAUCUCAAGGUCAAUCUCUCUCUCUCUCUCUCUCGCCCUAGCAAUCAUGUCAUCCAGCGUCUUACAGCUGGAUCGGCUCACGAACUGGCGGAUAUCACUCCGCAACAUCUCAUGAUAACGGGAUUUGUUCAUUUCCUCAUCAGGUCCGUACUGAGGAACAAGAAGAGCCCUCUCCCUGAACUUGGCGGUAAUCUCCGCCACUGUCUUUAUAGUCUGGGUAAGAUCCUGAAACUCUCUGGCUAACUGCUGCACCUCAAUGAUCGGUGAGAACUCAGCUCUGAACCUGGUAGUGAAAUCAGUCCAGGUCAUAGCAUCCAAAGUUGCGUCAUCCCCAAUGGCAUGACCAACCUCCUCCCACUAAUCCCAUGCCCUGUCCUUCAAGAGACAGCACGCCAAUCUGACCUUGUCCCCCUCAGGACAUCUGCUAGUGCGAAAAGCGUUGGCCACAUCUGCCAACCAUCUAGUACUCGCUAUGGGGUCUCGCGCCCCGUGAUAAUCCGGAGCUCCGCAUGCCCGGAACUCCCUAAAAGUAAGCGUGCGCGACCCCAUCAUGGCCGCUAUCUCAGCACAGAAGGUGCUCAACCUCUCAUCCAUCAACUCUAAGAUACCCUCCCUGAUCGAACCGAAGAUUACAAGAGUCUGCUCAAGUAUGGUGCGAGUAAUCUCUGAAGAGAGAAACUCCCUAGUCUGCUUAUCCAACUGCCCGGCCUCCGGGCCUGGUUCUGAUCCCCCUCCGACACCUGAACUGCCGACUGCUGGUCUAGGGCAUAAUACCACCAUUCUGAAACACAUAAAAAAAAGCAUCAGGAACACUGAUAUAUCUACGUACCCUUGGUCUCAUCUCAGCUUUUCUUGAUUCGACUACAGAUCCUCUGCUUUCAGUAGUACGGGCCCAUACUACCUUCCACAUAUAUCCGUACUUUCCUCAAGUACUGCCUCGACUCCACCAAGUCACUCCUACUACUACUGAUCUCUGCUACUCUCAUCCUAGGCUUGCCCUAGGGAAAUAUCUGACUCAACCUAACCGGUCCUCAACUGCUGUAGGCCUCCUUGUAAUGCCAAUUAACCUUUACCUGAAUACCAUCACAUGUGGCGAGGCUCAAAUAAUCCUUCGAGUAAAAGACUUGUCCUCACAACGGUUAGACUCAAACAAGAGUUGCGCAGCAGGGACAAAUCCAACACUCUGAGAUUAUUUAACCCUGAUCCCAUGUGACGUGACGUAUUCACCUAAUGGCUAAAUCUCAUUAUUCAGAGUCCCACAAAGCACAAAGCAAGAAGCAUUCGGACACAGGAAAUUACUCGAGCAAUUCUAUCCUCAUAACGAGAAACUGUACUAGCAUGCAAUUUAUAAGCUCAUACUAUCAGGCAUAGCCUAAACAGACUAUCCUACUGCUGUCUACUCAAUACUAACAUGCAAUUCUCAUAAAGCUGAAUCACAUAUAGCAGACACAUAAGGCAUCCUCCUAGAUCCUUAGCCCAAUUCUAGCAUGCUGUUCUACUAAAACUGAUAACUCAUAACAUAAACUCGUAUGGGUAAUUUGGGAGUACUUACUUGAGCUCGGCUGAUCGCAUGCACCACACCCCUUUUCUCUUUUCAAAGUCCUUUUCUUUCUACAAAUUUCUUUUCACUUUUCUAAAACUCUUUUCUUUUGAAAACAUUUUACCACUUCCUUAUUUUGAGUUCAGACACACCCGAAAGUGUGUCCGAAUCCCUCAAACCAAGGCUCUGAUACCAACUUGUAACAUCCAAAAAUACGACCCAAAAAUUUUUGUUUUAAAUAAUAAUAAAAUCAUAUUCCAAUCGUCACAUCAUAAAACCAUGUGUCAGUUAUCUCAACCCAUAAUAAAAUGUCAUGAACAUUUGUGCGAAAUCAAACUAUGAAUCAAAAUAAACUCCCAGGAAAAGACUGAAGCUGUGGUGUGUGCGAUGCCAUCAUCCCGAGCUCUUCCCUUUACUUACGGAAGCACCUGAAACCAAAACUGAAACUGUAAGCAUGAAGCUUAGUGAGCUCCCCCAAACUACCACAUACCAUACAAUAACAUAUAAAGCAUCUACUGGGCCUUGCCCACUGCAUCGGACCGAAGUCCGGAAACUUACCAGGGCCUUGCCCUCUGCAUUGGACUGAAGUCCGGAAACUAACCAGGGUCUUGCCCUCUGCAUCGGACCGAAGUCCGGAAACUGCAUUGGACCGGAGUCCGGAACUAACCAGGGCCUUGCCCUCUGCAUCAGAUCGAAGUCCGGAACUAACUGUAUCAGACCAAAGUCCGGAACUGAAUGGGACCUUGUCCCUUGCAUCGGAAUGAAGUCCGGAACUGACCGAACGUAACAUAGCAUAAACAUAUCAACUAGCAUGAAAACAUAUACUACAUACUACAUCGGAACAGAGUCCGGAACACAUAACACAAAACGUGCUUGAAUCACAAAGACGUCAAGCACUCUAACUACUGCAUCGGACCGAAGUCCGAAACUACUGCGAACUAAACGGGCCGACAUUGUGGCCGUAGACCCGUUCCUACUGGAAGGAAACUCACCUCGUGAUGCUGACCGAUGCACUCCUGAAUGAGAAAUCCCUGACUGCUGCUCCGGCUGCUUCCCAGCUAUAAUGGGAAAUAAAUACUAAAUCAGAAUAGGGAUUCCUCUAUGGGUAAAAUGACCAUUUUACCCCUACUAUGGUGUGAGACACAACAUGGCCCAAAACCUCAAUUCCUUCUAAGUCCAUCUAUGGCCCCACUAUAGGCCCACUAAUGGCCCAAUUUGCUAUUUUAGGCCUAGGACCCUUUUAUUGGGCCUUACCCAAGCCCAAUACUAAAUCCUUGGUCCUUAGCAACUGAAUUCUGAUGGGCCAUAAAGGCCCAAGGACCCUAAGCCUAAAACCCAGCCCACAUCGAGGCCCAACACUCGAAGCCCAAACUGGUAGCGUACGCGGGGUGUACACCAAGGUACGCUGAGCGUACUGGCUGCUGGAUUGUACGCGGCGCGUACUUCCUUGUACGCCCAGCGUACAACUCUGUUAAGCCAACAUCUCAUUAAGUGCUUAAUAAUUCGAACCAGAAGCUACAAAUCCAGAUCCUAAGCUUGUUCCAUGACUUAAGCUAUAAAGUUGCUUACUUGAUGGCUUACAAGUCUCAUAAAGGCUCAAACUUCCACAAAUAACAUUCUACUUCCAUAAAACCAACCAGAUCUCAUGCAUGGUUCCAUAUAAGCCACAAAGUUCGAAACUUUACUACUAUGGGGACACUUGAGCCUCAAGGAUAGCAAUCCCAAGCUCCAAAAACGAAGUUGCUAGAUAAAGGUCCUUCCUUUGGACCUUAAAGGUCCAAACUUCCAAAAACUCCGAGAUCUAAACUUACAAGAGGAAAGUUGGAAGCUUUAUACCUCUUUUGAAUGCCAAAAGAAAGGAUGAUCCUAGAUCUAUGAGCUCAAGGUGCUCAAGUUCUUCUUCUUCCACUUCUCUUCUUCUCAUUCUUCAUAAAAAUAAGCUCAAAGAUCAAACACAUACAAACAAGGAGCAAAGGGGACGAACUAGGGUUUCUCUGGAGUGAAUGAUAAGUGAGGAGUCCAAAUGGGAGGCUAUAAUGGGGUUUAAAUACGCCUCAACCCCUAAAAUUAGGGUUUGCCACUUGGUCGCGUACGCUGGGCGUACCUUAAGGUACGAUGCGCGUACGCUCAGCGUCCCCGCGUUUCAUUUGAGCAGUACGCCCAACGUACAAGGGGGUUACGCCCCGCGUACGGCUUAUGGGCUGCUUACUCUUCGGCCCAAAAUAAAGGUCCACUCACAAUAUUAAUUCAGUUAUGGCCCAAACUAAACUGAAGAAUUAAAUAACUUUUAUACCUCGGAAACGAUCGUUACACUUUUGAUUUUGGGCUUGGGCCUCGUCUUUUGGUUUAUGUUAUGUCAGGGGUAAAAUGGUCAUUUUACGCCAAGUGUGGAUUAUGGAUCAUGGUUUGGAAUUCAAUUGCUAACUAGAGGUUGUUUUGGUUAUUCUUAGUUUGGGAAAUCGUCAAGGCAGCAACUAGGGAUUUCGUGCAGUGAGCUUCUGCAUUCGAGGUGACUCUCCUCACUAUUUGUAUGGGUUGAAGGCACCAAAGCUAACUUAUUUGGUUUAUGUAUGGUAGGAAGACCCGGGGGUUAGCCCUUGGCACUAUAUAUGAAAGACCAUGAGGCAACUCCUAACACACUGUAUGCUAUUAGCUAAGUAGAGUAGAUUGUACACUAUUUGUCUUUGUGGUACUUGCAUGGAAGACCCGGAGAUGGUUACUGGCACUUGUCUAUAGGACCCAGGGGGUGGCCCCCGACUUGACAAGAAAGACCACGAGGCGGCCCGUGUCAUAACGGCAAGAGUAUGUGCAACACAUAGCAUCUUAUAUAACUAUGAUUGAUGUAUAGCUCAUGGUUAUGUAUGACAUGUAUGGAUAUGAUUGAUAUGUAUGUUAUGUGGUAUUUGGGGAACUCACUAAGCUUCAUGCAUGCAGUUUUCAGUUUUUGUUUCAGAUACCUCCAGUUUUCAAAUAAAGGAGCUCGGGACGAUCGCAAUGCAUAUACCCAUGUUUUUUUCGCAAUAUGUGAUCUUUGGGAUUAGACUCUGAUAUUAAUUUAAUUGAAAUGUUUUUAGUGUCCGAAACAAAGUUAUUAAGUGUUUUUCCUAUAUUAAAAAUGAAAAUUUUACCUUAGAUUUUUGGGUCGUUACAUUUUAAUUGACGUGGUAAGUGAUGUGGCAAGCUGUUAAUUGAAGUGGCAAAUGAUACCUGCUGACUUCCCUUUCAAAAUAGUGACCUUUUAACCCUUCUAAAUUGGACUUCAUAUCCUUAGAAAGAGAAAAAAAGACAUUUUAAACCAAAAGCUCUAAGUUAGUUGGGCUAUAGUGACAUUUUCCCCUAUAAGAUAUUGUUUAACAUUGGUGUAGUUUUUCUGUUUCUUAAGGUUUUAAUGAGUAAUAUACUUACGUUAGAAUGAAAACGCUCUCUGAUGCUUGAAAGGUUUGUAGAUUGAAACCCAUUUAAAAUGAAGAGGAACACGCAAUAAUUUAAAUCAUUGUAAUGUUAGUCUAGAAGAGACUGUUGAUUUAGUGAUGGCGUGAAAGUUGUUAAUAUAAAUGGUAGGUAGAGGAUUUUUCCCUAUAAAGUUUACCUUUAAUAGAAUCUUGAAUGACCUUUUGCUUACUGCAAUCAUGAUUCUGCCAAAGAAAUACUUAGAGCACAGAGUAGAUGUGGCCGUCUCCCUUGGGAAGAUUUCAAAGGAAACAACUGAAGAUUUACUACAUUGAAUAUUAUCCAGCAUCUAAGUUGUUCAGACAAAAGUUGUUAAAAUCAAAACAAAGAUAAAGAACACGGGCAGUUUAGUAAAUAAACAAAGUUACAAUUAAGAAGCCGAUAUAAACUUUUAUUAUAUAUUGACGACUAAAUAUAUUGUUAUACAUCUUUUGAUAUAAACUUUUAUUAUAUAUUGACGACUAAAUAUAUUCUUAUACAUCUUUUUUUCAUUUACCAAAAUGAUCAAAGCUUGAAAAAAUGUUUUUGAUUUUAUUAAGAAUAAGUAUUUUGUAUUUACACUGUAUUAUGAAAAUAUUUUGAUUUUCUAGUGCUUUAUGUGAUCUUCAAUUUUUUUUCAUGCCUAUCUAAAAUCCCAAUUUCUUAAAAUGACUCCUCAUAUUGUAAUAGAAAAGUAGACAAUAUAUAAUGAAUUAUGUUGUGAUUUGUAAUAUUUACUUCACGAGAUUUGGGGUUUAACAACCCAUAAUAUAAUCAUAAAGAUGUUAGAAACGCGUUAUAAAUUAAACAUGUCUUGACUGAUUUAAAGUUAUUCGCCUUUUAUAAUUGUUAAAUUCUUUGAACAAUAUGUUUGUGUAGUUUUAAAUCAAAACAAUCGUAUUUUCACUUUUUAACAAAAACAAAGUACUUUUCCUUUUAUUUUAUCACCAAAACAACAAUCUUAAUUAGUUUUAAGCCAAAAAUAGCCAUGUACUUAUAUUUUUAAGUCAAAGCAUGAAUGUAUUUAUAUUUUUAAUCCAAUAUAGUAAUGUAUUUUUAUAACAUUCGGCAAUCAUAUUAUAGAAGCAAAGAUAAUUUCCGGAAGUAAUCUUUGAUGAUUUCUAUUAAAAGGAUACUUUUCACAUUUCAAAUAAGAUAAUUUCCAUUAGUUGUAUGUUUUGCGUUUACAAUAAACAAGAGUCUUGGAAAAUCUUUAUCGAAUGUGGGGCUGUUUUUUUACAUUGUUCACUCAUAAGUUAAAAGCAUAAUUGAUUAAAAAUAUUAAUUUUAGAGAACGAUAGUAACUUAGCAAUAGGACAUCUAAUGUUGUAUUAAAAAAAAUCUUUGGAAUUUGUAAGUCAACACAAUUAUUUAAAAUAUCAAUAGUUUUUUUUUUUUUUUUUUUUUUUUUUUUUUUUUUUUUUUUUUUUUUUUUUUUAUUUUUUUUUUUUUUUUUUUUUUUUUUUUUUUUUUUUUUUAUUAUAGAUUGAAUUGCUUACUUAUUCACCAUUUUCUUUGUAUUUUUUUCAAAAUUUUAGUUUUAAAAUUGCUUAAUGUUUACAUCUUGAUAUUUAAUUUAAUUUUAAUCAACAUGUGUAGUAUACAGGUUUCACACCUAGUAUAAUUAAAGAGAAAGUGCCAUGUGGACGCCACUUAAACCUCCAUGUAAGUAAGUUCUAUAUGGAAUGUCACGUCAUCUUAUAACAGGCUAUCCCAUUCUUCCUUCUAAUAAUGACCUUUUUGAUAUAUUUCUUGAAAGUUUAGGACUUUGAAUGACAAAAAGAUAAACGAGUGACCAAAUGAGAUCAAAACCUAUAUAAGUUGUGGGGAAACAGUGACAUCAACCCAAAACACAAAACUAUCAUCCAUAAUAACACUAACAAAACUUUCCGCUUUGCUCUUUAAUUUUGAAUCGUCACAUGAUUUUCAUAAUUCACAACCUGGAACAAAGAUUUCACAGUUAAAUUUGGAAAACUAGCAAGCAAUAUUUUCCAUCGUUUAGGAGAACUUGGAAAAAAUGCAAGUUCAGAUGGUAUUUAGUACCUUUUAAUCUCAACAGUUUCUUUCUGAAAACUAGUUGAUCUGUAGGGGCCAUGUGCUGCAAAUAGAACAGACAAGUCAAUAGUAGAAACUAUAAACUCAAGUGUAAAUUACAAUUUCGAUUUCCAUUUAUAACUGAUGCAAAGAGCCAAAACUAAUCAUGUUUACAUUAUGAAAUGUAAUGGAAGUGCAACUGCUAUCGAAAUAUGAUAUCUAAUGGAUUCUAACUUACACCAUUACUAAACCGGCGACUCGGUUUCAAAUGAAAUCGAUUUGUAUGAAACCAUUUUUUUCUACACCAGUCCGGUUCGGUUUUUGGCUUUUUAGUGUCCCUCUAACUUUCUUCUUGUUUUUUAGAUGCUACGAAGUGUAUUGAAUUUUGUAGGAUAUCUUAUUUCAUACAAAACAGAGAAAAUGGCCACCCAUGGUUUUGGUGGCAACUUUAUUAAUAUGGAGGGCUUAAAACCUCCAGCAAAAUUACAUACUGGAAAAUAAGAAAUCAAAAAUAAAAACUAGAUGACAAACUGUGUUUAUCUAGCUUUAUGCAAACUUGAAAUGCGCAUCAGCACCUUCACCUAAACCCAAUCUUUGCAGCUAUCAAAAAAGUGAAAAAAUGCACGUCUCCCUCGGUGGUUGAGAAGUAAAGCACCACAUGCUAUCCAAAAUCCAAUAGCAAAACCAGUUCCCCCACCAGCAUAAAACCAUCCCCAAAAUUCAUCUAUGUCUUUCGCAUCACUCUUACUUUUACCAACGAUUGGUGGGACUUCUGAUUCUUCGUCUCCAGGACACUUUUUGGUAAGGGGAAGUCCACAUAGUUGUGAAUUCCCAUCAUAUCUUGAAGGUUCAAAGGACUGGAGUUGAGUGCUAGAUGGAAUUCUCCCUGAAAAGUUAUUAAAUGACAAGUCUAGGUCAUUCAGUAAAGUCAUCUGAGACAUGCUUGAUGGUAUCUGCCCUGAAAAACUGUUUCUAGACAAAUCCAAAGUCAGAAGUUUUUUCAUCUCACCAAUUUUCUGUGGAAUCUCUCCAAAUAGAGAGUUCUUUGACAAGCUCAGGGCAAUCAAGUCUGAAAGAUUGGUAAUUUCAUAUGGGAUUUGUCCUGUUAACUUGUUGCUUGACAGGUCAAUGGUCUUCAACAAUUUCAGAGUGUUAAAGAAUUCAUGUUCAUCUCCUUGCCACUCAAUCAUUGCAUGGUCAACAUAUAUCCCCGAUCCAUAUGCAACACCUCUUACAAGUGUAUAAAACUUUACAUCUUGUGAGAAUCUUGGUUGAAUCAUGCUCGUAAGAUUACUAAAACAUGAGGGGAUGGUUCCUUGAAGAUUGUUCAUUGACAAGUCCAAAAUUUGAAGAUUAGCUAACUGACAUAAUUGUAAAGGGAUGGUUCCAAAGAAGUUGUUUGAUCUUAGGAUAAGAACAUACAGCCCUGAUAGGUUUUCUCCUAUCCAAACAGGCACAUUACCAGAAAACUUGUUGGCCCCCAAAUUCAAUGAGAUUAAACUUGUGCAAUUUUUUAAAGACAAAGGCAAUUCUCCAGAGAAGUUGUUAUCGUAUACAUACAACACCUGGAGAUCUGUCAAAAAUCCAAUAGAGGGAGGAAGCCUUCCAAAGAGAUUGUUGUGUCCGAGAUUAAGAACUUUUAGCUCUCUGAAAUGCCACAAACAGUCUGGGAGUUGUCCAAUAAAUAUGUUGCGAGAGAGGUCAAGAAAUGAAGAGAACCCAUCAACAAUCUGACAUAUAAAGGAGAUCCCUCCAGAGAAUUUGUUUCUGGAAAGAUUUAAUAAUGACAAAGUAGAAGAAACAUUUAGUAUCGCACCGUGAAAGUUGUUGGAACUCAAAUCUAUCUUUGAACCGUUGGCAAAACUUGAUAAUAAAUCUGGUACUUUCCCGCUAAUGUUGUUGGAAGAGAGAUUCAGAUAUUUUAAUUGAGAAGGCCAUGUGGCCCAAAACUCGAGAGGAAUUGUGUCUGAAAUUCCAGUAUUGGAAAGAUCAAGACGGGUAAGAUUUUUGAGUGUCUGAAUCCAUUUGGGGAAGCGAGGCCCUACCUUGCAAGAGCUUACAUAAAUUUCCUUUACAUAAGAAAGGCUUGGCAAGUGAUAUGUGGAAGGAACUGUAAGAUUAUUAAAAGAAACGUCAAGCAAUCCAAGCCCCGGUAGUUCCCACAGUUUGUCACUUAUAAUUCCAUUUAAGUGAUUAUGAGAUAAGUCCAAGUACUCUAGGGAUGAAAACUUUUGGAUAUCAUUGGACAAUGAUCCUAUAAAUUGGCUAUCAGAAGCAUCCAACCAUUGUAAUGAAAGGGAUGUGCAUCCAGACAAGUUGUUGAGAAAAUCAGGAAAUUGGACAGCAGCCGAGUUGUUACUGAUUUCCAAAUACUCCAAGCUACAGAGGUUACCAAGAUAUUUGGGUAUCCCAUCUAACAUGUUGUAAGAGAGAUCAAGAUAGCCAAGCUUAUUGCUGGUUAAUAGGAACAACCAACGAUACAUGGAUGAGGUGAGACUGUUGUUUCCAAGAUAAAGGCCUUCAAUAGAUGAAGAAGAAGAAGAAGAGUUGAGAAAUGAAGAAGAAUAUGGAUACAUCACCUGUGACAGCUCACAUCCCUCUAAAGAUAAAUAUGAGAGUUUCCGGAGACUCAGAAUUACAUCUACCCAGUGAUUUUGUUUGGCUAGGGAAAUCCCAUCUAAUUCAAGUUUCUCCAAAUGAGACAGAUUAGACAACCACUCUAUCUUUUCAACUCUACAUCUUCCAACGUAACUAAGUUGAAGGUGUUGCAAGUUGGUGAGGUUUUCAAAUUCUGGAGGAAUGGUUCCAUAAAAGGAGUUAUGGGAAAGGUCAAGGUAAAUUAAUUGGGUCAUGGAACCAAUGAAGAUGGGAAUGUUUCCAUGAAAAGAAUUGAUGGAAAGAUCCAAAUGAUUCAAAUAGCUUAAAUUAAGCAAAGAAUGGCUAAUCUCACCUACAAGACCAGAGUUGCUGAUUUCAAGCUUUGUAACAUGACCUGUUUGGUUGUUGCACGUAAUUCCUCUCCAUUUACAGCAGUCAUGUUCGUCAGCUGUCCAAGUAGAGAGACCACCAUCAGGGUCUUUAAGGGGAGCUUUAAAAAGAAGGAGAGCGUGUAUCUCCUUAUCCAAACACUUGUUCAUCACAACAUCUGCAUCAACCCCUCCUUUUCCCACUCUUACCAAUUGGCUGGAAGUUGUAGUCACAGUGAGUAGCAAAAGAAGUGAGAAAAUUAUAAAAACACAAGGAGUCAUAAUGUCUAAAUGAAACUCUUGCUGAUUUUUUGGUUUGUAUAUCAACUGCCCUCAUGAGGGUUUAUAUAGUCUCAACUGUGAGGAUGAAUGAUUCUAAGUAGGUGAUCUCAAACUGGUGGCAUACGUGUUUGGAGCAAAGAGCAAGGCAAAUUAAAAAUGACGAAUUGGAAUAAAUUGCCCCGGAUUAGACGUUCAUAGACCUAGAAGUCUUGGUCGUUUGUAUUUAUUAUCUAUUAUAAUACCCAAGAAAACAAAGUAACGAAAUCAAAUGCCAAUCUACCAUGAAAAUAGUAAAAAUAUUAUUUGGGUCUCUUUAUAAAGUGAUGUUGAAUACAGAUUACUUUUUAUUUUAGUAGUGUUAUCAGUAGAUAGAGCAAAAACUUUAUCGACAUACAAACAAAUCAAAAUUUAAAAGCAAACACUCAAUUAAACCCCAAUUCAACAGCAAUCACGAAUCUCGCAUUCCCCCUUCAUUAUUAUACAAUUUAUGUUUCUGCCUGGAGAUAUAGCACGCAAUAAAAUAGAGAACAGAGAUAAAGAGAACAAAUGCGCUGAGUACCUGUGAUCUGCUGAUAAUUUACCUGAUGGAAAACCAAGAAGAUGACAACGGUAGCGGCAAGGUGGGAGAUAAAAGCAACGACUUCGGAUGUAAGAAUGCGAUAAAUUCAAAAUCCGCUAAAUAUUCUUUUAUGAUGAUUAUUCAUUUUAUAAUUAUAAGUCGAUAGUGACUUAAAAAAAUUAAAAAUGUAUUAUAUAUAUAUANCAUAUUAAAACACAUUUAAAGAAUCUUAGGUACAACUUAAUUAUAUAUAAAACUAGGUUAUAACCCGUGGACACAACGGGUGAAAAUUUUAAAAUUAAUUUUAAUUUAUUUAUAAAUUAAUUAUUGAAAAUUUUAAAAAUAAUUUAAAUUAAUUAAUAACAUAAUUAUUGAGUGAUGUUUUGUCAGUAAUUUCAUAAUAAUAUAAUGUUCGGUUGAAACUAAGAAUUCAAAAAUGUUUAAAUAUCCAAUUAGCAAUUUGUAUUUGUAGAUAUGUUAGAAAAUUAUCAUUUUGUAUAAUGCAAUAAAAUUUAAAUAAAAUGGAAAGAUAAAUUGAUAUACAUAAUAAAAGUAUACGCAGUUUUAUAUAUUUGUAAAAAGUAAUUUAACAUAACAUUGGAUAGUUUAUUUGCAUGACAAAUUUGAUAUAUGACAAUCUGGUCUCCAUGAUCCAAGUAAUCUGUUGAAUCUCAUAAAUAAAUUAAAAAUAAUGAAUAUAAUUAAAUAUAUUAAAUAAAAAUAUUAAAUUUUCUAUAUUUAUGAUCACCUUGUGAAGUACCGCGAAAAACAUAUUCAAUAAUAUGGUCAUCAUUAAUUUCUUCAUCUAAUGUCAAGUCAAUCAUAGAUAUAGCAGAUAUGUGUGUAGUCUUUCUUUUUAAUUGAUGUUUUUCCUUUUGGUAACUUGAUUGAUGAAGAUUUUUGAGUGAUGGUUGAAUGACCGGUAGAUGUCAUGCGAAUACCCAACAAUGGAUUAUCAUUGUUAAUAAAUAGCGGUGUUUGAAUGUUAUUAUGAAAAAUAUAAUUUCCUGAAAAAAUAAAAAUACAAAUUAUAACGUUAGGAGUUUGUAUAAAUUAUAUAACUGGUAAACAUAUAUUUUAGAAUCUGUCUAUAAAGAAAUGCAUACCAUUUGAAAUGUUAGAUAAAGGAGUUCUAACAUUUAUAUCUGCAGACUGAGAAUGAAUAGCUUUAUGUUGAUAUACAAAUGAUUUGACUGAGUUUAGAUUUUCGUUAUCUGAUGUAACGUUUCUGUAGUUAUCUAUAGAUACUAAAUGACUACAACGAUUGUAGAUAUCUGUUAUGAAAUAUUGUUAGUAAUAAAAUCAAUAAAAUUAAUUAUAAAAAAACAAUUAAACUUUAGAAUUUAGCAAUUUGAUAUAAUUUAUAUAGUUCAAAAAGAAUUAUAAAAUAAAAGAAUAACAAUACCGUUAUUUAAUAUGUAAGAAACAUGUGUAAUAGGUGAUUUUUGAUGGGUAGAUGUGUUAGAAUUUACUUUGGAUUUUUUAUUAUUCAAAUAUGACUUUCUAAUUUUUCUCCUUUCUUUAGCGUUUAUAGAAGCUGUAGUGUUAAUUGAACCUGUAAAAUAAUAGUAAAUAAUUUAAGAACAUUUUUUAUAUAAAAUUAAAUAUAUUAUAUUUUAUAAAAAUUUAUUUANNNNNNNNNNNNNNNNNNNNNNNNNNNNNNNNNNNNNNNNNNNNNNNNNNNNNNNNNNNNNNNNNNNNNNNNNNNNNNNNNNNNNNNNNNNNNNNNNNNNNNNNNNNNNNNNNNNNNNNNNNNNNNNNNNNNNNNNNNNNNNNNNNNNNNNNNNNNNNNNNNNNNNNNNNNNNNNNNNNNNNNNNNNNNNNNNNNNNNNNNNNNNNNNNNNNNNNNNNNNNNNNNNNNNNNNNNNNNNNNNNNNNNNNNNNNNNNNNNNNNNNNNNNNNNNNNNNNNNNNNNNNNNNNNNNNNNNNNNNNNNNNNNNNNNNNNNNNNNNNNNNNNNNNNNNNNNNNNNNNNNNNNNNNNNNNNNNNNNNNNNNNNNNNNNNNNNNNNNNNNNNNNNNNNNNNNNNNNNNNNNNNNNNNNNNNNNNNNNNNNNNNNNNNNNNNNNNNNNNNNNNNNNNNNNNNNNNNNNNNNNNNNNNNNNNNNNNNNNNNNNNNNNNNNNNNNNNNNNNNNNNNNNNNNNNNNNNNNNNNNNNNNNNNNNNNNNNNNNNNNNNNNNNNNNNNNNNNNNNNNNNNNNNNNNNNNNNNNNNNNNNNNNNNNNNNNNNNNNNNNNNNNNNNNNNNNNNNNNNNNNNNNNNNNNNNNNNNNNNNNNNNNNNNNNNNNNNNNNNNNNNNNNNNNNNNNNNNNNNNNNNNNNNNNNNNNNNNNNNNNNNNNNNNNNNNNNNNNNNNNNNNNNNNNNNNNNNNNNNNNNNCACAUAUAUAUAUAUAUAUAUAUAUAUAUAUAUAUAUAUAUAUAUAUAUAUUGAAAAUUCCACUAAAGCUAAUGUAUUCAAAUGUUUAAGAUAUUCGGGUUGACAUUUAAAACCGUAUUUAUGCAUAAAGUAAAUCAAAUACAUGAGAAAUUAAAUAAAUUUAAUUUUAACCAUUUUAAAGAUUAUUCAUAAUUUUUUAUUUAUAAUAAAACCCACCUACAAGUUAUCACUAUUCCCCAAACUUUCCCCUUUCCCUUUUGUCUGUAACACACACGAUGAAACAAAAAACCCAACCUAGAAUUUUGAUUACAUACACAUUUCCAUAGCCACAGUUCGAUUUCUUAAAGAUUGUGAACAUUUAUCCAUGUAUAUCGAUAAAGGAAGAUACUAAUAUACCACCGAUUAGAAAUGUGAAGUGAAGAAAAGCUUACGUUGAGUAAUCUUGCUGUCGAACUCAGAGACUGGUUGAACGCAACAUUGGGGUUUGAAGAAAGCAAGAUUCAAGGUAAGAGAUGAUCAACUGAUGGUUAAUCUUAGUUUUUUUAACAGAAAAUAGAUUAUGUUGAAGAAAAUUUACAUGUUUUUCUUUGUUCCAGAAAUGUUGUGACUGAAGAUAUAAGCGAAAAGUUAAGCCGUUCAAAAGAAUAAACUCACAUUCGUUAAUAGCGGAAACACAAUAAGGUAGAAAUGGUUUUGGUUCGAUUUUUGAAAUUUGAGUGUUUGUUUAAACAUUUAAAUUUUGAAAUUGCUAAAUUUUAGACAAAAUCUCGUUAAUGAUUAUUUAGGGGAUCAUAUGAGUAAAUAAAACAAUUAUUUUCUUUGAUAUACCUUCUAAAUUAUAUAAGUUUUGUAUCAUUGUAUAGUAAGGUUUUCAAUUUUAUGUAUAAUACAAAUAAUCCAUAUCUGAUCCAUAUUUCAGUUGUGAUCAAGAAUCGAUGUUUUGGUGGGUCACUGUGUGUCAAGAUACUUAUAUUAGUUUAAAUCAUUGUUCAUUUUUAUCAAACUUUAUCUUUUUGCAUACCUUUAAUCCCUAUUUCAAUCAAAAUCACUUAGUUUUUACUACUGCUUCAUUAUCUUGCAGGCCAAUAAAAAUGGUAUGUGAUAAAUUACAGAAAUCCAUAUAAGUUAUAUUAGAUUGCAAUAUACCAUAGCCAAGGGCAACGAACAUUGAAAUGUAAUAAACUUAAAAAGUGAGUUAUUUUAUGCACCAAUCCAUGUCUAAUUGUCUAAUGGUAUAAUUCUGCUAUUGAUAAUUAUUUAUUAUCUAUAUAUCACAUUAGAUAUUAUAUUAUUUAAGUAUUUAUAAUACAGAUGAAUAGUUAAUUAGAUUAAAAGGUUAGGAAGGGAAAGAUUCCAAACUCCAUUAUUGAAAAAGGAAUGGUUUUCCCUUUUUGCUUUCACGUAGCUGGUUGGAAAAGUGGACAGUGCUCAGCUUAUUUGACAACAAAGUGUAUUAGUAAUAUGAUUCAAAUGGUUGAUUGAUGAUAUAGUUUAUUAAAACUCUUAUUACUUGAUGUAUAAGUGCAUGCAUAGAUGUUUAUUUAGGAUUUUAUGCAGAAGGGUUAAAAUGAAAAAUAACAAUGCUUCUUUUAUUAAUUAGAUUUGUUUAUCAUUAAUUAUAUUGCCUAAAACAUAGCAAUCGGUACAAUUAAUUUAUAUGUUAAAUUCAAUUAUUUGUAUCAAACACAUUUUAAUUGAAUAUCGAAACCUUGGGGGCUAUUUGAGUUGCAUAAUAUUUUAGAAUGUAUUGAAUCUGUUAAUACACAAUUCUUUAUUAAAAGACAACCCUAAGNCACAAUUCUUCAUUAAAAGAUGGCAACCCUAAGAUGAUAUUUAGUUGAGAUAAAAAUUUUGUGUUUUAUUUAUUUAUAUUUCUUAUUAUUUAACAUAUCUUUUAAUCAACAUAUGUAAUACACAAUAUUUAGUAUUUUAUACCCAAUAUUCUUAAAUUGACAGGUAGGUGGUAUGUGUAGCCUAGACAAAUGAUAAUUGGACAAAAAUGGUAAUGAACUUUAAUUAUGUUAAUUUUUCGUUAGGUAUCGUACCUUUAUUUAUUCCUAUUAUAACAUUCUACUAUCAAAAAAUUGUUGUUUACACUUUUAUAGCAAUAUAUAUUAAUUUUUCUCUUAAACCACUAAAUCAAUAACUGUUUCUCUCACUCCAGGAGGAAUAAUUGGUUCCAAAAUAAGCAUUGUAUUUUGAAAUGUGCUAUAGGUAGCAAUAUAUAUUACUUAACUAACAAAAUUAAUAAUUUCUUGUUUUCUUUAGAUAUGGAAGAAUCUAAAGUUGUGGGCACCAUUCUUGAAAUGUGGUUAGCUAACAAAACCUCAAUCUUUUAGGGCUUUACUUCAGGUAAUAAUAAUAUGAUUGAAAUUUUUUGUAUUUGUUUUCGUUUUUGUAAAUAUUUGAUUUGUGAAAUUUAAAUUGUGUUAUUUUCGUCCUCCUACAAAGCUGGAAAUAUCAAUGAAUAAACAACCUGUAAUCAACCAGAAUUAAGAUCUUCGGUCAAUCUCAUUUUGAAGCACAAUCACAAUCAAAGACUAGGCUACUUUAGAAUAGGAAUAAGAAACACCCAAAUUCAAAGUCAAAUGUAAACAACUGCUACAAAUAGAAGUCUAUAUAAUAUAUGUUUGAAAAUUAAAAAAUAAAUGUGGUGUAUGUUAAAUAACAAAAUUAUUCCAAGAUCAUAAGUGACUUAAAUAACAAAAUUAUUUCUAAAUCAUAAAUUAACAUUCAUAAUAAUAUAUUAUGAAUGUAGGUUAAACAUACUAAUAAAAAACAAUCAUCCCCAACAAAUGUUUGAAAAUUCUAAAACAAAACGUGAAAGUACUUAAUGAAAAGUAAAAUGCAUAAUCAUUGUCUAUAAAUCAUAAUCCAAUACCUAAUGAAACUUAAACUUAAAAUAAAAAGCCAACCACUUUUUUCCAACUUUACCUUCACAAUUUGGUUAAUGCGUCCUUCUGGCGAUAUUUUAGGAGUUUUUGAUGAUGAUAAAUGUUCGUUCAACUCCAGAUCAAACACUUCUUCCAGAUUUCUCUUCAAAACAGUUGGUAUAUUGAAACCCUUCAUGGGACUUGUUGCUGAGUUUUUAUCAACAGUGUAAGGUGUUAUGUUGUCGUCUGUCCUAGAAAUUGCAUCCUAAAAAAAUUUGUACUUAAUUAAUUUAUAAUCUGAACUUAUAUUUAUAAAAUAAUUAUAUGUUAUUAUAAAGUGUAUAUAACCUUCAAAAUCUUAUUAUCUUGUGAUUCAGAAUCAGCUUCACCAAUAUCAAAUGAUUGUGAAUUACCUACCUGCAUAAUAAAUAAUAAAAAAUAUGAACACAUAUAAUAAUAAUAAUAAUAAUAAUAAUAAUAAUAAUAAUAAUAAUAAUAAUAAUAAAAUAAUAGUAGUUAUAGUAAUACAUAGUAUAAUGAUAAUAAUAAUAAUAAUAAAUCUUUUUAUAAGAAUAGUAAAAAUAUUAAGCAUAAUAAUAAUAAAUAAAUUAAUGACCUGUGAAACGGUAAACUUAUUUUCGAGUUCUUCAAUCAAUUUUUCAUCAUCACUGACUCUACAUAUACUGUAUUGGUUGUUUUUUUCGAGACAUUGAAGGGACUGAUUGAUAUUUUAAAAGCCAACUUCAAACCUUUCAAUGCAUUUAUCUCUCCGGGAUAAAGUUGAGUACUAAAACCAAGCUACAAUAAAAAAAAAAGUAAAAAAAAAUUAGUUAAACUAAAUAUAUUAAGUAGAUGUAUCAUUUAAUUUUAAUCAAGGAAGACGACCUUGACUGUUUUUUUAAACAGAUCAUGGGCUGAUUUUUUCAAAAGAUACGUUCCAUCUCUUUCAAACAUGGUUAAGGUAAGAGUACCAGUAUUGUCUUGCACACGUAUCGGAAUCUUAUAUCUAUAAAAAAAGGAAAAUCCAAAAUAUAUUUAUUACAAUAUAAAAUAUAAUAUAGGUUUUAAUGAUUCAGGAGGAAAAUAAUAACCUCGGAAUAACCGUAGUUUUGUUUUUUGUGCAAUCCUUAUUAUGACAUUCAUAACCGGUUAAUCCUUCAUCAUCAACUUGAUCUUUUGGACCAGGAGGCCGAAUUGCUUUGUAGUUGCAAUUUGUACAUGCCAAAUAAUGCCAUGGUUCAUUUUGUAAAAUUCCCUUUAUAGUGCCCAUGAUAAUGAAAGUAUUUUUCUGCAUAUUAAUUUUAUUUUGAUUAUGCAAUAUACAUAACAAAAAAGUAGGUUUAUAAAUAUUAUAAAAUAUAUAAAAACCACACCUCCACAGGUUCUGAAACAUCAACAAUUGUCUUCAACUGAAACUUAACCAUGAAAUCAUCGUGUUCAGAAACUUAUUAGACUUCAUAAGUGUGAAUGUAUUUGUGGAUGAAUCAGGACGAUCAUCUCCAUCCAAAUUGUUUGUUAAAAAAAAAUUAACUAAUAUUAGUCACAUAAAAAUUAAUUGUAGAAAUUUGAAUGAAAUAAAGAAAAGUAAAUAAUAUUAAUCACAUAAAAGAUAAAUAUAGAAAUUAUAAUGAAAUAACACAAAUGACUAAUAUUAAUCACAUAUAACUAAUAUUAGUGACAUAAAAGUUAAUCGGAGAAAUUAGAAUUAUAUAACAUAAAAUACAUUUUCUUAAAAACAUUGAUUUCAUCAAUGUUUGUGUUAAUGAAUAGCUUCGACACGGAAAAAUAGGUGUUAACUGUGGGACGAUCUAUAAAAAAGAUUUUAAUAAGUGUUAAUUUAAUGAUUAAAAAAAUAAUUAAUAACAAAAUACUAUAGUAUACCUCUCCAAAUACUAAGUUUCGCAAAUUGAAUGAUAACGAUGAUACGAAGAUUGUGUGGAUUGUUAUCAAGAAACCCUUGCAUUUUGUAAGAAAAAUCACCCCACAAAUUGACACUUAGUUGGAAACCAUGCCAAAUAAAAGUUUUAAAUUAAAUGAAAUUAUAAUUAGAUAAUCUAAUAUCCAAAAAAAUAAAAUAAAAUAUAAAAUAACAAACUUUGCAUCUUGGAUUUGGAUGUUGAGUCUGUGUUUUUUGAUAUCAUCAUUGUCUCUCCCCAUCUCACCAAUUGCAACGACCAAUCCAAUAACAUCUAUGAACAUCAAAAAAGAUGAAUUAAAUUUUGUUAUGAUUUUAAAAAUAUGAUAUACUAUUCAAACCAUAAAAUUGACAAUAAUUAAUCUAUAACAAAUUGCAACUAAUCGAUAGCGGUGUUUUCAGGAUGGGUCAAUGAGAUAAUAGACUGGUAAUCAAUAAAUUCAAAACCAAACGCAGGUCCAGAAAAGUCAUGACACUCCGUAAGAACGAUGUUAUGGACAAAAGUAAGUUUAUGAUGUUGCCGAGUUAAAGUAAAACCACCCAUCCUUUGAGAUUCAAAGCUUGAACAUUGUAUGUAAAAUGCCAAGCCAUCUUUUAGAAUGUUUUUGAAUCGAUAGAUGUUUUUUCUUAAUACAUUUACUUGGAUCUUAGUACCCUAAAAGAAGUAUGAUAUAUAAAAUUAUCAUCAAAUCAUAUUAAACUUUGAAUGUGUAAUGAAUAUAUAGUGUGAAGUUGUAAAAUACCUGUUCAUCUAUUAAGAUUAAUUCAAUCGAGAAAAAUUCAUCCUUGUUAUACAAUGAAAAAAGGUUUCAUAGGUUUAUCACUUUAACUUUGAUAGUCAAAUCAUCUUUAAAUAUAUCUAAAUCCGAAAUCAAAGUAACAUUUGGCUGUGCCAUUUCUUUGCACAGAAAAAUCAACAUAUAUAAAAUGACACGGAUGGAAAAACAAAUGUAAAACAAGUUGAACUAAUUAUCAAAGAACAACCAAGCCGAUAACCUAAUGUAAAAUGACAGGAAAUCAAAAUACAGUAAAAAUAGUAAUGAAAUGAAAUUCAAAAUAAUGAAUAUACAGAUCAAGUAAAAUCUAUAUCCAUACUCUUUUAGUUGUGUUAUACAAUUUGUUGCUGAAAAACCAUAAUCUUUUAGUUCUGUUAUACAAUUUAUCAAAAAAAGACAAAUUAUAUAUAAUUUUGUUAUAUAAUUUGUUGCUGAAUAAAAGUUGUCAAAAAAAAAAAGACAAAAAUUAUAUAUAAUUCCAUUAUAUAAUUUGUUGUUGAAUAAAAGUUGUCAUGGGACUAUUCACGUAAAAAUAACCAAUUCGUUUAUCCACUCAUAAAAUGCAUAGUUAUCAUGGUUUUCGUGUAGCAUUAGAGUAGAUAGCAAUUGCCAUGUGAAACAGUGAAAGCAAUGAAUGGAUUGAAUGAAAUGUAAAAUCAAAUUAUUGAAACAUAUUGUGAAAACAUAUAAUAAAAAAUAACAACUUUUAAAACCGUACCUUCAUUGCGUGCAAAUAUAGCAAGAAUGACAGUCAAUUAAUUGAUGUAAACAUAUGUUCAAGAAACAAAGGCAAAGAAACGAAUUACAUUCUAAACGAAUUACUAUUCUGCAACUAGAUUACGGCAUCACUCUUCUAGGAUUGUAGAGUAUUGUGUUGGAUCCUAGACUCAAUGUUUCAUUUGGGUGUCACAUCGAGGAUCCUGAUCAACUUGACUUGAAUUUUCUCGCAUUUUGUAUAUGUCAAAGUAUGACAACUAUGGUCUUCCCAAAUCCCAUCGAACAAGUUUUCCACAUGAAGAUGAUAUUUCACGAUUCGAUCGGGGAACAAGAGAUCAUGCUUUACUUCCUCCACCUCCUCCAAUUAUUCUCCCAAACCCACAAGUUCAAAGGCUUGAAAAGUUCAAGCUCACUCAAGCCCUUUUGGCAAGUAAACAUGGGAAACCUAUGUGUGUACACGUCUUAGAGAUGAAGUCACACAUUGAUAGGUUAAGGAUGUUGGGUGUCGAGAUUUUAGGUAAGUUGGCUGUUGACUGGGUUCUUCAGUCGCUUCCUGAAUCAUAUAGUGAGUUCGUUAGAGAGUACUAUAUGAUGGAUCAUGACGUGACCCUCAUUGAUUUGACCUAUUUGCUUAUAGCUGCUGAAUCAGCAAUGAUUUGGCAAGUUAGUCGAGCAAAUUUGUCCGGUGAAUCAAAAUCCCAAACUUCAAUGGACAUUGAAAAUGGUGACAUUGGAGAACCAGAAAAAGUAGAUUCUGAGAUUGUUUCUUGUGCCAUUCCAAAAGAGUCCAUUUGCUUAUAUUGCCAAGAAAAGGAGCAUUGGAGACGAAGCUGCUCUAUUUACCUAAGAGAUCUAAGAUAUGGGAGAGUCAAAACAUAUGGCUCUACUUUAUGUGAAAUCCAUUAACUAACUCUUUUAAGUUCCUAUUCUAGAUUCUUGAUACAUGAUGUGAUAAGAUUACAUUUUGAUGUUUUGUAGGAUCGAAGAAAAGAAAGGAAGCUUAAGGGAAGAAGUGAAGCUGAAUCUAAUCGUGAAGAAAUGGAUUUCGAUCGCAUUGCUUGAAGAUUAGAUUCUUAAGCUACUACUUGGAGUUAAAAUAGAUUGCUUAGGAAUAUGUAACAACAUAGUUUUUCAGUUAAAUUGCAUUGUAAGGACAAAUUUUUCCGCAAUAAAAUAAAUUUUGAUUUUUAUAUUAUUUAUUUAUCCUUGCAAUGGCGUAUAUGAAAAAUUGAUGUUUGCAAGUUUCUAUUAUUAGCAAUAAUGGAUUUGAUUCUUAAUUAUGUUAUUUGUGGAAAUGUCAAAAGUUUACCAAAUAGGGAGAGUUUCUCAUCGCCCAAGUUUCAAUUGGACAGAAACUUGGAAUCAUGCAAUGUGUAUUGUAUGAUGAAUGAAAAACUUUCACAUUUGGGAAACUUAGACUAAUUCUUUGACAAAGUGUCAAUUGAAGGACUAGGAGAUCGAGUACACUAGGUCGUACGUUGAUCAAGUCUACCACAAGAGUGACAAAGAUAUUCGUCAUGAUUUACUAAAGUUUAGUAAAUAUGGUUAUACUUAUAAGAUUGAGUAUAAUUCUGAGUUAACUGAAAUAGUUUCAAUCAAUAGCAGAACGAAUAAGAAGAAUCAAGAAGGCAGAAAGAUAAAAGUUUCUCCAUUCUAAGAAGAAGGGAGAGUACCUUUUAUUGUGUUUUAUGAUGAAGUCUUAAUGAUUAAGAACCAUAUCUCAAUUGAUCCUCUAAGUGAGUCUUAGUGCAUUUGCAUGUCUAAGAAGAGGAAUCGAGAAUUGUAGAAAUGGUUAAAUCAAAGAGUCAAUCAUACUUCGUUCCAAUAUCAAGUCUUAGAGUCAUACUCCAAGAUUGUGACAUUGAGUGACAAGUCUUAAGUAGGUUUAUAACACUCAUCAAAUGUGGAAUUUGGAAAAGUUUUCUUAUUCUUGCACAUUAGAAAUUGGUAAGUUGUGAUGUCUUGGAUAAGACAAAGACCAACUAGGACCAAUUUGUGAAGUGUUUUGUCUUGAUAAGAACUACACUAACUCUUGAAUAUUUGCUUUGUCAAGAAAUGUUUCUUGACAAGAGAAUCUUAUAUGUCAAGGAGUCAGUGGGAGUCUUAAUGGUCUUGAAAGGUUUCAAGAACAAAUCAAGAAUAUACCUUAUCGAUCAUCACUAGCACACGACUUGAGGUUUGCAACCUAUCGUGCUGACAUUAUUUUGUUUUUGUGCCAUUCCAAUUGAGUUAAUUGCGUAUGUGAGUUCUAUGAGUUCUCAUUUGAAUGAAGGCAAGCACCUUGAUCAAUGAAAAGUACAUUGAUAUGAAUGGGUGAGCUACUUAACUACUUGGAAGACAUGGUGGGCACUCGUGUUACCAUAAGGCAAGAAAUCAAGAUUAAGAAAGUUCAGUCCAUAUGAGUUUGGAUUUGUCGCAAACCUUGGUUUUGGCAAAUUCACAUGGAUAGGAACUCAUACACCAUAAAAUCUAAGUGUCAUAAGAUUCCCUCCUUCAUGAAAAUGACUGUGAGGAAAUGCUUUCACUAAGAGAGAUUUUAAGAAGAUAGCAAUUGUGAAAAUUGUAUUCUCAAAUUCGAUUAUGGUUACGGCAUCCCUUUCCAUAGUUCGAAUUGUGAGAUUUGGCAAUUAGUUUGAACAUUUGGAACUUAGUAACAUAAGUUCUGAAUUGUUUAAACACACAUAUGAGCUAUCUAAGGCAAAGGUGUAUAAGUUUAAGAAGCUUAGAUAAAGGCUUAUCGAAGCAUCUGGUAUUAGAAAUAUGAAUUUCAGAAAUUCAAUAGGCAUUGUUUUCUGAAAGUUCAUUUGUUUUCUGAAUACAUGUCAAAGCUAGUGGGAGCAUAAGUGUUAUGCUUAUAUGAUAAUAAUCAUCAUGAUAGUGGGAGCAUAAGUGUUAUGCUUGUAUGAUUAUUAUGGCAAGUAUUGCAAGUUAGCAAUAUUAAUUAUAGAAAAACAAAGAUUCAAUUUGCAAAGUUGCAUGGGUUGAAAAGUUGUUUUGCUAUAAUUAAGGGAGAGAAUAUUAUACUUCGUUUCAAAAUCUAAAGCUUAGAUUGAGAAAUUUUAAUAUUUUCAGUCAAAGGAUACAUUGUGUGUUCUUAAAAUUCGAUUAUGAUUACGGCAUCCCUCUUCAUAGUUCGAAUUGUGAGAACAUGACACAUAAAAUAUUAUGGCAGAAGAUUGGUAAAGUAUCAUAUCUUUAUGUAAGACAUUAUGCAUCGUGUCCCAUACGCUUCGGGUAUAGGAUCGAUUGCAAGUGCUAUAAUAUUUGACCAUUCUAAAAUUUUCCAAAUGUCUAGCGCAUUUAGAGGGAAAAAGGACUAGAAUCGGUUUUGACUAAAAUAAUUAAACAACUAUCAAAGGACGAUCCAAAGUUCGCUGAGGAUUGGUCGCUUGUGAGUAGUUGGAAGUAUGGUAUUGGAUGGACCAUAUCGACAUUAUUAUGAAUAGAUAAGAUUCUAUUUAGAAUGAGUUGUCAAUUGACAAAUAUGGAAAUGUUUCCAUAUUGGGAGUUGGAUAUUGAGAAUCUAUGUCUAGAUUAGAAACUUUUAUGCAAGAAGGAUGUUCAAAGGAAUGUACUUUGAGUGAGAGAAAUCAUAUCUAUAGAAUUGUUUCUGAUAGAGAUUGGCCAAGUCUUGAUGAUUUUGAGCUAUGACUUUACGAAAGAAUCAUUGCAUAAAAUGUUAGAAUCUAGCAUAAGUAACAAGAAUUUGAUAUUCUUAUACUUAUGAUAAGGAUUGUGUCACAACUAGAAAUUUUUGUGUCUUGUAAUCACUAUACUCAAGUAAGAUGUUGAAUCAAAAACUUAAGAGCAUGUAUGAUGCUUACUUUAUGACAACAAAAUUUCAAUCCAAUACACCAUACAAGUACUACAAAUAGUCAACAAGUAGUUGGAAACCCUAGAAGUUCUUGUUUAGGUCCAUUUUGGACUAGGAAUUCCUUAUUGGACUCAACGGACCAAUAAGCUUCCAAUUUUGACUAUCAUGGGCUUAGAACCUUUAAAUGGGCUCUAAUUGGACCCACGUUCAUUUAUUUCAACAUUUUGGGCCAUAUUGGGCCUAGAAUGAAAUAAAUUAAAUAUUAUGAACCAUAAUUAAUUUAAACUAGCCCAACAAAGUAUAAAAAUCACACUUAUAUCUUACAAUCAUCAAACCUAACUCUAAUAUUGGGCUUAGGGGCAUUAAAGCCCAAUACUCUCUUUUUCUUUCCAAAUUUCGGCCCAAGACAAGCCCAAGAGGAAGAAGUUGACUAUUACCAUAACACCUCGCUUUUACAUGGGGGAUAUCCAUGUUUUACACUCCAAACAUCCAUACAAUCUCAUCUUUCCAUGCAAACCCCUCUCUUCUUCUCUUUUCUCUCUCAUUUUCGGCCGAAAACACACACACACAUCACAAAAAUCUAUUCCAAUCUCUCUAAGUCAUGAAGAGCAUUCAUCCCUCCUCCUUCAAAAAUUUCGAGAAUCAAGAGCUUCACAAGGAGAAUUCUUCACUAAAAUCAUUAUCUAGGUAAGUUAAUGCUUGGAUCCAUACUUUAGACUUCUUCUUAUAUCCAAAAAUCUCUUCUUAACUCUCAUGAAAUCAUAAACUUGUGUAUUAGAACCCCUCAAACUCGAGACCUUCAAGAAAAGGGUGCUAAGGCCAAAAAUCACCUCAUUUCUUUCCAUUUCUCCUCCAAAACCGAAACAACACCCUAAGGUGAGCUUCAUACCCCCUAUUUUUCUGUUUUAUAAGUUUUGUGGGGGGGGGUGGGGAAUACAAGUCAAAGUGUAGAUCUAUGUGUAUUUGUAUGCCUUGUAUGAUUUCUAUGCUUAUAUGUGUGUUUUUGUGUGAUUAUGAUGUUGGAUCUAGUCAAAAGCCCCUAAAAAUCGAGAUUUACUUUGUGUUAUACGUUAUUAGCAUAAAUUUUAUUACUACAUACAAUUUAUUUCAAGAAAAAUAACCAAGUUGUAGGAUAACAUCUUCUUUGGGCUAAAAACUCAUUUUUGGGCUCAAAAUGUUAAAAAUAUAAAAUUAAAGGGCCCAAAAUGACAAAACACGAAUUCUGAUGGGUGUAAUGAGUCAAAACAGUUUUGAUAAUGUAUUUUCUGGAAAUAUACUCUUUUAAAGGAUUAAAAUGUAAAAUUUUAAGCAUAAGAAUGUAAAUUUACAAAAAGAAAAGGGGCUGUAGACAGAAAAACUUCAAUGUUUUAAAUCAAUAAAUCCGUUGCGAUAAAACACUGACACCGUGACUACCGAGAAAUCACAAUACACAAUCAACACCAAAAAUCGUUAUCAAACGAAUUCAUUCGGUCUCGAAUCAAUAACAAACCUGAAACUACUAACACGACGACAACUCGAUACAUACACGGAAAAUUCGGGAAUUCAAUACACACGUGGGAAUGCACAGACGUCGAUACACCAUCUUUGGGCCCAAAAGUGUCAAAUCUUGCUUGUUGGGCCUAGCUAGCCCAAUGACCUGAUCUUUAGGCCCGAAGACAACAACCUUACGAGUUGUUGGGUCUUACAUGAUCCAACACAGCGUAAAAGGACUUUCAAUGGCUUUUAUACUAUUGGUCCCCAAGGGUCCUUUGGUACUACUAGUAAAGUCGAGAAUUCACCAAAUGCGAGUCGGGCCAAGGGCUCUUCGCAUUCACUAUAGCCUCGACCGACUAAUGGGAUUAUUAAGGUCUUCGUGCCCUCUUUUCUCUUCGGUCGUGGGGCUACACGAAGUCAGGGCGUUGGGUUACGUGAAUAGUACGGGCGAGGCCUAAGGGAUCGUUAGUAUAGUUGUAAACUGGUCGUUUGUGUAACGCGUGUUUAUAACAAUUCACCAUGCGCAAUAACCCAGUGUCGCCUGGAAUCAAUGACAACUGGAAUCAAUGACUUCACAUACCGCGAUGGUACAACAACUAUACGGAAUUCAAAGUGUUAGGAAAACAUCGGGUUUUCCUAGGGUUAUUCAAUACACACAUUUACGAGAUGUACACCAAGUUUAAUAAAUUCUUUUUACAAUUAUAGAAACAAACAAGCAUACUUAUGGAUCUUCACAAACUUUUUCAUAAACUUUUUUCAGAAAAUAUCGGAUUUUCUGGUAGUUUUCAAAACAAUACAAAACAUUGCUUUUCAAACACCGCUUAUGAACUCACCAACAUUUCAUAUGUUGACGUUUUUCAAAAUACUUGUAUUCUCAGGUAACAGGUAAAGCAAGGGGAAAAAUGUACUCAGUGAUGGUGGCUUGCAGAUUGUUUAUCUAUGAUCGAACAAUUUAUUUUUUGGAAUGUAAUGUUAAAACAAUGUACUUAGUGUAAACUCUACCAGUUGUACUAUCUCAACGCAUGGUAAUGAAUGAUGUUACGUUUCAUAUAUACUCAAUGUUAUGGUAUUCAAUUACGUCACGACAGCCCUCAGACGUUUCCGCCGUCUGGUUCGGGGGUGUGACAGAUUGGGAGUUGUGAAAUGAGUAUGACUGGAAAUGUGUUCAUUUGAUCUAUUUCACAAAGUAAGGACCGUAGGUAAACAUUGUGUGCAUGCUGAGAGCAUAGGACAAGUGUAGUAAUAAUUCAAGUAAGAAGUUGAUUACCCGAAACGACAAAUAAUGAGUAAUCGAUAUGGUGAUUAAAUAAAAUGUUACCCAGAGUUUGGGGUUAUAUGGGAUUAGUAUUAUUCUUGUGUUUCACUUUGUAUGUUUUGACUUCCUGAAUAAUUAAAUUGGUUCAGAACAAUCAAAAUUAUUCGAAUGGACCACAGUCGUUCAUAUGUUGGAAGUAGGUAUGAAUGAAGACUGUCGUGAAUUGGUGUGUGGAUUGUCUAAAGUGUAUUAGAGAUAAGCAAAAUUUUGCUGCAACGUUCAUGAGUGCUUAUGAAUAUGAUUUGAGCAUUGGAUUAAACCCACGCUCACUUGGAUCACUUCAUGGAUUUUAUCACGAGUGAUUGAUGAGAUGAUAAUAUCUUAUAUUCUUGAAACCGAGAUGUGUGAGUUGUAUCUUGCAAGUCGGUUACACAUUGAUAAUAUGUAAACGCAGCAGUAACUUGGUGUCAUAAAACAUAUUGUUGUGUGUGAUUCGGUAAGUGAGUGCAAGCAAGCAUUGAAUCAAAGUUUAUCCGUUCCUUUUAUCCAAAGUGGGAUGAAAGCGAUAUCUGUGGGCCCCUCGAUGAUUUAGUGAUGACAUCCUAAGCGCUUGGCCAAGCCGGGACUAAUUUAAUGUAUUCAAUUGUAGUCUGUUGUCAGUCGUCAUAAAUUAGAAAUUGGAAAACAACAUAUAGACAUAGAGAAUGAUUUAAAUCCAUGUCUCAUUCUAUACAAUAUCUAGAAUGGAGGAAUAUAUGAUCCCUUAUCUAAAGGACGCAUAUCUGAUAAGAUAAGAGUUGACAACGGCUUUUGAAAGCUACGAUUACAGAGAUCUGAAGUCAUACGCAGAAUAGUUAUUAGACUUAUCCAAGUGGGAGACUGUUAGAUUAAUGUCUAAGUCCAUAACUAUUUUGCUAUGUACUUGACCCGAUGGUACAUGGUCCUUUUGGGUUGCCUUCACCAAAGCAACUUGAUAGGAUGGAUUAUGGAGAGAGAAAAUUAAUUAUGAUUUAUUAAUAUAUUAUGAGAAUAAUAUAUUAAAGGAGAAAUCAUAUUGUUUAAUUAAUUUAGUCAAUAAUUAAUUAAGAAUUAGUUUUGUGGCUAAAAGACAUUAAUUAAACUUAAGGGACUAGAACUAUCAAUUGUAUAAUAGUUUAAUAUUGGGAUAAUAAACUCCAUAUUAGAGGGGUAGACGAAUUCUAUGGGGAAACCCAUUAGAAAUCGUCCUAGGCCUCUAAGGAGGGAGUUCAUGGGUUUCUUAGGGCCUAAGCAGUCAAAUUAGGGUUUCCUUGUUAGAUAACCCUAAUAGCCACACUAUUUAAAGGACCCUUGAGACUCAAAAACCUGGUGAACUAAUUGAUUAGGGUUUCCAGCCGUUUUUGGGUGUCUCCUCUCUUCUCAUUCUUCAUCCUCUUGCUCUUGGUGUUUGUGAGCCAUUAGAGGAGUGACACUUGUGACUCUAAGCUUUCUAAAGCCAUUACAAAGGAGGAUUUGAGAUUGUUAUUGCUACAUAACAAUCAAGGUAAGAUCUAAACCCCAAUCUUAUGUUAAUAUGAUUAAUUGUAUGCUAGAUCUAGGGUUUAUAGCUUUGGAUAUUCAAUUGCAUGUUCAUUAGAUAAACUAGAUCCAAAAGCUAUUAGGGUUUACAUGUACACCAUAGGAAUGAUGUUUUACUCAUAACCCAUCAGUAUUUUCUUAUUCAGAUCACGAAACUUCUCUAUAUCACCGGUCAUGUGAUUGCUUGCACCUGUGUCGAGAUACCAUAACAUCAACUAAUUUGAGUCCCCACCUUUAGUUUUCAGUUUUGGGUUCACCUUCUCUUCAUUUAGGAAUACUUCACCAACCUCUUCUUUAUCUUCAAGGGAGGAAAAUAGCAAUGCAGGUUCGUUGUCUUCCUGUAUCAAGUUGGUUUCAUGGCUCCUCUCCUUUCUUGGAUUCUUACACUCAGCUGCGUAGUGCCCGAAUUCCUGGCAGUUAUAGCAUUGUAUCCCACUUUUAUCUUGACUGCCAGAUGCUCCAUUACCUCCUUCUCGUUGGUGAUGUGAGCCACCUCUUCCUCGACCGCCACGACCACCACUAUUUUGACCUCUACCUCUGCCUCGACCUAGUGAGCCUCCAAAUCCUCCUCGAUUCGACUUAGAUUUGGAGUCACCUUCUCCCCUUUUCUUUGUUCUUUUGGACCACUCUUGAUGAGUCAAGAGCAGUUUUCGAUCAUCAAUUUCUCCAUGCCCUUUCAAUCUCUCUUCAUGAGCUUUCAAUCGGCCUAUUACUUCUUCCACAGUCAUUGUGUCCAAGUCCCCAAAUUGCUCAAGAGUUGAGGCAAUUUGAAGGAACUUUGAUGAUACUGCCCUGAGCAACUUCUUCACUACAUAGCCUUCUUCUACAGUUUCUCCCAGAGUGCGCAUGAUGCUCACUACAUUGGUUACCUUCACGGAAAAAUCGUCAACACUUUCUGUCUCUUUCAUGAUCAUGGCCUCAAACUCAGCUUUCAAGGUCUGGACUCUUGCAGUCUUCACUCUAUCUGCCCCUACAAACAUCGUUCGCAGGGCUUCCCAUGUUUCUUUGGCCGAUUUCUUCUUAAAUAGUGACAUUACAAACUCCUCAGGAAUCCCUUGGUAAAUGACCGCUAGUGCCAUCUUGUCCUUCUUUACCUCCACCACCGUGUUGGCUAUUCGCAGCUCAACAACAUCCCAUACACCAUGGGCUUGCAUGAACAUGCGCAUCUUGAUUUCCCAUGCCCCGUAAUUACUCCUAGAUAACAUUGGAUAGUGGAGGGUGAUUUACCCAUCUUUUUCACCAUUGUCAUUGCUUCCCGACAUCUCUUCACGAAAUUGAUACUUGGGCAUACACGAGGUUAGGCUCUGAUACCACUUUGUUGGUUUUGACAGGCUCUUCACAAGGUUCCUGCAGAAGAGAAGUAACAGGGGACAAAAGAAAUUUUACAGAGGGGUAAUUUAGGUAAAGGUUUUGUGAUGUAUUAUUCAACUAAAAGAGAUGAUUCCAACGUACACAAUGCCUAGGUAUUUAAACCAAUGAAAAAUUCAGAAAAACAGGGAAUACUAACUACUAGCUAGAGACCAGGUAAGACAUUCUUACAUGGCCUUGAUUUAUUCUUCCUAAACAAAAGAAACGUGCUUAAUAAUAAAACAACUUCUGAAUUACUUCAACAGAGACGGCCCGGAUGGUGGCGUGCUGGUUAUGACGGUAGGGCCAGAAAAUGAAAUCGGUCGAAUACUUGAACUGAAGCUCUCUUCUGGUGGGUUUUUGUUGGGCAUCACCAGUCAUCCUCGUUUUACCGGGGCCCAUGGCCGAUGUUCAGUUGGUGGCCGCACCCUGACGCCGACGAUGGGGGUGAUAAUCGAUGGAGCAUUCAGAGGCAGCAAUUUCCAAGGUUAGAUAGAAGGGAUGCCGAUGUCGAUGCGUUCAGGGAGAGACAUCGGGAUUUGGAGGUUACAUAGAAGGGAUGCCGAUGCGUUCAGGGAGGAGACGGGGGGUUUUGGAGAGGCGGUGGGAAGCAUCCAGAAUUCAAUGGAGGCGAUGAAGUGAAAACAGAAGGAAAACCGAGGCUAAGAGUCGGUGAAAUCAGCUGAGUCAACAGGAGAAACGAAGAACACCCAACACGUAGAGAGUUUCUGUGUACUUGACAGCACGUGUAAUCCACUAUCUCCAAAAAGAGAAAAGGGAAAACAAAAAAAGAAAUUAAGAGAAAAAAAAAGAGCCAAUGAAAUCAAUUUACAGCUCCCUAAAGGGGUUUAGAUUUAGUAUAUUAUAUGAUUAGGGUUUUUUUUUUUUUUUUAGGAAAAACGGUUACAUGUAUAAUAUAUCAAAACAAUACUAAACCGCUUGGUUUUUUCCUGAACAUUUCCGGUUUGGUUUCCGUUCUUUUUCAAAGCGGUUUUUUUACACCUCUAAUUUUCAUCUUGUUUUUAUAUGUUCCAAUACAGAACAUAUAAAGUUUUGUGGAUGUCUAAUUUCAUACAACACGGGGAAAAUAGCCACUCAUGGUGUUACUAGCAAAUUUAUUGAUAUCAGGGACUUCAAAACCUCUGCCAAAUUACAAUGAAUACCCUUUUUACAAAUUUGCAAUGAAUAAUUGAAUACCAUCACCUUCACAUAAAUCUAGUCUUUGAAGCUAUCAUAAAAUAAAAAAUAAAAAAAACAAAAAAAAUGUCUCCCAUGACGAUUGAGAAGUAAAGCCCCACAUGCUAUCCAAAAUCCAGUAGCAAAACCCAUCCCCCCACCAAUAUAAAACCAUCUUUGAACUUCAUCUAUGUCUUCCUCAUCACCCUCACUUUUACCAGCAGGAGGUGGUACUUUUGAUUUUUCAUCUACAGGGCAAUUCUUGGGAAGGGGAAGUCCACAUAGUCCUGUGUUUCCAUCAUAUCUUGAAGGGUUAAAGGACUGAAGUUGAGUGCUAAAUGGGAUUCUCCCCGACAAGUUAUUAAAUGACAAGUCUAGGUAAUUCAGUAAACUCAUAUGAGACAUGCUUGAUGGUAUCCGCCCUGAAAAACUGUUUCUAGAUAAAUCCAAAGUCAAAAGGUUGUUCAUCUCACCAAUUGUCGAUGGAAUUUCUCCAGAUAGUUUGUUCUUUGACAAGUUCAGGGCAAUCAAGUCAUAGAGAUUAGUAAUUUCAUACGGGAUAUUUCCUGUUAAGUCGUUGCUUGACAGGUCAAUGCUCUUUAACAAUUUCAAUGUGCUAAAGAAUUCUCGUUCAUCACCUUGCCACUGAAUUAUCGCAUGGUCAACAUAUGUCUCAAUUUCAUAAGAAUAAUUUACUGAAGUUUUAUAAAACUCUACACCUUGUAAGAAUUCUUGUUGAACCAUGCUUGUAAGAUUACCCAAACAUGAGGGGAUGAUUCCAUGGAGAUUGUUCAUUGACAAGUCUAGAAUUUGAAGAUUGGAUAAUUGACAUAACUGUAGUGGGAUGGUUCCAAAGAAGUUGUUUGAUUUUAGAAUAAGAACAUACAAACCUGAUAAGUUUUCCCCAAUCCAGAGAGGCACAUUACCAGAAAACUUGUUGGCCCCCAAAUUCAACGACUUUAAGCUGGUGCAAUUUUUUAAUGACAAAGGCAAUUCUCCAUAGAAGUUGUUCUUGGACAAAUAUAACACCUCAAGUUCUGUCAUAGAUCCAACAGAGGGAGGAAGUCUUCCAAAUAGAUUAUUGUGUCUGAGAUUAAGAACUUUUAGUCGUUUGAAAUGCCACAAACAAUCCGGGAGUUGUCCGAUAAAUGAGUUAUCAGAGAGGUCAAGAAAUAAUAACCCAUCAAAAAUUUGGCAUAUAAAUGCGAUUCCUCCAGAGAAAUUGUUUUUGGAAAGAUUUAAUGAUAACAAAGUGGAAGAAACAUUUGUUAUUGGACCAUAAAAGUUGUUUGAACUCAAAUCUAUCGCUGAAUAUUUGGCAAAAUUUGAUAAUAAAUCUGGUACUUUCCCGUUAAUGUUGUUGGAAGAGAGAUUUAGAUAAUCUAAUUGAUAAGGCCACAUGUCCCAAAACCCCAGAGGAGUUGUGUCUGAAAUACCAGCAUUGGAAAUAUCAAGACGGGUGAGACGUUUGAAUGUCUGAAUCCAUUUGGGGAAGCGAGGCCCUAACAGCUUGCAAGACCUCAUAUCAAUAAAAUGUAAGUAAGAAAGGCUUGACAAGUGAUAUGUGGAAGGAACUCUAAGAUUAUUAAAAGAAACGUCAAGAGUUUGAAGCCUGGGUAGCUCCCACAGUUUCUCACUUAUACUUCCAUUUAAGUGAUUAUGAGACAGGUCCAAGGACUUUAGGGAUGAAAACUUUUGGAUCUCAUCGGAAACUGACUCUGUAAAUUGGCUUCCAAUAGCAUACAACAGUUGUAAUGUAUGUGAUGUGCAUCCGGACAAGUUGUUGAGAAAAUCAGGAAAUUUGACCACUGCAGAGUUGUUAUUGAAGUACAAAGUUUCCAGACUACAGAGGUUACCAAGAUAUUUAGGUAUCCCAUCUAACAUGUUGCUAGAGAGAUAAAGAAAACGAAGCUUAUUGCUGGUUAAUGGUAGCAACCAACGAUACAUGGAUGAAGUGAGAUUGUUGUCACCGAGAUAAAGGGACUCAACAGAUGAAAAAGAGGAGUUGAGAAACAAAGAAUAUGGAUAUAUGAUCUUUGACAGCUCACAUCCCUCUAAAGAUAAAUAUGAGAGGUUCCGGAGACUCAGAAUUACAUCUACCCAGUAAUUUUGUUUGGCUAGGGAAAUCCCAUCCAUUCUUAGCCACUCCAAAUGUGAGAGAUGCGACAACCACUCUAUGUUUUCAACUCUGUACCUUCCAACGGAUCCAAGGUUAAGGUAUUGCAAGUUGGUGAGGUUUCCAAACUCUGGAGGAAUGGUUCCAUAAAAAGAAUUAUCGGAAAGGCCAAGGUGCCUUAAUUCGGUCAAGGAACCAAUGGACCCGGGAAUGGUUCCAUUAAGAUGAUUGUAGGAAAGAUCAAGAUACCUUAAUCGAGUCAAUGAACCAAUUGACCUGGGAAUGGUUCCAUUCAACAAAGAAUUGUAGGAAAGAUCAAGAUGAUUCAAGCAAGUUAAGUUAAGAAACGUAUGGCUAAUCUCACCUCCAAGAUCAAAAUGACUGAUAUCAAGCCCUGUGACAUGACCUGUUUGGUUGCUGCAGGUGACUCCUCUCCAUUUGCAGCAGUCAUGAUUGUCAGCUCUCCAUGAAGCUAGAAUGCCUCGGCGAUCAUAAAGGGGAGCUUUGAAAAGAAGGAGAGCAAGUCUCUCCUUUUCCAGACACUUGUUCAUAUUAGCACCAUUUCUAUCAUCUCCUCCUUCUUCUCCCCCUGCUACCAAUUGGCUGGCAGUUGUAGUCGUGAGUAGCAAGAGAAUCGAGAUGAUUAUAAAAACACAAAGAUUCAUAAUGUAAAUGGAAAAUCUUGGUGAUUUUUGGAUUGUAUUGAUGCUUAAUUGCUUAUAUGAACUGCCCCCAUCAGGGUUUAUAUAGUCUUGAUGUGAAAAUCAUUGCUUAGUAAGUGUGUGGCCUCAAAUUGCAGGCCUACUUGUGUGGGGCAUACAAUACUUAAUUUGGUUGAAACUGGAACCAAGCUAUAAGACAAAUGAAAGAUGACGCGUUAAAAUAAAUUGCUUCAAAAUUUUGAUUUUUGUAGACAUAUAUGAAUGAAACCAAGUUUAUCCAUGCAUUACUUAAUUGUGGUCUUUUUCAUUGAUAAAAAUGAUAUUACCAUGCUACCCUGAUUGAUACUCACUCGAUUAAAAACAUUAGAUUACAAUCAAUACACUUAGAUGAUUGGAGACUUAAUCAAGAAAACGCCAAUAGUUCAUGGCCAAAAUAGUGACAUUAAACCUUAUAUAAAUAUCAAAAUCACACAACUUAAAUAGUAGACAAAGUAGCUGCCUUGGAAAAAAAAUGUUAUUUUUAUACUGAGAGGAGUUUCCCUAUAAGACCAGAUCUUUUCAGCUGCCCUAUGUGGACCAAAUGAUAUUCAUUGUGAUUCUUUGUCAACGUUUUUGGUCAACAGAAGCUUAAAUGCUUAACCAUCUUCAACCAUCUUAACAACUUCAAUCUCAAACAAGUUUUCAUUUUCUUGAAUCUAAAUCUAGCCACACAACGUCUGAACCCAAAAAAAGAUAAUUUUUUAUUUUCUAUUCACCAUAGCAAUAGCAAAUAAAUAUAUACAAAAUAAUCACACAAAGUGAAAAAUCCAAAAUUUUCUAUAAUACCAGCAACCAACCUUUAUGCGUCACUCUUUUACUUCGCAUCAUCAUAUGAUUGUAAUAAUUUAAGAGUAAAUUACGUUUUUGGUCCUUGGCUAUAGCUGAUCUUUUCAGCUUUGGUCCCCAAAUGUUUUGUAUUGUAAAUUUGGCCUUUAUUUGAAGUUUUUAUAGCGUUUUUGUUCCUAUAGCAAGUAAAAGAUGACUAUUUUGGGAUCAAAAUUGCAAAAAUCAGUUAUACUCUGGGACCAAUAUAGUAUUUUACUUUGAACAUUGACAAAGAACAUUAGAAGAACCUCUAAUAAGGAGCAAAUUGCAAGAGAAAACUGUCUGGUGUAUACUUAGGGACCAAAAAUGUUACUCUAAUUCUAAACAUUCUACUCUCCUAGCACAUAUUGAAUAAAGAUUUCAUAGUAAGUUUGGAACAUUAAUAAAUAAUAAGUAAUAUAUUUUUCCAUCUUUUAGGAGAAUUGGAAAAUAAUGCAAGUUCAUAUGGUAUAUAUUCUCAGCUGUUUCUUUCUCAUAAACUUGUUCGUCUGUAGUCAUCUGUAGUCAUCCAGGGGCCAUGUGCUCCAAAUACGAAAGACAACUCAAUAACAAAAACUAAAAAAACCUAACUUAUCCAUAAUUCAGCCUUUAGUUUUUGUAGUAUUUACAUUGGCUUCUUUCUGGAUGAAUACGUCUAUUUGCGGUGUUUUUAUCUGUUAUGAAGAAAAAAUAUAUAGAAUAAAUUACAAUUUUGGCCCGUGAUUAUAGUUGAUAUUUUUUUCAUAUUCGGUCUCAAAAAGGUUUAUGUUGCAAUUUUGGUCCGUGUUCCAAAAUAAAAUGACUAUAUUUCAAAUUGGGUACGAAACAUAGUUGUUUUACUUGGAACAUGGACCAAAAAUGUUACAAAAACCUCAAAUAAGGACCAAAAUUAUAAAAAACAACUACAGUCAUGGAACAAAAAAUGUUAUUUACUCAAAAUUAUAUAUACGAGACAUAGAAGUUUUCUUUUUGCAAAAAAAAUUGAGCAUCUGAAAUAUGUUACCUUCUGUUUUCCUAAAUUAAGCUCCUGCAAAUUAAAUAUCACACAUUAAAGUUGGCCUAAUUCUUGAAAAAAAAAUAUUACUUCAUUUACUAUUUAUUUCAUAAAAUCUACAAACUGCCAUCAUAUGGCUGUUUGAUUGAGCAGGUCUCUAGUUUUGCAACUUUGUUUUCUGAACAAUCACUAUUAGAAAAAUGUUUUCCUUGACAGACAAUGUCUAUCGUAAAUGCCUAUACAUGACAAAUAUUUGUCUGUCAUUGAAAGCCAUGUCGUAAAGAAAAAUGACAAACAUUUGGUUUGUUAAAAUAUUUACGACAAACCUUUAUGACCGACAAUCAAGACAUACAUACACGACAUGCGUUUUCGACAUACAUUUAUGACUGACUUUGUAUGUCAUAAUUCGUAACAUUUUUGUAAAUUACCGAGAGACAUAUACGACUUGAAAUAAUUAAGAUAUUCUGUAUGUCAUGAUUUUGACAUAGUUUUACAACAUACUUUGUAUGUCAUGGUUUUCCAUUAUAUAUAUUUCAAAUUUGUAACAAAUCUAAAUUUAAUUAAAUUACACAUUUAAUGUCUAAUAAGUAAAAUAAAAUAUCAUACUUACACAAAGAUAAUUCAUUACACGAACUAUAUUGCCAAAUUCAAAAGUAUAUUUCAAAUUCAUCAAAAAAAUAAUUGUCAAAUACAUAUCACCGAUUAAAUAAAGGUUGUGACAUAAGUAGCACAUUCUUCACGGACCUUAUCAUUCUUGAAGUUUGUAUAUUCCUUCUUCCUCCAAAUCCGAGACAACCUAAUAUAUUAGCAAAAAAAAAAAAACAAUUAAACAAUUAUAUAUGUGAAAAUUCUACAACACUUCAAAUAACUAAUACAUUUACUAACAUAGUUUACAUGCACCUAAUGGCCACUUUAAACCCAAAAACGAAAUAGAAAUUAAGAUAGAUAAGUGUAAAAGAAGCUUAAAUGUAAGAAAUAGAAAAGUACCAUAUGGUUAAGGAAGCUUAAAUACAUGAAAUGACAACUUACUUUCUACUUCUUUAUGAUAAAGGAAACUUAAAUGAAAAAAAUAGCAAAGUACAUUGCUAUUUCCUACACUUGCAGUCAUAAAUGAACUUGUGUAGUAAAAAAAGUAAAUUAUGUUCUUUCAGUAAAAUCAAUUAAAGUAUGCUGCUAUUUCUUGCAUUUUUAACGAAAAACAGCUAAAUGCACGAAAUCGCAACUUGCUUCUACUUAUUUUUGGUGAAGGAAGCUUAAAUGCAAGAAAUAGCAAAGUAUAUUGCUAAUUCUUUCCCUUGGGAUAGAAAAAGGACUUGUGUAAUAAAAAAAUUAUGUCUUUUUUUUUUCCUAAGUAAAAUCAACUAAAGUAUGUUGUUAUUUCUUGCCUUUUAAUCAAAAAAUAUCUAAAUGCAAGAAAUAGCAAGUUACUUCUACUUAUUUAUGGAAAAGAACCUUAAAAAUAAAAAGUAGAAAAGUACACUACCAUUUCUUCCACUUGUGACAAAAAUGGUUUAUGUAAUAAAAAGAGAUGUUUUAUUACUAAGCCAAAUCAAUUAACCUGUCGAGUUAAAAUCGAGAUAAAAAAAUUUAAAAAAAAAAACAUAUGAGAAAAUCAUUGAAUAUUUACAUGUCGGGUUAAAAUAGAAAAGUACGGCAUACAUGUUGUUGUAGCCUAUGUAUUUAAGUAUCAAUCUAUAGAAAAUAUAUUUUAAAUGAUUAGUAUUAUUUAUGGCAAAUUAAAGAUUAAAAAAGUGUAACGACGUAAUUUUUCAACCAAUUUUUUUUUUCAUUUUUAAAACACAUAAAACUCAUAUAUUAUAUUUCAUAAAAAUCAUAAGUGUCUCAAAGUAAACAUAAAUCCAUAACAAAGUCAAAUCCCAGAAUCCUCAACAUAAUCUCGAACAGGUGUACAAUCACACAGGUGCCUUCCCACGAUCCUCGGAAGUACCUGAAACACAUAACACAUAACACAUAACACGGUAAGCAUAAAGCUUAGUGUGUUCCCCAAAAUACCACAUACAACACAUUAGCCACUCGAGGCUAUAACUAUGUAAGACCCUCCGGUCAAUGUGUCUCAGUGGGACCCUCCAGUCCCACAACUCUGAUGGACCCUCCGGUCCUAACUCUGUGGACCCUCCGUCCCUAAAUCUGUAAACUCUAAAUACACAUAGCAUAAAUCACACAAACAAAAUGCAGUAAUAUAACAGUACUCAAAUAAACACAUAGGACCCUCUGGUUACAUAUAAAUACCACUCUAGGUAAAGUAUAGUGAGAAGAUUCCCCUCGUAAGCUAGUAAGUAAAAGUCUCAUGCUCGAAAUCCUCGAUCUAUCUUCUGCCUAUCAUAAGGAUAAUAUCUCUAAUUAAUACUCUCUUCAUUCUCAAAUGUGCCAAACAUUGAUCUCUCUUACACUGUAGCCUUAAAAAUGGGUAAAAGACCAUUUUACCCCUUCCUGACCUCCAUCACUCAUUUGACCAACCCUAAAGUUAACCAAAGCCAAUUCUAGUCAACAACCCAAAUUGACCAGACUCGCCUAGUGCGCCCAUGCGACUCAUCGAGUCGCACCGAUUCUUGACAAUCUUAUGAAGGUCCAGCCCGUCGAAUUAACCCCUAACUCUUCGAGCUUUCGCCUGAUCCAGCUAAUCGGGACAACCCUAAUCUUCUCGCUGAGUCAGCUCAUCAACUUGGUGAUUCCAUUCAGACUCAACUUGCAUUCAGACGACUUUAAGGCAAGAUACUUUCCCAAACUCCAGAUCCAUACUCUCAGGGCUCAUUUAUAUCGUAAAGUCAUAGACUUUACGUCCAUGCAUGGCAUUUUGGGCAUGAAAUGCCAAGAACACGAUCUAACUGGGUUUUUCACUCAUAAAUUCCGUCAAGGCUAAAUAAAGCAUGAACCUUUAGAUGCUAGGGACCUCCUAAGGUCCAGAUCUGGAGUUCAAGCCUCCUCAUGAACCCUAAAUCCUCAAAGUCCUGAAAUAUAAAGAAAAGAAGCCCUAAUCUUCAAAAUGAGAGAUCUACUCAAACAAAAGAGAAAGGUUCGAACUUGAUACCUCUAACGGAAGCUCUUGGACGUAUAAGCAAUAGAUCUAACAGCCGCUUCACAAUCCUUGCUUGGAAUCCUCCUUUCCUCUAACAAAAUGCACCCACAAAUCUCGACUAAGGCUUAAAACUCUCUCAAAACUCAAGGGGGCGAUUAGGGUUUCUUCUCAAUGAGGUGUGGCCACAAAUGAGGCUAUAAGUGCCUUUAAAUAGACCACAAGCCCAAGAAAUUAAGGUUUCCUUCAGCAACGCUGACUCGACGAGUCGCCUUACAGACUCGUCGAGUCCAUUAAUUAAUCCACGUCACCAGACGCGACUCUACUAGACGAGUUAAGGCACCAACUCUUCGAGUCACUCCACAAAUCUCAAAUUAAAUGAUAAUAUAAUUACUUGGGAAUCCGGAUGUUACAAUUCCCCCCCACUAGAAUCAGACUUUGUGACAACCCGAAAUUUCCAUUCGGUCAACCCUAAAAGUCAACCACUUCGUAUCAUAAGUCAAUGUCAUUAUGUAACAACCUGAAAUUUCCGUAUCAUUUCUUGUAACUCUUUCGUAGUACAAUUCACGCAACCAAACGUCGUUUCCAAAUUCGAUUUCCGAUCUUUCGUUUAAUUAAGUCAUUAACUGGUAUGUAUUUAUAAUGACUUAAUGGGUGUCUUAAUAUAUUUAGAAAUCAUUUUAGCACCCAACUUUAGUGAUCGGAAUAUUUCUAGAAUUUACCGUAUCGGGUUACGGCAACCUAAUCGGGUACGACCAAAAGCCUCGUCUAACGCCGGUAUCGGGUAGAAUUUCACCGUGUCCAAAACUUAAACACUAUAUAAUGUGUCUUAAGCCUCCAUUUCAAGCCUUUGGCCAUUUUCUCAUAGAACUCUCACAACCUCUCUCCUCAUCCAUAAUCAAAGGUCCAAAACAAAGAUUUAAGGCUUCCAAUCAAAGAGGUAACACUCCUAACUUGUUAUUCAACCUCUUAAGCCUUCAAAUUAAUGUUUAAAUUAUAUUUUGGGACCAAGAACAUGAGUUUACGGCCAAGGAUCAUGCUUGGACCGUAAACUCCUCAACAUGGGGUUUUUGAGCCAAUUUACCCUUCCAAAUCAUAGUUGGGACUUAGAUAUGACUUUAAGGCUUGCUAAUUUGGGACUUGGAACACAUUAAACAUGAAUUAUAUGGGACAAACAAGAGUUUACGUCCAAGGCAUGUGCUUGGGCCGUAAACUCCAUUAAAUUGGGGAUUUAGUGCCUUAAAUCAUGUCCAAAUGCCUUGAAACUCAACCAAUGGCCUUGUGGUAAAAUCUAUAUGCAUUUAAAUAUAGUUUAAGGGUUUGAAGCAUAUCAAAAAUGUCAUUUAUAGGAGUUUACGGCCUAGGAACAUACCCUUGGCCGUAAACUCAUAAAACCUUGUUAAUGAUGCAUCAAAUACACUCUAAUGGUUAGCAUAAAUUUCUAGAAUCACAUGUGAUUGUUUUUAAGCAUCAAAAACUAACUUUUCAUGAGUAUAAGAGAGUUUACGGCCAUAUAACAUGCCUCUAGGCCGUAAACUCCUAAAAGUAUGUUUAAUGGUGUUCUAAAUUCAUAACAAGGCUUGGAAAAUUAACUAGAAUCACAUAUGAUUGUCCUUUGUAGCUUAAAUCCAUUUUUCUUGGCCAUGGGUGAGUUUACGGCCGUAAACUCUUAUGGUGUGGCCGUAAACUCCCUUUUAAGUGUUAUAAUUCCAUUCAAUCCAUUCCAAGGCAUUUUAGAAAUCCAUUCCAACAAUCCCCAUGUCCAUUUAAGCCAUUAAACACUCAAAACCACACCAACAUGAGUUUACGGCCGUAAACUCAUGUGUGAGUNGGCAUUUUUAGAUAUCCAUUCUAGCAAUCCCCAUGUCCAUUUAAGCCCUUAAACCCUCAAAAUCACACCAACAUGAGUUUACGGCCGUAAACUCAUGUGUGGGUGUGUUUUGUGGUUGUAAACUCUUUAAAAUGUUUACUCUUGGGGAGUAAACUCAAGUCCCAAGUCCCUAGUGCCAUUACACAUCCGAAGAUGUCACCCGGGUCACUCCAAACGCUCGUUUUGAAGUGUUUAACCUCGUUGGAGUGUAAUGUUCCAUAUGAUUAGUGAAUGUAUCUCUAAUUGAAUAUAUAUGGACAUUAUUUCAUUUUACAUAUGGACAUCGCGAGUAAUCAAACCCCGAACCAACGUCUAGUAUCCGAAACUUACACAUUUUCGAGUCCGGUGAGUUCAUACCCCUACCCUUUUUCACUGUUUUCACUGUUUUCAAGGGGGGCACACAAGCAAAGUACAAGAGAAUUCUUGUACUCAAAACAUGUUUUCAAAUGUGUGAUUCAUAUUCCAUAUGCUUUUAUUACUGAUUACCACAACUGAUAACCAUUUGAACAUGCAGAUCACGUAACAUUUAUUUGUGAAAUAGGUAUUUAAACUGUUAUGUUUUACAUAUAUUUCACAAAUGGUUUUCCACAAUUUAUCAGUUAAAAGCAUGAAAUUAGACAUUUGAAUAUAAUACCUGUACACUGUUUUGUCCUCGGUAACACUCCACACACAUACACGAGUGGAGGACUAUCAUAUUAUUACUAGUAAAUUUGUUAAUCCUGUAUGAUUGGAGACACGUCCUCGGCGAACACUCCACAGAGAUACGCGAGUGGAGGACUACACCCAUAACCAGAAUCUCUGGUAUUUAGAGAGCGUGACUUGAGUGUAUAGAUCUAUACGGGGCUGACUACCCCACACUUGGCUGCUAGCAACAGCCGAACCGAAAUGGUUCAAGGGUGACGAAAGUCAUAAGUAUGUGGACUACUUAUUGCCACAUGUUGACUACUUAUUGCCACAGGUUUAGUCUAUCGUAUGGUUAUGGAACUCGCAAUUAGGAUAACAGAGAUUUACUUAUAGUAAUAAUAAACCACUUAUACAUCUUUUACAUCUUUUACAUCUUUCACGUACAGUAAUCAACAUUCAGGAAAGUAUGGGACUUUCCUGGGGAAAACAUGGAACCUAACCACAUUUACAUCUUUUACAUCUUUUACAUCACUCACAUUGGAAACCAACAUGCAGGAAAGCAUGGGGCUUUCCUGGGUAACACUUACAUAACUAGAAAGAGUAACAAACUGGAUAACAUUACAUCUUUUACAAUUAGUAAUAUACAAUAAGGAAAGUAUGGGACUUUCCUGGGAAUACACGAUAAGUAAACAGAACAGUUUAACAAGUCGGAUAACCAACUAUACAUUUUCACAUGAGCAGACAUGUUUUCAGUGUACAAACUUACUAUACUUUACUUUUGUGAAACAAUAACCAACUUUUAAGAUAAUACGGGAUUUUCUUGGUAUACAUAACAUUUCAGAAACAGAAAGGAAACUUGAAACAUUUUCACAAACAAAAACCGCUUAUGAACUCACCAGCUUUAUGCUGAUUUUUAAACCGCUUGUGUUCUCAAGUCAGCGUUAGAACAGGUACCCGAAGAUCCCUUUUUGAUCAGAAGACAGAGUACAUGAAGACCCGUUUCAUUUUGUUUAUAUAUACUAUGUAUCACAACUGUACAAACUUUACUUUUGAAACAACUGUAAAACUUUAUUAUGUAAUGUAAUGGUUGUUUUACUUUACUUACUAUGUGCAUUGGAUUUGAUACUCAACGUGGAGUCAACCCCGGAAAUGUUUUCGCCUUCGGUUUUUGGGGUGUGACAGAUUGGUAUCAGAGCCCUUGUUUAUAGUGAAUGAAGUAUACCAAACCUUACAUGGUAUAAAACUAUAAACACUAAAGGGCCUAAGUGCUCUGAAUUAAAAGGAUCUUCAAACUACAAGUAUUUUCAAAAGUAUACAAGUAUACCGAACCGUCGUCAUCCAUAACCACAAGUAGAACAGAACAUAAGUAAUUGGGUGUUGUGUACUAUGGUUAAACCUGGGCAGUUAUGUAGUCGUGUCUAGGGUCAAUAUAGCCUGGCCAACUAUAUUCAUUCGAGACACGACCAACAUGUGCUUGGGAGUGACUGUGGUAUGCGGCAUGCCUAAAAAUUACACUAAUAUCCCAAACAUCGAAUCAUUGUCGUAAACAAUUCAUGAAAUACUAUGGGAGUAUUUCUCGAUCCCAAUCCUCUGAAGAAAUCCUUAUUCGAGUGGCUUUCUGUGAUUAUUCUUAGCGAUAAAUUAUCUGUUUCGAUAACUCUUUCCUAUUUUAUCGCUUAUUCGGAUCAUAUAACUGCCAUAUCUAGCGAUUCAAUAUAGAGGACUUACCAUCCUCUCUUUCUUGAUCUUAUUAGAUCAAGAUGCCUCCCAGAAAGAGACCCAGCUCAAAGAACAACAACAAUCCUUCUUCGCCGCCACCUCCUCCCCAAUUUGACCUAGCGUCACUCCAGACGGUCAUGACAGCUGCAAUGGUGGCAGCCAUGUCACAAAUGAACCCUAGUGGUUCAGGAGGUGGUCCCCAAUCUCAAAACCCCGACGUUAGCCAGGGACACCAAAGAGGGGGUUCCUAUAAGGAUUUCAUGAACGCAAAACCAACAUCCUUCAAUGGCGCUGGAGGUUUCAUUUCCUUAUCCCGAUGGUUCGAGAAAAUCGAGUCCAUCUUUGAAAUCUGUGCUUGCGCGGAAUCUGAUAAGGUUAAGUUCGCGGCCUGUACCUUCGUUGACAAAGCCCUGACUUGGUGGAAUGGCCGAGUCAAAUCUCUAACCUUACCCGUAGCCAAUGCCAUGGGCUGGGAAGCCAUGAAAGAACUCCUUAUAGCCGAGUACUGCCCCUGUGGUGAAAUGCAGAAACUAGAACACGAGCUCUGGAACCUGAAGAUGAAAGGUUCCGACAUUGUUGCAUACACUUCCUGAUUUGAUGAUCUUGCACUUCUCUGCCCGGGAUUAGUCACUCCUGAAAACAAGAAGAUCGAAAGGUUCGUUUGGGGGUUAUCCCAACUGACAAAGAGUCAUGUUUUGGCUGCUCGUCCGGAUACCUAUGAUAGUGCCAAGACUUUAGCUCAAACUUUGAUUGAUCACAGCGACGACGUUAAGGAAAUCACUACCACCUCUGAGCCGACUCAAAGGAGUGGCAAAAAGAGAAAAUUCUGGAAGAAGAAGAAGGGUCAAUCUUCUCAAGGAUCUUCCAAGAAACAGCAGACGAUAGCAGUCCAUGCUGCUACUACCCCUGUUGCUGCUGCUUCUGUUGUGGGAUCCACAACUCCAACUCCUACCAGUAAAUAUGCUGGUAACCUUCCUCUGUGUGACAAGUGUAAAUACCAUCAUCAUCCUGGUCCCUGCCGAGAACUAUCUUGUACCAACUGUGGUAAGAAAGGGCACACAGUUCGAUUCUGCAAAACUCCUACCCAAUCAGCCAACCAAUCAUCUGGAGCAGGUGUUAGUCAAGCCUGCUGCAAUUGUGGAGAAGUUGGGCACUUUAAAAGGAACUGUCCCAAGAAGUCAACUGCUGAUAACAAUGGAAGGAUUCUAACCAUGGGACGGGAGGAAGCAGUCGCUGAUCCCACUAUUGUUUCGGGUACGUUCCAUCUCGACAACUCAUAUGCUAGUAUUCUUUUCGAUUCGGGUGCUGAAAGGAGUUUUGUUAGUCAUGCAUUCAAACAUAAUCUAAAACGUAAUCCCCAACCACUAACUAAAACGUUUACCGUCGAGAUGGCUAACAGUGAGAAAGAAAGCGCUAACGAUGUAUUCAUAGGCUAUACACUUACCUUGAAUGAUCACUCAAUUCCUAUAGAUCUCAUGCCCGUUUCCAUUAAGAGCUUCGAAGUUAUCAUUGGCAUGGAUUGGUUGAGUCCCAAUCAUGCUGAUAUCCUUUGUUACGAAAAAGCCAUCCGUAUCAAUCUUCCUUCGAAUCAAACUCUCGUAAUCUAUGGUGAUAAACCCAAUUCCAAUCUUCAUAUCAUUUCCUGCAUCAAAGCUCGAAAGCUCCUUCGAAAGGAGUGCAUUGCAUUCUUAGCCCAUGUGAUCAACGGGAAACAAGAAGUUAGAGACCUCGCGAGCGUCCCCAAAGUCUGUUACUUUCCUGAUGUAUUUCCCGAAGAGCUUCCAGGAAUUCCUCCCGAACGUCAGGUCGAGUUCCGUAUUGACCUAAUUCCUGGAGCUACCCCCGUAGCAAAGUCUCCAUAUCGCUUAGCUCCAGCAGAAAUGCAGGAGUUAUCCAGUCAACUCAACGAGUUGCUCAGUAAAGGAUUCAUUAGACCGAGUUCCUCACCCUGGGGAGCUCCGGUACUGUUUGUCAAGAAGAAAGAUGGAUCCUUUCGUAUGUGUAUCGACUACCGCGAACUGAACAAGUUGACCGUUAAGAACCGAUAUCCUCUUCCACGAAUUGAUGACCUCUUCGAUCAACUCCAGGGAGCCAGCUACUUUUCAAAGAUAGACCUUCGGUCAGGGUACCAUCAGUUACGAGUCCAGGAAAAUGAUGUUUCCAAAACAGCUUUUAGGACUCGGUAUGGACACUACGAGUUCGUAGUGAUGCCCUUCGGUCUAACCAACGCACCGGCUGUGUUCAUGGACCUGAUGAACCGGGUGUGCCGUCCCUUCUUAGACAAAUUUGUCAUCGUGUUCAUUGAUGACAUCCUUGUCUACUCCCGAAACGAAGAAGACCACAAACAACACUUGAGGUUAGUGUUGGAGACCCUUAAAUCCGAAAAGCUAUAUGCGAAAUUUUCCAAAUGUGAAUUCUGGAUACGAAAGGUAACUUUCCUCGGUCACAUGGUAAGCGAGGAGGGUAUUCAUGUAGAUCCUUCCAAGAUUAAACCGAUAGAGAAUUGGUCGGCACCGAAGACACCCACAGAAAUUCGUCAAUUCUUGGGUCUCGCCGGCUACUAUCGAAGAUUCAUUUAGAAUUUCUCCAAAAUUGCCAAACCUUUAACCACUCUAACACAGAAAAGUUUACCAUUUUGUUGGAGUGAUAAACAAGAAACUGCAUUCCAAACGUUGAAGAAAGCCCUAUGCAGCGCGCCUGUUCUGUCUCUGCCCGAAGGGACAGAGGACUUCGUUGUCUACCGCGAUGCGUCUAAUCAAGGUUUAGGCUGUGUGCUUAUGCAAAGAGGAAAGGUGAUUGCCUAUGCCUCAAGACAGCUGAAAGCACACGAGGUCAACUAUACCACACAUGACUUGGAACUAGGAGCCGUAGUCUUUGCAUUGAAGAUUUGGAGACAUUAUCUUUACGGAACCAAGUGCACGAUCUUCACUGAUCACAAGAGCCUGCAGCACAUAUUUGAUCAGAAAGACUUAAACAUGAGGCAACGGCGAUGGGUAGAAUUACUCAGUGAUUAUGAGUGUGAAAUCCAUUACCAACCCGGCAAGGCCAAUGUGGUAGCAGGUGCCCUUAGCCGAAAGGAUAGUGCAGGCCACAAAGUGAAGAACUAGACGAUGACCAUCCAUUCCAACCUACCCAUGCAAAUCCGAGAAGCUCAGUUAACAGCCCUCAAAUCCGAGAACGUGUCGAAUGAAGCCUUGAGAGGAAUGGAAAAGAAACUUGAGAUCAGAGGUGACGAAGUUCACUAUUUCAUGAAUCGUAUCUGGAUUCCCAAAUCCAGAGGAUUCAGGGAAAUAGUCAUGGAGGAAGCGCACAGAACCAAAUACUCUGUUCACCCAGGUUCUGACAAGAUGUACCUGGAUCUCAAGAAACAAUAUUGGUGGCCAAACAUGAAAGCUGAGAUAGCUACUUUCGUGGGCAAGUGUCUGUCUUGCGCCAAAGUUAAAGUUGAACACCAGAAACCCUCAGGUCUGCUCCAACAGCCCGAGAUCCCCGAGUGGAAAUGGGAGAUGAUUACCAUGGACUUCAUCACCAAACUGCCCAAGUGGUCUAGUGGGUACAAUACCAUUUGGGUAAUUGUUGAUCGUUUGACAAAAUCCGCUCACUUCAUUCUAAUCAAAGAAUCAUACAAGAUGGAAAGACUCGCGCGAAUUUACAUCCAGGAGGUAGUACGUCUACACAGCGUACCUGUAUCCAUUAUCUCUGAUCGAGAUAGCAGGUUUACCUCUAGAUUCUGGCAAUCCCUUCAGAAAGCCCUUGGAACCAAACUAGAUAUGAGCACGGCGUAUCAUCCUCAGACCGAUGGACAGAGUGAGAGAACAAUCCAAACCCUGGAGGACAUGCUUAGGGCAUGUGUCAUUGACUUUGGAAAGUCAUGGGACACACAUCUAUCUUUGAUCGAAUUCUCGUACAACAACAGUUACCACACCAGCAUUAGGGCUGCUCCGUUUGAGGCCCUAUACGGUCGUAAGUGCAGAUCCCCUCUGUGCUGGGCCGAGGUGGGUGAUACACAAUUAGCCAGGAGUCGAGUCCCCGACAGUGCUCUCACUGGUCCUGAAAUCAUCCGCGAAACCACCGAAAAGACCAUUCAAAUCCGUAACCGAUUGAAAGCUACACGAGAUCGCCAAAAGAGUUACGCUGAUAAUCGUCGGAAACCACUAGAAUUCCUGGUUGGAGACCGUGUACUGUUGAAGGUCUCGCCCUGGAAAGGCACUGUACGCUUUGGUAAGCGUGGGAAACUUAAUCCAAGGUACAUUGGACCCUUUGAGAUUCUCUCCAGGAUCGGUCUAGUUGCCUAUAAACUUCAUUUACCUCAUGAACUCAGUAACAUUCAUCCUGUCUUCCAUGUUUCAAAUCUCAAAAAGUGCCUAUCCGAUGAAACCCUAACGAUUCCCAUAGACGAGAUCGAAAUCAAUAAAAACCUCAACUUUGUGGAGGAACCGAUCGAAAUCAUGGAUCGAGAAGUCAAACGUACAAAACAAAGUCGCAUCCCAUUAGUGAAGGUUCGCUGGAAUGCCAAGCGGGGACUGGAAUUCACUUGGGAACGGGAAGAUUCAAUGAAACAGAAAUAUCCACAACUCUUUCCAGAUCCAUGAUGUGUAUCUUGUCUUGUGUUUUAAACUUUGAAUUUCGGGACGAAAUUCCCUUUAACGGGGGGAUAAUGUAACAACCCAAAAUUUCCGUAUAAAUUAUUGUAACUCUUUUGUAGUCCAACUCGCGCAACCAAUCGUCAUUCCAAAUUCGAUUUCCGAUCUUCCGUUUAAUUAAGUCAUUAACUGGUACGUAUUUAAAAUGACUUAAUGGGUGUCUUAAUACAUUUAGAAAUCAUUUUAACACCCAACUUUAGUGAUCGGAAUAUUUCUAGAAUUUACCGUAUCAGGUUACGGCAACCUAAUCGGGUACGACCAAAAGCCUCGUCUAAUGCCGGUAUCGGGUAGAAUUCCACCGUGUCCAAAACUUAAACACUAUAUAAUGUGUCUUAAGCCUCCAGUUGAAGCCUUUGGCCAUUUUCUCAUAGAACUCUCACAACCUCUCUCCUCAUCCAUAAUCAAAGGUCCAAAACAAAGAUUUAAGGCUUCCAAUCAAAGAGGUAACACUCCUAACUUGUUAUUCAACCUCUUAAGCCUUCAAAUUAAUGUUUAAAUUAUGUUUUGGGACCAAGAACAUGAGUUUACGGCCAAGGAUCAUGCUUGGGCCGUAAACUCCUCAACAUGGGGUUUUUGAGCCAAUUUACCCUUCCAAAUCAUAGUUGGGACUUAGAUAUGACUUUAAGGCUUGCUAAUUUGGGACUUAGAACACAUUAAACAUGAAUUAUAUGGGACAAACAAGAGUUUACGGCCAAGGCAUGUACUUGGGCCGUAAACUCCAUUAAAUUGGGGAUUUAGUGCCUUAAAUCAUGUCCAAAUGCCUUGAAACUCAACCAAUGGCCUUGUGGUAAAAUCUAGAUGCAUUUAAAAAUAGUUUAAGGGUUUGAAACAUAUCAAAAAUGUCAUUUAUAGGAGUUUACGGCCUAGGAACAUACCCUUGGCCGUAAACUCAUAAAACCUUGUUAAUGAUGCAUCAAAUACACUCUAAUGGUUAGCAUAAAUUUCUAGAAUCACAUGUGAUUGUUUUUAAGCAUCAAAAACUAACUUUUCAUGAGUAUAAGAGAGUUUACGGCCAUAGAACAUGCCUCUAGGCCGUAAACUCCUAAAAGUAUGUUUAAUGGUGUUCUAAAUUCAUAACAAGGCUUGGAAAAUUAACUAGAAUCACAUAUGAUUGUCCUUUGUAGCUUAAAUCCAUUUUUCUUGGCCAUGGGUGAGUUUACGGCCAUAAAAUCUUAUGGUGUGGCCGUAAACUCCCUUUUAAGUGUUAUAAUUCCAUUAAAUCCAUUCCAAGGCAUUUUAGAAAUCCAUUCCAACAAUCCCCAUGUCCAUUUAAGCCAUUAAACACUCAAAACCAAACCAACAUGAGUUUACGGCCGUAAACUCAUGUGUGAGUGUGUUAUGUGGCUGUAAACUCUUUAAAAUGUUUACUCUUGGGGAGUAAACUCAAGUCCCAAGUCUCUAGUGCCAUUACACGUCUGAAGAUGUCACCCGGGUCACUCCAAACGCUCGUUUUGAGGUGUUUAACCUCGUUGGAGUGUAAUGUUCCAUAUGAUUAGUGAAUGUAUCCCUAAUUGAAUAUAUAUGGACAUUAUUUCAUUUUACAUAGGGACAUCGCGAGUAAUCAAACCCCGAACCAACGUCUAGUAUCCGAAACUUACGCAUUUCCGAGUCCGGUGAGUUCAUACCCCUACCCUUUUUCACUGUUUUCACUGUUUUCAUGUGGGGAACACAAGCAAAGUACAAGAGAAUUCAUGUACUCAAAACAUGUUUUCAAAUGUGUGAUUCAUAUUCCAUAUGCUUUUAUUACUGAUUACCACAACUGAUAACCAUUUGAACAUGCAGAUCACGUAACAUUUAUUUGUGAAAUAGGUCUUUAAACUGUUAUGUUUUACAUGUAUUUCACAAAUGGUUUUCCACAAUUUAUCAGUUAAAAGCAUGACAUUAGACAUUUGAAUAUAAUACCUGUACACUGUUUUGUCCUCGGUAACACUCCACAUAUAUAUGCGAGUGGAGGACUAUCACAUUAUUACUAGUAAAUUUGUUAAUCCUGUAUGAUUGGAGACACGUCCUCGGCGAACACUCCACAGAGAUACGCGAGUGGAGGACUACACCCGUAACCAGAAUCUCUGGUAUUUAGAGAGCGUGACUUGAGUGUAUAGAUCUAUACGGGGCUGACUACCCCACACCUGGCUGCUAGCUACAGCCGAACCGAAAUGGUUCAAGGGUGACGAAAGUCAUAAGUAUGUGGACUACUUAUUGCCACAUGUUGACUACUUAUUGCCACAGGUUUUAGUCUAUUGUAUGGUUAUGGAACUCGCAAUUAGGAUAACAGAGAUUUACUUAUAGUAAUAAUGAAUCACUUUAUACAUCUUUUACAUCUUUUACAUCUUUCACAACACUGUAACUAACAUUCAGGAAAGUACGGGACUUUCCUGGGGAAAACAUGGNNNNNNNNNNNNNNNNNNNNNNNNNNNNNNNNNNNNNNNNNNNNNNNNNNNNNNNNNNNNNNNNNNNNNNNNNNNNNNNNNNNNNNNNNNNNNNNNNNNNNNNNNNNNNNNNNNNNNNNNNNNNNNNNNNNNNNNNNNNNNNNNNNNNNNNNNNNNNNNNNNNNNNNNNNNNNNNNNNNNNNNNNNNNNNNNNNNNNNNNNNNNNNNNNNNNNNNNNNNNNNNNNNNNNNNNNNNNNNNNNNNNNNNNNNNNNNNNNNNNNNNNNNNNNNNNNNNNNNNNNNNNNNNNNNNNNNNNNNNNNNNNNNNNNNNNNNNNNNNNNNNNNNNNNNNNNNNNNNNNNNNNNNNNNNNNNNNNNNNNNNNNNNNNNNNNNNNNNNNNNNNNNNNNNNNNNNNNNNNNNNNNNNNNNNNNNNNNNNNNNNNNNNNNNNNNNNNNNNNNNNNNNNNNNNNNNNNNNNNNNNNNNNNNNNNNNNNNNNNNNNNNNNNNNNNNNNNNNNNNNNNNNNNNNNNNNNNNNNNNNNNNNNNNNNNNNNNNNNNNNNNNNNNNNNNNNNNNNNNNNNNNNNNNNNNNNNNNNNNNNNNNNNNNNNNNNNNNNNNNNNNNNNNNNNNNNNNNNNNNNNNNNNNNNNNNNNNNNNNNNNNNNNNNNNNNNNNNNNNNNNNNNNNNNNNNNNNNNNNNNNNNNNNNNNNNNNNNNNNNNNNNNNNNNNNNNNNNNNNNNNNNNNNNNNNNNNNNNNNNNNNNNNNNNNNNNNNNNNNNNNNNNNNNNNNNNNNNNNNNNNNNNNNNNNNNNNNNNNNNNNNNNNNNNNNNNNNNNNNNNNNNNNNNNNNNNNNNNNNNNNNNNNNNNNNNNNNNNNNNNNNNNNNNNNNNNNNNNNNNNNNNNNNNNNNNNNNNNNNNNNNNNNNNNNNNNNNNNNNNNNNNNNNNNNNNNNNNNNNNNNNNNNNNNNNNNNNNNNNNNNNNNNNNNNNNNNNNNNNNNNNNNNNNNNNNNNNNNNNNNNNNNNNNNNNNNNNNNNNNNNNNNNNNNNNNNNNNNNNNNNNNNNNNNNNNNNNNNNNNNNNNNNNNNNNNNNNNNNNNNNNNNNNNNNNNNNNNNNNNNNNNNNNNNNNNNNNNNNNNNNNNNNNNNNNNNNNNNNNNNNNNNNNNNNNNNNNNNNNNNNNNNNNNNNNNNNNNNNNNNNNNNNNNNNNNNNNNNNNNNNNNNNNNNNNNNNNNNNNNNNNNNNNNNNNNNNNNNNNNNNNNNNNNNNNNNNNNNNNNNNNNNNNNNNNNNNNNNNNNNNNNNNNNNNNNNNNNNNNNNNNNNNNNNNNNNNNNNNNNNNNNNNNNNNNNNNNNNNNNNNNNNNNNNNNNNNNNNNNNNNNNNNNNNNNNNNNNNNNNNNNNNNNNNNNNNNNNNNNNNNNNNNNNNNNNNNNNNNNNNNNNNNNNNNNNNNNNNNNNNNNNNNNNNNNNNNNNNNNNNNNNNNNNNNNNNNNNNNNNNNNNNNNNNNNNNNNNNNNNNNNNNNNNNNNNNNNNNNNNNNNNNNNNNNNNNNNNNNNNNNNNNNNNNNNNNNNNNNNNNNNNNNNNNNNNNNNNNNNNNNNNNNNNNNNNNNNNNNNNNNNNNNNNNNNNNNNNNNNNNNNNNNNNNNNNNNNNNNNNNNNNNNNNNNNNNNNNUAAACUCAUGAGUUUAAGGUAGUAAACUCAUGAGAAAUGGUCCUUAGACCAUAAACUCCAUUUAGGAGUGUUUUGAUGCCACACAACACUUCCUAAGGCAAAUUUGUGAAGUAGGAAUGCUUGGAAUAGCCUAGAAGACUUCAAAUCACCAAAUGGUCAAAAGGUUAGGAGUUUACGACCGUAAACUCAAGAGUUUACGACAAUAAACUCAAGGGGUGUUGAUCAUAAUGGAGUAAACUCAUUUUAAGAGUGUUCCUUGAACCCCAAACACACUAGCUUUUCCCUACAACACUUAGAUGCAACCCUUGAGACUUAUAANAAAGUGUUUGUCAUGCCUUAGAGUGUCUUAACUUUGUUUAUUAGUUGUUUAAAGACUAAUUGUGUAUAUACAUAUAUCCUUUUAUGUUAUUAGGAUCUUUGUGCGUGUCUAAGUCUUCACUUAACACCAAGCACUUAUCCGACACUUCCUUCCGAUCCACUUACUAUAGGUGAGUUCAUACCCGUUAAUCAAUGUUUUAAACUGUUUUUAAAUGUUUUAUGGGGGGGGGGGAUACAAGUAGAACCAUGCUACUUAUUAUAUCAAUCACAUGUGAUUAAUAAGCAACAUUCAAAUGAUUGGCUACUCAUUAGCCGUUUUACCAAACAGUUUCCUUCAAAUGUUUUUCAUAAACACUUUAUGUGUUUAAAACUCCCUAUUACACUGUACAUUUUACUCUGUAUAUUACAUUUCAAACUUACUUUCAAUUGUGUUUCAAACAAAUGUUUCUUUAUACUAAACCGUUUUAUCAAACCCAUGCCUUCAAAACCGUUUUAUAGAUUGACAUCAAGUCGAUCUUUUCUUAGAAAAUGAUUAUGCUCAAAGGUUUUACAAAAAUUAUUUUAUGUUUUAUUAUUAUAAAUUGCAUGCCUAUAUAUGUAUAGUUAUAUAAGAAAUGUUGAAAGGACAUAGGAAGGCUAUCCACCCUAUUUCCUUUUCCUCGAUUUGGAUGUGGUCUGGUGGGAUAUCGGGUACCCGUACGAAGGUCGUUUAAAUAUUAAUUAUAUAUCAUGUGUACAUAUAUAGUCAUAAAAGUCCUUCCAGUUCAUCAAUUGCCCUUGGGUAGCAAGGGUAUACAUCCAUGUUCAUACGUGCCAGUUAGAUUACUAGUAAACUACCAUAGGGGUAGUUUAGGAAAAUACUAGAACAAUACUAGAACUAUUACUAAAACGCAAUAACAUACAAUGAGUCAAUUCAUUCAUGAGUCAAUACUUGCUAGAACACUACAGUACUUUACUAUACUUGUUAGAUAGAGAGAACAUACAUUACAGCUAGAGCAUUUCAGUACAUUACUAUACUAUUACGUAGAUAAGUUUACAUGGUCACACUUACAUGAGUACAAUUACAUGAUCACACUUACACGAGUACACUUACAUAUACAUAGAACAUAUGUCACUAGGUGCUAUAGCAUGGACCCAGUUCAGGAUCUAACUAUACUGAUGAAUCACAACGCAAUUGUGAUAGUUAUAUCGAGUAUACAUGAUCAUAGUAAUGUGGAUGCUCACGGCUUGUAGAUAUGCAGGGGUCGUGGGUAGGUCCCAAAAUCCCUUUGAUAGGGGAGCGUAUAGCCUGGGAUCUAGACAUCACAUUAUACCUUAUCCCUCAAAUAAGGUAGCUGAGUACCGAUGUAGUUAUUUAUUACAAAUGCUACAAUACUUACAAGAUUACCCUAGACUUAAGGUAAUUGGUACGGUUGUAGUUCGACACUAUACCAUAGUACUAUUUCAUUUUCCCAUUACAUUCACUUCGUGAACAUUCACACGACGCACGGUAAUGUGGAAACUAUAUUUUUGGUUAAUGAUAGUCAUACUUGGGAAAAUACAUACUUUUACAAGAGACACACACACAGGCACUAGAUGGCUUGGUAGAAGGCUACAUUCAGAGCAGUUAGGUCUUGGUAUAAGACUACAUAGAGAGCAGUCAGGCCUUGGUAGAAGGCUACAUUCAGAGUAGUUAGGUCUUGGUAGAAGACUACAUUCAGAGCAGUUAGGUCUUGGUAGAAGACUACAUUCAGAGCAGUUAGGUCUUGGUAGAAGACACCUUCAUAUAAUAGUAGAAAUCAUAGGGAUUUCUAGGGUUUUUCAAACAUUUAAAGUUGAUUUACAAACAUUUUCAUACUUACAGUUCAUAUACACUUUCAAUACUUACAAUUUAUAUACAUACAAAUUCUUACGUACAAAUUCAUGCAUACAAAUACUUACUUACAAAUUAAGACACUAAAAUACUUAUGAUCUCACCAGCUUUAAAGCCGAUACUCGCUUUCAUAAUUACUUGUAUCCUCAGGUCAUCUAUAGACAGGUACAGAUGCAAGGUUUAGAGAAGAUGGAGCUCGUUCAAGACUCAUCUUUCAUUUUGAUUUAUGCUUUAGUCUCUAUUAUAUUUUGACAGAACACACUUGUAUAAUAAUUAUUUUAUUAAUGCAAUGGAUGAUGUUGUUGCUUGUUUACUACUUUACAUUGUUGUGAUACUGUACAUGACGUCCUCCACCCCAAAACGUUUCCGCCAUUAUUGGUUUUGGGGUGUGACAGAUUGGUAUCAGAGCAUUGUUUAUAGUGAAUUAAGUAUAUCAACCCAUAAAAGAUAUACUAUCUAUAAAUACAUAAGGGAUUAAAAAUACUCUGACCAAGAGUUUAUACUUUAGAUAAUAAAAUAUUUAAUUAGUAUACGUGCCUGCAUUUAUACUAAAAUCGGUGUCACUAGAACAGUACAAAAGAAUUACAAUUAAUGGGCAACGCAAGUGGGCUUAGAGACAUAUGGUCAAAACUGGGAAGAUAUAGCCUGAUCACCUAUAUUAUCCGAGGGUUGACUUGCAUGUGCUUAAGUUUAGUUGUGUGGUUGCAACAAUGCAAAAAUCUUACCAACCCUACCACAAUGAGAACAGUAGAACAUAACAUUAAACUUAAAAUACUAUAGGAGUAUUUGGUAUUACUAUAAGUACUUUAUACUUGAGAACUAAAACAGGAUCUUCAUUACUAAGUUGAUAGUUGCUAAGUGGAUACACUAAGGCUAUAUCUAAUUAGGAUGUUAUAGACUUAGAAUCCGUGAAAGUUUUACUUUACCCCUAUUCUGUGUGAAUUUGGAGUUAAGGUCACUUAUUCGAAGGCCUAUCCUGUUUCGAUUUCAUAUAACCGGUAUGCACUUCACAAAUAGCAAUGUAACUAAAGAAGAUUUUCUAAAUAAUUAUCUAGAUAGUUCGUCUAAUGAUUAUUCUCUUACCCCAAUUCUCGCGUAGAUAACAUGGCUGGACUCCAUCCUCACGACAACCCGUACCUUCUGAAUGAGGUCAUUGCUGGAUGGUUUGAAGAAGAGCCAGAAAAUGAUCAUCCUAUCCCUGUGAAUGAUCACCAUGAUGAAGACCUUUCGGAUGGUGCUAAUUCCGAGCCCGAGGUUGAGGAUCUACCCCAGGCAGCUCCUGUUCCAAUUCCUAACCCUCGUCCGGCUUUUCAUGGCCCGACGCCUCCAUGGGUGGAAUGUUUGGAAACAUGGAGCGAAGGUCAAGAUCAACCCAUGUCGUUUAAUGGAGACCAAAGCUUCUACAACAUAAGUAAAGGGAGCUUAGCAGAUAGAGUUCUACCAAUUCUGAUCCAUAGAGUUGCCCGAAACGAGAUUCAGGGCAUGACAGCCCUACAACGUAUCGCGGAAGUUGAUACAAAUUAAGGAAUGCAUAUGCUUCGCACCAGUCGGCUUGAACAUGCUCGUGAGAGGUCUGAGAGAGACAAUGAGACCUUGCUGCAAGCAGUAGCUAAAACUCGAGCUGAAGUCAUAGAGCUCCGAGUACACCAGAGGGUGUACGAAAGAUACCUUCUUGAUAUGGAACGACAACUGGCUGAACUAAGAGUUCACCAGAGGGAUGACCGUCGCCAGGAGUAGAUGCUUUACUUUAUUUUUCCUGGUUAAAAUAAAUCGUUCUUCUAUCUAUGCCCGAUGUGGCAUUUUCUAUGAAACUUUCUGGUACUGUAAGUACUGUUGUUAGGUCUUUAUGCUGUCAGGAACUAUCUUCUUUGUUUAUGAUGUAAGACCUAUUACAAGGUCAUUUUCCCGAACUUUUACGUAAUGAAAAUCAAAAAUAUUGACAGUCGGCUAACUUCUGUUCCCUUUUUAGUCAAGUACUCUCAUCCUACUUUCCUUGGAGUCAAUCUGAAACAUGCUUUAGUCAAGUCAUUGGACUAUAGUAAUUUAACUCCGGAGACAUUUCCAUGUCUAUUUCAAUGGUUGGAUCAUGUUAUUCACCAACCAACGAUACCUCGGCUUGAACGACAAACGUCUUGAGACCAUUCUACAAACUCACUUCCAUUCCGUACUUGGACUGCAUCAUAUGGAUGUAGGUCAACCUUUCGAGAACAUACUCUUACUCCUUGAUUGAGCAAUCGAAGUACAUCUAGGUUCAACCAGAAUCGAUCACAAAAUCCUUAUCUUUUGUAUUACAUAACCAUGUCGUCAUCCGGAAGCAAUCAGUCGAACAACGAAACCUCCGCUUUUCCCAUGGAUGCAGCUACUUUCCAAACCGCAGUUACAACGACUGUGAUGGCUUCCGUGACAGCUGUCCUUGCGCACUGUAGCGCGAUCAGCACAAUCAAUACUGAUGAUAGGGUUGAAGUUUCCAAUCGUGGUAUCCAUCCAGGAAAUCGCCAAACAGUAACAGUCACAGGCUCGCCAAGCCGAAAGACAGAGAAAAAGAAACUAANGUCAAGCUCAGAAAGAACGCAAGAAAUCCCAAAAACUUGCCAUGCAACAGCAACAAGUGGAAACCACUGCCAUUCCCGUACCGAGCAGGCCAUACGAGGGAAAACUCCCGAAGUGUGAUAAGUGUAGUUUCCAUCAUCAUGGGGCCUGCCAUGAGAUGCAGUGUUGCAAUUGCCUAAAAAUAGGGCACCAUGCUCGUAAUUGUGGAGCACUGACACGACCCAUCACUCAAGUCCCUUUCAUCGGGACCAAACCUACACACGAGAGUAGUGAUAAAGCUGAGCGCUUUAGGAAGCAAUUUCCAAGGUGGAGUAAUGAGGAAGGCACUCGUGUCCACAUAACACUGGCUAAACACCUCACUUCCACCACCAAUGUUGGUGCUGUCCAGAUAUGUCACCAAUGCGGUGAAAUUGGACACUUCAAGAAAGAUUGCCCUAUAACAAAGAACUCUGGCGCAGACGGGAAGUUUCUCAAGAUCACAGCUGCAGGAGAACCCACUCCGGACCCUCGUUAAUGUAGUUUAGGCGUUUUGUUGUAACAGACUUAUAAACUAUUCAAAACUAGUGUAACUAGAGUCUUACCUUCUGCGAGAUCAUGUCUGUAUAUGGAUGCUCGUGCUGCAUAUACUUGUCUUUUGUAGUAUACCUUAUUCACAGCAAUAGCCUUGUAGUAAAACUAAAGUACUGUAACUCUACUCAUGGUUGCACGGUUGUGUUUUGUCUGUAAACGACUUAUGUUCAAAUCUAAUGUCUUUAAGUUUCUGUAUGAUUCCGACAUUAUCAUGCGACCCGAUUCAACUUGAUCCUCACAAAAACAGCUUCAUACAUACAUCUCUUUGUCAGUAAACGUCGUCUCAGCGAAACCGUCAUAUCAGAACACCAAAGUACUCUUGCAUGGAGUACCUCAUAGUUCUUUUCUUUUCCGAAGAAAUCCCUGAAGUACCACUCACGCAGUACGUCAAGUUCAAUCCAAGGAUUCAUGCGGAUGAUCUAUCACUGAGGAUUGUAUACAUAAGAGUGAUAUAUAAUCAAGGUUCUACAGGUUUAGAAUUAAUGAUUUCGCUUUAACUCAUUUCCUCGUUGGGAUGUGAGGGUAAAGAAGAAUCAGUUAUUCGACUACCUUUUCAAUCUUAAUUAUAUACGACUCAUAUAAACGAGAUUGUGAUUGUGAAACCAUGUAUGAAUUCUAAUAUGAACUUCAGGACGGAGAACUGCCUAAGUCUACGAGUAAUCACAUCGUCAUGUGAACAAACUUAGAACCCAGUAUGACUCCCAUAAACAGAUCGCCCUAUAGUCUAAACAUCUACGGAGAUACAAGAAAAGUACAGACGACUUAACGAACUACAAAGAAAUAGAAUUAGAAGACUAGGCUUCUGACCCUGGAGAACCCCGAUCUUAUUCUUCUAGAGAUCGACGGAUUGCAUCGUAUGUACCUCGGAUAUCGAGGACUCCGUCAAGAAUUUUCAUUACAAAUCGUUAUCUCUGCCUCACAUAGAUGAAAUGGUUGAGCAAACGCAAGGAAAGAAUUACUUUCAGAAAUGGACCUGAGAUCCGAAUAUCACCAGUUCGAGUGUUAAGGAAGGAUGUCCGGAAGACUAUCUUCCGAACUAGAUGUGGACACUUCGAAUUUGUAGUGAUACCCUUCGGAUAGGACCAAUACGCCCAUAGUUUUCAUGAGUUUAAUGAAUAGAGUUCGUCUUUCCUACUUGGAUCAGUUCGUCAUUCUCCAUGUAAUGACUUACUUAUCUAUCCUCGUAGUAAGAAGGAACCCAUGGAAACAUUACCUUCGGAGGAACUUACGCAAAGCUCUCUAAACACGAGUUUUGAAAUUGAAGGGUCAGAUUUCCCACGACGCACUAUUAGUGAUGUGGAAAAUUUUGAGCACUCUUCCAAUUUGUCAAAACCGUUGAGAAUUUGUCGACACCAGAGACGCUGACAGAAAUUCGCCACAUUCUAGGUCUUACAGACCUACUGUCAUAGUUCAUUCAGAACUCCUCGCAAAUUACAGAAACCCUUUCGACUUUGACCUAGCAAGGGGUGGCCCUUGAAUGGGAAGUUUAGUAAGAGAAAGAACCCUUGGAAGUUCCAAGUGAGAGACCAAGUUCUUCAGGAAAAGCUCACUUUGGGAAUGGCUUAAUACGCUUCGUAAAGCGUGGAAAGCUAAAUCCAAGAUUGAUAGGACCUCCGGGAUUCUUACCAAAAUCGGUCCUGUACCUCGCACAAACGAGACCUACUCCGCGAACUCAGUAACAUACAUUCUACUCUUCAAGUCUCGAUCGUGAAACCGUACUUUUCCGUUAGGAGUCUUGUAAGCCCACUCGUCGAGAUCCUCGCCUUCGUAUUAGAACCGCAGUGACCCUCGACCGAGAGGUCAAGCGGACGAAGCAACGCGAUCGCCCGUUAGUGAAGGUUCGUUGGGAUACCAACUGAGGAUCCGAUUUCACUUAAGAGCUCUAGAACCAAUCGAUUAGGAAGUUCCCUCCUCUCGACUCGAUUAUUCAUACCUACUUCCUUACCUAAAUUCUAAUUUCGGGAUGAAAUUCCCUUUAACAGGGGGACGAUGUGACAACCCGAAAUUUCCAUUCGGUCCAACCCUAAAAGUCAACCAUUUCGUAUCAUAAGUCAAUGUCAUUAUUUCUUAUUUUUAAGAAAUAUAAAAUUCGUUUGAUUAUUUUAAUAUUAUUUUUAAGCGAACGGGUGAAAGAAAGUGUUGUCUCGGUUUUUGAUUUUUGAAAACCGCAAACACUUCGCGUAUUAGAAACACCCGACCAAACUUUUAUUUUUGGGUUGAAAAAUCAUCCAAAAAUCGUGAACUCAUACCUAUGUAUGAGUUUACUCCCCAAAAACUAGUCAUUUGUGUUUACUCCCCAAAAGUCAAAAAGAGUAAACUCCAAAAUAUCCUCUCAAGUAUCAUCCAAGUUUUUAUUCUAGAUCUUCAAACUAGUAAGUGUUUCUAGCCUUUCAAGUUAGUAUAUCACUUAAUCUAGUGAUUUUACACCCUUUAAUCCAUCCAUUUUUAUGUUUUGAUUAGUUUUUCCAAAACACCAAGAACACCAAGAACACACACUAGUGUUCUUGGACUUAAAGUUCAUUUCAAGCUUCCACAAUGUAAGUACUUCUAUCCUAGAGUCAUUUUAAGCUAGCUAUACAUGUUUAUACCAAGGAAAAGUCCCAAGAACACCAAGAACAAGGUGUUCACGGUUUUGGGAGGCUCCCAAAACCGUAAACACCAAAUAUAGUGCCUUAGGGUGCUUUAGGGUGUUUAGAUGCUUCUUUAUGCCUUAAGAACUUGUAUAGAUCCACCCUUGAUGAGUUUAUCACCCAAAAGUACCAAAACCUUCCAUUUUUAUGUGUUUACAGUUUAGGGAUGUCCUUAAACCGUAAACACCCCAAAAGGUGUGAAAAUGUCCCAUAAAAGUCCCAUGGUUGUUCCUUACGGCUAAAUCUAACCUAGACUAGUGCCAUGAUUGAGCUAAGGACUUGAAAACCCCAAAUACCAUAAACUUAUGAGUUUAAGGUAGUAAACUCAUGAGAAAUGGUCCUUAGACCGUAAACUCCAUUUAGGAGUGUUUUGAUGCCACACAACACUUCCUAAGACUAAUUCAUGAAGUAGGAAUGCUUGGAAUAGCCUAGAAGACUUCAAAUCACCAAAUGGUCAAAAGGUUAGGAGUUUACGACCGUAAACUCAAGGGGUGUUGAUCCUUAGGGAGUAAACUCAUUUUAAGAGUGUUCCUUGAACCCCAAACACACUAGCCUUUCCUUACAACACUUAGAUGCACUCCUUAGCACUUAUAACACUUAUACAAAGUGUUUGUCAUGCCUUAGAGUGUCUUGACUUUGUUUAUUAGUUGUUUAAAGACUAAUUGUUAAUAUACAUAUAUCCUUAUAUGUUAUUAGGAUCUUUGUGCGUGUCUAAGUCUUCACUUGACACCAAGCACUUAUCCGACACUUCCUUCCGAUCCACUUACUACAGGUGAGUUCAUACCCCUUAAUCAAUGUUUUAAACUGUUUUUAAAUGUUUUAUGGGGGGGAUACAAGUAGAAUUAUGCUAAUUAUUAUAUCAAUCACAUGUGAUUAAUAAGCAGCAUUCAAAUGAUUGGCUACUCAUUAGCCGUUUUACCAAACAGUUUCCUUCAAAUGUUUUUCAUAAACACUUUAUGUGUUUAAAACUCCCUAUUACACUGUACAUUUUACUCUGUAUAUUACAUUUCAAACUUACUUUCAAUUGUGUUUCAAACAAAUGUUUCUUUAUACUAAACCGUUUUAUCAAACCCAUGCCUUCAAAACCGUUUUAUAGAUUGACAUCAAGUCGAUCUUUUCUUAGAAAAUGAUUAUGCUCAAAGGUUUUACAAAACUUAUUUUAUGUUUUAUUAUUAUAAAUUGCAUGCCUAUAUAUGUAUAGUUAUAUAAGAAAUGUUGAAAGGACAUAGGAAGGCUAUCCACCCUAUUUCCUUUUCCUCGAUUUGGAUGUGGUCUGGUGGGAUAUCGGGUACCCGUCCGAAGGUCGUUUAAAUAUUAAUUAUGUAUCAUGUGUACAUAUAUAGUCAUAAAAGUCCUUCCAGUUCAUCAAUUGCCCUUGGGUAGCAAGGGUAUACAUACAUGUUCAUACGUGCCAGUUAGAUUACUAGUAAACUACCAUAGGGGUAGUUUAGGAAAAUACUAGAACUAUUACUAAAACGCGAUAACAUACAAUGAGUCAAUUCAUUCAUGAGUCAAUACUUGCUAGAACACUACAGUACUUUACUAUACUUGUUAGAUAGAGAGAACAUACAUUACAGCUAGAGCAUUUCAGUACAUUACUAUACUAUUACGUAGAUAAGUUUACAUGGUCACACUUACAUGAGUACAAUUACAUGGUCACACUUACAUGAGUACAAUUACAUGAUCACACUUACACGAGUACACUUACAUAUACAUAGAACAGAUGUCACUAGGUGUUAUAGCAUGGACCCAGUUCCGGAUCUAACUAUACUGAUGAAUCACAACCCAAUUGUGAUAGUUAUAUCGAGUAUACAUGAUCAUAGUAAUGUGGAUGCUCACGGCUUGCAUAUAUGCAGGGGUCGUGGGUAGGUCCCAAAAUCCCUUUGAUAGGGGAGCGUAUAGCCUGGGAUCUAGACAUCACAUUAUACCUUAUCCCUCAAAUAAGGUAGCUGAGUACCGAUGUAGUUAUUUAUUACAAAUGCUACAGUACUUACAAGAUUACCCUAGACUUAAGGUAAUUGGUACGGUUGUAGUUCGACACUACACCAUAGUACUAUUUCAUUUUCCCAUUACAUUCACUUCGUGAACAUUCACACGACGCACGGUAAUGUGGAAACUAUAUUUUUGGUUAAUGAUAGUCAUACUUGGGAAAAUACAUACUCUUACAAGAGACACACACACAGGCACUAGAUGCCUUGGUAGAAGGCUACAUUCAGAGCAGUUAGGUCUUGGUAUAAGACUACAUAGAGAGCAGUUAGGCCUUGGUAGAAGGCUACAUUCAGAGCAGUUAGGUCUUGGUAGAAGACUACAUUCAGAGCAGUUAGGUCUUGGUAGAAGACACCUUCAUAUAAUAGUAGAAAUCAUAGGGAUUUCUAGGGUUUUUCAAACAUUUAAAGUUGAUUUACAAACAUUUUCAUACUUACAGUUCAUAUACACUUUCAAUACUUACAAUUUAUAUACAUACAAAUUCAUGCAUACAAAUACUUACUUACAAAUUAAGACACUAAAAUACUUAUGAUCUCACCAGCUUUAAAGCUGAUACUCGCUUUCAAAAUUACUUGUAUCCUCAGGUCAUCUAUAGACAGGUACAGAUGCAAGGUUUAGAGAAGAUGGAGCUCGUUCAAGACUCAUCUUUCAUUUUGAUUUAUGCUUUAGUGUCUAUUAUAUUUUGACAGAACACACUUGUAUAAUAAUUAUUUUAUUAAUGCAAUGGAUGAUGUUGUUGCUUGUUUACUACUUUACAUUGUUGUGAUACUGUACAUGACAUCCUCCGCCCCAGAACGUUUUCACCGUUCUUGGUUUUGGGGUGUGACAGACUUUGCCCUCGAAGUCAUGCUCAGCAAAUAACUCAGGAUGCUGCUCCCGCAUCUUUGACUCCGGCUCCCAAGUCAAAUCGGACCCUCUCUGAUGUUGCCACUGAACCUAAACCAGGGACACUUCCUUGUUUCUUAGAACCUUCACAUUUCGAUCCAAGAUCGCUAUCGGCCUCUCAAUAUAAUUUAGGCUCGCAUCUACCUGAAUGUCCUCUAGCGGUACCACUGUCGUAUCGUCGGCUACACACUUCCUCAACUGGGACACGUGGAAGGUGUUAUGGAUCUGACUCAACUCCGCAGGUAGCUCCAAAUGGCACGCUACCCAACCAAAUCUGGCGGUCACCUUAAAAGGACCGAUGUAUCGGGGUGCAAGCUUGCCCAGGUUCCUGAGUCGGAUCACCCCUUUCCAAGGGGAUACCUUUAGAAGGACAAAAUCUCCAACCUGAAACUUGAGAUCAGAUCGUUGCCUGUCUGUGUAACUCUUCUGGCAACUCUGGGCCAUUAGUAACCUCUGCCUGACUUGCUGAAUAUGCUCGGUCGUCUUGAGUACUAUCUCCGUGCUACCCAUCACUCGUUGUCCCACCUCUCCCAAACAGAUAGGAGUUUGACACCUUCUCCCAUAAAGGAGCUCGAAAAGAGGCAUACCAAUGUUGGAUUGGUGACUGUUAUUGUAAAAAAACUCAGCCAAGGGUAAGUAAGUGUCCCAACUUCCUCCGAAAUCCAUCACACAUGCACGCAUCAUGUCCUCCAGCGUCUGAAUCGUUCGCUUGCUCUGUCCUUCUAUCUGUGGGUGAUAGGUAGUAUUGAAAUGCAAGAGCGUGCCCAAAUCCUCAUGAAAUCCAAAACCUGGAAGUAAAACGCAUGUCUCGAUCCGACACUAUCGAGACCGGCACUCCAUGUCGCGCUACCACUUCUCUCACAUAGAUCUCGGCCAAUCUCUCCGCAGAAGAGCUCUCACUAAUAGCAAGGAAGUUAGCACUCUUCGUCAGUCGGUCCACAAUCACCCAAAUCGCGUCAACCCUUCGCGCAGUCUUCGACCACUUGGUGAUAAAGUCCAUUGAGAUCUGUUCCCACUUCCACUGGGGAAUCUCAAGAGGCUGCAAUGGACCAUGUGGACGUUGGUGCUCUGGCUUGACCCGAAGGCAGGUCAAGCACCUCUCAACUACCCAAGCAACAUCCUUCUUCAUACAUGGCCACCAAUAGUCUCUUUUUAGGUUUAAAUACAUACUAGUAGCCCCGGGGUGGAUCGAGAAGCUCGAUUUAUGCGCCUCUUCCAUCAUUAUACGUUGGGCUCCGCCCGUAUAGGGCACCCAAAUCCACCCUCAGGAAGUCAUAAAUCCUCGGCUAUCCGUCACAAACUCGAACACCUGCCCAAUCACCCUCUCCCUCUUGUGGUUCUCCGAUUUCACGGCCUCCGCCUGGGCCUCUCGAAUGGUAUCCAAGACCGGAGCUGUCAUUGUUAUCCUCAUACACACAUCUCAAAUUGGGGUACUCUCUGCUCUACGGCUCAGGGCAUCGGCUACUACGUUAGCCUUCCCCGGAUGAUACAGGAUCUCACAGUCAUAGUCUUUCACCACAUCCAACCAUCUCCUAUGCCGCAUAUUCAGGUUAGGUUGAUCCAUGAGAUACUUCAGGCUCUCGUGGUCCACGUAUAUGGUACACCGAACCCCAUACAAGUAGUGGCGCCAGAUCUUGAGGGCGAACACAACCGCCCCUAACUCCAGAUCGUGGGUGGGAUACCUUGUCUCAUGAGGGUUCAACUACCUCGAGCAUAUGAUAUCAUGUGAUCCCUCUGCAUCAACACUGCACCCAUCCUUGAGAUAGACGCAUCACAAUAAACCACAAAGUCCUACACUCCCUCCGGAAGAGCUAGUACACAAUCUCUAGCGAAGAGUCUCGAAUAAUGGAUACUCCCAACAAGAAUAGAGGAUAUGCUAUAAGUUUAUAUCAUAUCUCUUCAUGUUCUAAAGGAGUAAAGUAUUGGUCUUUUUUCCUACACAAGAGUAAAAAAAAAAAUCUUUAGUAUCCAUAAAAUAAUAACUUUUAUCUACUAACAAAGCAAAAACAAGAUUACUAACCAUUUUAGAAACUCCAGGUGAGAUUUCACAAAAUGCUUUAUGUCUUCUUUUAAAACAAGUGCAUCAGAUGAAAAGUACAUCAACUCCUGCAUCAACAAAAGCCGUAGAUCUCCAAAGAGCUUCUUGUAUAGCAAUGCCUGACAAGAAUAUGUUCUUGUUACAAUAACAAUGUCAUAACCACUCUCUUUCAAAGCAUCAACAAUUAUUUUUAUCUUCAUCACAAGUUCUACUCUAGAUACCACUUAACUGCCUUAUGUAUGACCACAAGCUUUUGAGGAUACCUUGCAGUUUCAACAUUAUCAGCAAUCUGCAGGACCUACAUAUGAAUCCUAUGAUAGUUGAUGUUAGGAAAUGAAUUUGAUCUUCGAGAAUUAUUUUAACAAAUCCUGCUCUGAAAUAUUUGGCAAGCUUUUAUAAUGGACAAUGCUUUUGUAAUGUCCUUGCUUCACAAUCUCUCCAUAAGAUAUUAGUCCAGUAUUAUCUAGCAGGCCUAAUCGAGCCAUCUGUAUUCCAAAACCUAGCGAGAGAACAAAUCAAAGGCAAAAUUACAGGAUUGAUCAGACGAGGUUGCACAUUAAUACCAAUUUCAACAUUCUAGCCAUCUCUCUCUAUUAGCUUCACAUCAAGGUCAUUGAAACAAGCAGGGGCUUAGUGAAUUCGAGGAGAAUCAAGUAGUUAUCGUAACUUCUUCGUCGGAGAAAAAUCUGAAGUGGCGUUGUUUAGGCUGUUUGUCUCCUCCAUAAGAACUUAUGGUGAUAGAAUUGGGUGCCGAUAUAGCCCUAGAAACUGGUGAAAUAGAAAUCGAUGAAAGGGAAGGAGUUUGAGGUUUUCAAUGGGAGGUAAUUAUAAGACAAAAUCGGGGGAGGGGGGCACAAAUUCCAAACUGUGGGAAGCGUGUUUGACCUAGAGGAGGUGAGAGAUACAUACGAUCUUGAGAGUUGUGGUGACGGGUGAGAAGAUGUAGACGGGCUGGAGGAGUAGGCGACACAAAUUGUGUUCGCCAUUGACGGUGGUGGUAACCGAUGUUGAUGGCAGAGAAGGGAGACGGAACCCUAGAUCACCCAUGUGUGUGUUUUGAACCAAAACAUUGAAAACAUAACGGUAUCUUUUUCCGUCAUUUUAGACACUAAUUCACAACAAACAUUGUUUAUUUCAUUAUUUUUUAUAAAAGAUAACAUUACGACGUACAAGCGUUAAUCCUGAACAUUUUACAUACAUAACUUUUUAAGAAAUAUCUUUUUGUCUGUCAUAAAAUUAGUGUAUGUCAUAAGUCUGUCAUUAAAAGUCUUUUCUAGUCGUGUCAAAGACUAUGUCACCGUACAUCCAAAGUAUGUCGAAACAUUUGCUAUCCUUUAGAAGUUAAAAAUAACAUUUUUCUAGUUUACUUAAAAAAAAGUAUUUAUCGGGCAUAAACCUUUCUUAGAAAUCCUCCAAAACCUUGUAUCGACAACAAAUUGAAGAACUGAUAGAUGGAAAAAACAUUUUUUUAAGGAAAAAAACGGUAUUAAAACCCCUGUCAAAUUUAUUGAUAUGGAUGUUGAACUUAAAACCCCCUCAAAUUACAUUAUAUACCGAAAUUAAAAGCCAAAAAUAAAAAAUUAGAUGAAAACUACAUCUGUCGAGCCUUUUGUAAAUUUGAUAUGAAUGCCACUAUCUUCACAUAAACCCUGUCUUUGAAGUUAUCAUAACAGUGAAAAAAAGCAUGUCUUCCACGACGGUUGACAAGUAAAGCACCACAUGCUAUCCAAAAUCCAGUAGCAAAACCGGUCCCCCCACCAAUAUAGAACCAUCCCCAAAUUUCAUCUCCACCUUCCCCAUCACCCACACUUUCACCAACGACAGGUGGCACUUUUAAAUCUUCAUCCUCAGGACAUUUUUUGUUAAGAGGAGGUCCACAUAGUCCUACAUUUCCAUCGUAUCUUGAAGGUUCAAAGGACUGGAGCUGUGUGCUAGAUGGGAUUCUCCCUGUCAAGUUAUUAAAUGACAUGUCUAGGUAAUUCAGUAAGCUCAUCCGAGACAUGCUUGAUGGUAUCUGCCCUGAAAAAUUGUUUCUAGAUAAAUCCAAAGUCAAAAGAUUUUUCAUCUCACCAAUUUUCUGUGGAAUAUCUCCAAAUAGAUCGUUGUUUGACAAGUUUAGAGAAAUCAAGUCAUGAAGAUUGGUAAUUUCGUAUGGGAUUUGUCCUGCUAAAUUGUUGCUUGAAAGGUCAAUGCUCUUCACCAAUUUUAGAGUGUUAAAGAAUUCCCGUUCAUCUCCUUGCCACCUAAUCAUCGCAUUGUCAACAUAUGUCGUCCAAACAUAUGUUUGACCUCCUUCAGUUCUAUAUACCUUUAUAUCUUGUGAGAAUCCUUGUAGAACCAUGCUCGUAAGAUUACUCAAAUACGAGGGUAUGGUUCCAUAGAGAUUGUUCAUUGACAAGUCUAGAAUUUGAAGAUUUGCUAAUUGACAUAAUUUUGAAGGGAUGGUUCCAAUGAAGUUGUUUGAUCUUAGGAUAAGAACAUACAAUCCUGUUAAGUUUUCCCCAAUCCAGACAGGCACAUUACCAGAGAACUUGUUGGCUCCCAAAUUCAACGAGUUUAAACUCGUGCAAUUCUUUAAUGACAAAGGCAAUUCGCCAGAUAAUUCAUUCUUGUAUAAAUGCAAUACCUUGAGAUUGAUCAGAUAUUCAACAGAGGGAGGAAGCCUUCCAAAGAGAUUGUUGUGCCCCAGAUUAACAAUUUUUAGUUGUUUGAAAUGCCACAAACAGUCGGGGAGUUGUCCAGUUAAUGAGUUAUGAGAGAGGUCAAGAAAUGACAAGAACCCACCAACAAUCUGGCAUAUAAACGAGAUUCCCCCAGAAAACUUGUUUCUGGAAAGAUCUAAUGAUGCCAAAGUGGAAGCAACAUUUGGUAUUGGACCAUGAAAGUUGUUGGAACUCAAAUCUAUCACAGAAAGGUUGGCAAAAUUUGAUAAUAAAUCUGGUACUUUCCCACUAAUGUUGUUGGAAGAGAGAUUCAGAUAUUCUAAUUGAGAAGGCCAUGUGGCCCAAAACUCGAGAGGAGUUGUGUCUGAAAUUUCAGUAUUGGAAAGAUCAAGACUGGUAAGAUUUUUGAGUGUAUGAAUCCAUUUUGGGAAGUGAGGCCCUAUCUUACAAGACAUCAGACCAAUAACCUUUACAUAAGAAAGGCUUGACAAGUGAUAUGUGGAAGGAACUGUAAGAUUAUUAGAAGAAAGAUCAAGAAUUUGGAGCCUGGGUAGUUCCCACAGUUUCUCACUUAUACUUCCAUUUAACUGAUUAUCAGAUAGGUACAGAGAUUCUAGGGAUGCAAACUUCUGGAUCUCAUCGGACAGUGACCCUGUAAAUUGGCUACCUCGAGUAAUCAACAUUUGUAAGGUCAAGGACGUGCAUCCAGACAAGUUGUUGAGAAAAUCAGGAAAUUUGACAACAGCAGAGUUGUUAACGAUGUACAAACGUUCCAAACUACAGAGGUUCCCAAGGUAUUUGGGUAUCCCAUCUAACAUAUUGCCAGAGAGAAGAAGAGAACUAAGCUUAUUGCUGGUUAAUGGAAGCAACCAGCGAUACAUGGAUGAGUUCAGAUUGUUGUUUGUAAGAAAAAGGUAUUCAAUAGAUGAAGAAGAGUUGUGAAAAGAAGAAUAUGGAUACAUGACCUGUGACAGCUCACAUCCAUCUAAACUUAAACUCAACAGUUUUGGGAGACUCGAAAUUACACCUACCCAAUUAUUUGCAUUCGCAAGGGAAAUCCCAUCCAUUCUCAGAUCCUCCAAAUGAGAGAGAUGAGACAACCACUCCAUGUUUUCAACUCUACAACUUCCAACAGAAUCAAGAUAAAGGUAUUGCAAGUUGGUGAGGUUUCCAAAGUGUGAAGGAAUGGUUCCAUAAAGAGAGUUACUGGAAAAGGAAAGGUGCCUUAACUGGGUCAAGUAACCAAUGGACCUGGGAAUAGCUCCAUGAAAGGAAUUGUAGGAAAGGGAAAGGUACCUUAAUCGAGUCAAAGAACCAAUGAAAGUGGGAAUGGUUCCAUGAAAUGAAUUGUCAGAAAGAUCAAGAAGAUUCAAGUAGGUUAAGUUAACCAAGGAAUGGCUAAUCUCACCUCCAAGACCACCCUGUGAAAAGAAGUUGUUGAGUUCAAGCUUUGUGACGUGACCAGUUUGGUUGUUGCACUCGACUCCACUCCAUUUACAGCAGUCAUAUUGGUCAGAUCUCCAUGUAGAGAGAGUAUCAGAGGGGUCGUGAAGGGGAGCUUUGAAAAGAAGGAGAGCAUCUCUCUCCUUAUCCAAACACUUUUUCAUAUUUCUAUCAUCUCCUUCCAAUUGGCUGGCAGUUGCAUUCACAAGGAGGAGCAACAGAAGUGAGAAAAUUAUAAAAACACAAGGAUUCAUAAUUUAAUUAAAAAUGAAAAUCUUGGUGAUUUUUGGUUUGUAAUGAUGCCUGCCUAUAUGAACUGCACCCGUGAGUGUUUAUAUAUAUAGUCUCGAAUGUGAGCAUAACUGAUUCUAAACGGGUGGCCUUGAAUUAAUUAUGUCGGGGAUACAAUAUUUAAUUCCCAUGAAAUUAGAACCAAACUAUAAGAAAAAAUCAAAGAUGAAGAUUUGAAAUAAAUGUCCCAAAUUAGUCGUUCAAAGACUUGCAAGUCUUGACAAUUUGCAUAUAUUAUCUAUAUCUUAUCCGAUUUCAUGAUAUAUUCAAAGACUUUAAAGUGAUGUUUACCAUAACCUUUAUUAAAUACAAACAUAUAAGAAUGUAAACGCAAACAUUGAACUGACCACCAAAUUAACAACAACUAUUUAAUAAAUCUCGUAUUCCCAUUCCGUUGUUAAACAAUUUAUGUUUAUGCUAUCCUAAGAGUAUUUUUAUGAAAUCAAUUAGAAAAGUUUUAGCAGAAACAUAUAUCUAAUUUAUCAUAUCAAUUAAUUCAAAAUUUUCGAACAGAAACAUAAACCCAGUAUUCAACAGAAACGAAAAAAAAUUCAAACAAAAUCAAAAGAAACGUUAUUCAACAGAAAAAAUAGAGAACAGGGAUGAAGAGGAGAAAUGCGUUGAGUAUUAGUGACGGAAAACCAAGAAGAUGACAACGGUAGCUAGGCGGCGUCUUCGACGACAGUGGGGAGGUAAAAAAGCAAAAAAUUUAUGGAUAUUUUUUAGCAAUAUAUUAUAUUAUAUGGACUUGUUCGCGAAAACAUUAUUAUAUUUAUUUAUUGGUUAUGUAUAUAUCAACCUGAAAGAUAUUUUUAUAUUUUUAUCAUACAAUAACCAUUUAUAUUGCUAAAAAAUAUCCAUAAAUUUAUGUGAUUAUUUUUUUCCCACAUUAAUAAAAAAUAACCUCAUAAUUUAAGUUAUUAUUCCCUAAUUGCAGUACUUGACAUCAGAUCAGUGAUAAUUAAUGUUUUGCAAAAACGACAGUUUUGAACCCUAAUCCAAGUUUGAACCUUGAGUUUAUUAUGCUUGGAAAAUAUAAAAUCUAUUCAUAAUUACAAAAGAGUUUCUAAAAAUAAAAUAUUUAUAAAUUUCUAUUUGUAAUCACUAACCUCUCUAGUCUCUAAAGACUUUGAGUGUGUUCUUGGUGAACGUGUAUGUGAGGUGACGUUAAGCAAGAAUUGAAGAUAAAACAAAGAGUUUGUUUGUAAUCUCCAACAUAAGAAAACAAGGUAUUACAUCAAAGUUGAAUAUUAUGAGCAAACUCAAGAACCUUAAGUUUAAGGUUUGGACAAAUGAUGACUUUGUUCUUAAAUAAUCAUUCAUUGAUCAUGCAUCAGCCUAUCAUUAAGUGGGAUUGGUGGUUAAUUAAAGAACUAUCAUAGAUUUAAAAAUGAUACAAGUAUUUGAUGCAUAACAUGAAAAGUAUAAGUUGUAUAGUCUGGUAAUAUAGAAUUUCAAAUCAUGUUUAUGAGUAAUUAAAAUGUCAUUAGUAGAGACUGGGAAACUAAUCAUGUAUUAGUAUGAGUUUGAAGUUGGUUUUAGUAGUGAUGUAUAGCUUAUAUUGUUACCCUGCAUGAAAAGCAUGAUCGGGGAUUAUAAAGCAAAGGUUUCGUGCAUGAUCGGGGAUUAUAAAGCAAAGGUUUCGUACUACUGUAACACCUAGCUUUUUUUAUAAAAUACAUAACAAAUUACUAAAAUCGUCCUUAUGGUUUGAUUAAAAUUGCAUUUUUGGUUCUUAACUUUUUUUUUUUUUUUUUUUUUUUUUUUUUUGCAUUCGGACUGUUCUCAAAAUAUGAUUUUAUUGCGUUUUUCGUCUCUAUCCGGCCUGAAAAGACUAUACUUCCCUCUCUAAUUUAUUUUUUACUUGUUUCUAUUAUUAGUUUUAUAUUUUUUUAAUAAAAAAAUAGAAUGGGCCCACACUCAACUCUUCGUCUUCUCACAUGUUCAACCAUCUUUCACUUUACUACCAUUCACUACCAAUACUAUGCCAUUACUCACCCACUAAGACUCAUUAUCACCAUCUCCAGCGAGACUAGAAAUCCGACAAGACCAGAACGCCGACGAACAUCACACAUCAUCACCCACCACAUGUCACCCACCUCCACCAUCUCUCCCCGUAAAUCGGUAAAUCCUCAUCAAUAAAUCGGUAAACCACUCACCUCCACCAUUUAACCCCCUAAAUUCUUCGGCGAGUCCAUAACGACGACCAACACCACACUCACCCUUACUGUGCUUUUUCCAUAUCUUUCCUCCAUUGGACUACAGAUAAAGAUCUUAAAUAAAAAAUCAGAGAUCUACAACACAAGAUCUUGAACUCAAAUCAAAAUUGGAGAUCUGCAAUAUAAGGUCUGGAACUCAAAUCGAAGAUCUUCAUUGUACCUGUAUCAUAAAUCUCCCAACACCAUCAUCUUCUUAUUAAAAUUGGAGCCACCACCACCACUGUGUUACUGAAAUGGGUGAUUUUCUGAAAUAGAAGGCACCACCACCAUCGCCUUACGUAAACCAAGCCAGAACCAUCAACGCUUCUGAAAAUCAUCUUUCAUUUAUAAGAUAUCAUCAAAUUUUUUCUUUCAUCAUUGACUUGAGGUUGGGGUUUACGUUUUGGGUUUUGAUUUCUAUAUUUGGUUUUGAUUUCAUUUUAUGUUCUCAUUUAACAAUUUCGGGAGUUGACUUUGGUUAGAUUUUGAUUUCGGGAUUAGACGUUGGUCUAGUUUUGAUUUCUCGGAUUUGAUAUUGGGUUGUCACAUGAUGAAAUUGAUGAUGUGGGCGAUGGUGGUGUCAGAAUAGGUGUAUGGUGGUCGUGUCAGAAUCGUUGAGUGGUAGUUGUCAGCAACUGUGGUGGUUGUCGAUGAACGGUGAAUGAAGGUGGUUGUGGUGUAAGUAGGAGUAUGAGUGGGUCCCAAUAAAUCACUUAAUUGAUUUUCAUAAAUCAAUUAAUAAUAAACAAAUAAUAAAAAAAAAUAAAUAGAAAAUACAAAGGGCGAUAUAGUUUUUUUUAUCUCUACAAGGGACAAAAAACGCAAUAAAAUCAUAACUUAGGGACGGUCCGAGUGCCAAAAAAAUAAUACUUAGGGACCAACAAUAGUUUUUACCAACCAUAUGGACUAUUUUAGUAAUUUGUUCUAAAAUAAAAUAUUAUAGUUUUAAAACACUUUAUGGCAUUAAACCAUAUUUAUUAAAAUAUUGCCCCGAAAGUUUUCAUUACAAAACAAAUUGUAAUACUUUAAACCGGGUAUUACAACUGAUACAACCAAAGCCAUAGUAAAUAAAUAAUUAGACAUACUCAUAGAAACUAUGUCCAAUUUCUAUCCUUCAAAGCUCAUUUUAUCGGUGCAAACAAAAUCUUAUACAUUUCAUAUCGGACUUGGAAUACAUGGCAUUUAACAAAACAUAUGUAAGACAAUAAUGUCUCGUAAGUCAUAUGGGGUUAGACCCAAAAUAUUUACAAUAUAGGUAAAAAUUACCACUUUUCAUAUCUUGAAAACACUUUCAUAACUUGUAAACUUUUUUAUAGCCUGAAAAUACUUUUAUAACUUGUAAACUCUUUUAGAGCUUGAAAAUACUUUUAUAAGUUGUAAACUCUUUUAUAUCUUGAAAAUACUUUCAUAAAUUGUAAAAUCUUUUAUAGCUUGAAAAACAUUGAGACUAUACAAUGCAUGUCCUCACUCAAUGCAAACUUGUGGGACUUCACAAAUCUUUUAUCUUUUUUUAACUCAUGGAUAUGUGUUGAAUAUGGUGUCGAAAAGGACAUAAGUUGUGAGAAUAUGUCGAAUCUGGCUUAUCAUGAUAGAUGAAGAAAUCAAUCUACCAUGAUAUAUGAUUUGAAGUACGAGAGGUAUUAUCCGAGUAGUAUCUUGCUAAUCCCUUCCGUUAUGGCUCGCUUUCUAUUCAUUUUACUCAUUUACUAUGCAAUUUACUAUUAUGAUGCACGAUUACACUUUUCUUGCCAAGAGUUGAUCACACAUGAUGCUACGCUUUAAACUUAAUCAUAACAAUUUGGAUAGUAAUAACAUUUUCAUAUAAAACAUAUAAUCAUAUAAAACAUAUACCGGUAGGGGGGCAAGCUGAGACGUCGCCUAGGGCCCAACUUCCAAUCUGUUAGUAUCUAUAUAUAAAUUACAUUGUCAAAACCAUUAAACAAACAAGUUACAGGCUACUUGGUAAGGCGCUUCACAUCUUUAUAAUCAACCUUGGUUCAAUUUUAGCCUGGAACAUAAUUGAUUACUUUUUGCUAAAUUUAAUGUUUCUAAUAUUACAAUGAAUUUUAAAAUGAUAAUACAUAGAGCUUGUUCAACAAAACUAGCAGGUAGCGGGUAGCAUUUGCUUUUGGAGUGUUUUGUUGAAAGCUCCCAAACAAGGCUUUUUUUUUUUUACUCCAUGUAGCUUUUGAUUUUGGAGCGUUUUGUUUAGGAUAAAAGCUAAACGCUCCUGUCGCCAAACAAGGCUUUUUUUACUAGCGUUUUCCUAAAAGCUAGAAGCCAAAAGCUCCCAAACGGUGCAUGUCGAACACACCCAUAAUUUGUAGCCACCUUGGUAAGAACCUAUGAAAUAUGCACACAAAUNACUCAACAACCUCAACUAUUUAUUUGUGAUUCUAUAUAUAUAUAUAUAUAUAUAUAUAUAUAUAUAUAUAUAUAUAUAUAUAUUAAACUAACUUAAUUUAUACUUAUACAAACAUAUUUAAAACAAUAAUAAACAUUGUGUACAAGUUACAUUUUGUUGGAACUGAUUUAUACAUAAACCUAUUUUUAUAAAGAAAAGAAUAACUCAGAAAACAAAUUACAAUAUUUGAGUUUAAUUUAUUAAUUUGUUUUCUAUAAUAAAAAUAAUGUGUAGUUCAAUUAGUCAAAAAAGUUAAAUACCUUGCUCGUUAACAACAAUAUUAUACUUAACUUAGCUCAAAUUUAAAAGUGAGUUUUUGAUAUAUUCAGGGGCACUUUAUUUAGUUUUUCUCCCAGGCCCCAAAUAUGUAUGGACCAACUUUGGUCAAAACAUAAAUCAUAAAGCUUGUAAAAUACUUUUUUCCUUACAAUACAUUUUGAUAUGUGCAUAUUUUUAAUCAUGUAUAUCGUGCAUAUUUAUAAUAGUUUUAGCUACAAUUAUGCUUAUUUUGGGACAUAAGGUACUUAUUAUGUUUAAAAUAUGUUUUGUAGUAGCAAAAACAUGCUCGGGAUGAAAAGGAAAAAAAACGAGGAGCUAGAAGCAGGAAAAUUUGGGCUAAGUUAAAAAGAAGACAAAGAAUGCAUGAAUUCUGAAGCCCACGGCAUGGUCACUAUAUUCCAUGCCGUGGUAAAUGGAAGAAUCACGAUCAAUCAUCUGACUUGGAGAAUAUGAGAUUUAAGAGAAGACCACAAUGUGGUGCCUAUUCACCACGCUAGUGAUCAAGUUUAUGGAAACUAUAUAUAUUCAAACAUUAGAUCGAAUGUAGAAACUUCUGGCUGAUUUUCUGAGAGGGAUUGUGACUAAAACCCUCUUGAAAACCUUAGGAAAAUCAGGACUCAAUUGGAGCUCAAGAGUUGAAGAGAUCCAGAAGAAAUCAACAUAGAUCUAUUAAGUUUGCUAGCAUUACUCAUGUCUAAUCUUAAUUACAUUGAUUUAGUGUGCUUUUCUGUUGUGAUGAAAGGCUAAAAACCUUAUAAUUCUGUUUGGUGAAGAUGAACACAAAUCUUAUGUGUUGAUUUCAAUUUAUGGAUGUUUUACAUUGAUUUUACUUGUGUUUGAUAAUAAAAACCCUAACAUGUUUUAGUUCUAGUAUGUGAAUGCCUUGCUAUGAGUUUAGUGUAGAUGAACUCAAAUCUUAUGUGUUGAUUUCAAUUUACGGAUGUUUUACAUUGAUUUUACUUAUAUUUGAUAAUAAAAACCUUAACAUGUUUUAGUUCUAGUAUGUGAAUGCCUUGCUAUGAGUUUAGUGUAGUAGAUGAUCAUUCUAUUUGCAUGAACUUGUUUACCUAGUGAUUUAUGAUCAUUAAAUUGCUAUAGCUAGGAUUAAUCACAUCUUAGAUAAGGUAAUUAAAGCUAGUAACUUUAAUUGUGUUAGAGAGCAUAAUAUAUCUUAAAUUGUGCUUGCUUGCUUAACUUGAUCAUAGCAAAGUAACUAUUAGAUUUAUCAUUCAUAGUCCAAUUUGUGCUUAUAUCGAUUUUGUGUUUAACCUAUGCUUGAUCAUUACAUGGUAAUUCAUAAAUUGGUACAUCUAGGUAUUUGAUCAUAAUAACUAGUAAAUUAACGAAUUGGUAUAUCCAAAUAGCAUGUGUUUGCACCAUAAUCCAUUGACAAAACAUUGUGAAGUCUCAUCAGCUUAUGGUUUUUUAUGUUGAAUCAAUAACUACUUUUAUUAGAAGAAUCAGGAGAAGAAUGUUAUGAUACAUUUAAUACACUCUAGUGUUUUGGUGUACCCAUCGACAUAGAGUUUCCAAGCUCUCAUCAACAUUUGUUAUUAAAUGUAGAAUCAUAAAACUUUAAAAAAGAAAAUUGGCCAAGAAUGGAUUUAUGCAUGUGAUAGUCUACGGUACAUAGACUAACCAUUUGCACAUAUUUUCAAGAUCUCAUCAAUGUAUGGUACUUUACACUGAAUCAUUAAACUUUAAAGAAGAAAAUAGGGCGAUAAUGGAUUGGUGCGUGUGAUAGCCUACACUACAGUAGUGCAUAGACUAACCAUCGACACAAAAUUUUCAAGCUCUCAUCAGUGUAUGCUAUUUUACGCUGAACUAUGAAAAUUUUAAAGAAGAAAAUCAGGUCAAUAGUGGGUUGAUGUGUAUGAUAAACAACAAUACAUAGUUUAACCAUCAUCAUAGAAUUGUAAACUUUCAUCAGUAUGUGGUUUUCAUAGUGAGUUGUUAAGUUCUCGUAAGAAGAAGUUGAGAGAAAAGGAUGUUUCAGUCACACUGAAGUGAAAUCAACGUGAAUGAUAAAAUAGUUUAAACUCAUAAAAAAAAAGUGUUUUCAUCUUCCAUAUCAUAGAGUUAAGUUUCAGUCCAGAAUAUUCAAUUCACCAUCAAUUUGUUUAAUAUGGUACAAUACAAGAAUGAAAGAAGAUAAGAAAAAGAAAAACAACCAGGAUACUUUAAACAGAAAAUUUCAAGCUUUUGCAGAAUAAUCAUAAAAAUGAUGGCAGCAUUUUGCAAGAACAUCAUAAAAGUUUAUACGAAAAAUAUUUUGACUUGAAUACUUAUAAAAGAGUUUCCUUUUUCAAAGAUAUAUCUUAUUAGGAAUUAACUUUAAAAGAUAAGAAAUUAGCAUCUCAAACCAUAAAAAAAUACUACAAACAAGGGAAUAGACAAAAUUCUUAUCCAUUGAUGGGAUAAGAGAAUUGAUGAUACGGUCUUUGUAACCAUCGAGUUAAAAGUUUCUAAUAUGUGGGAGCUUCGAGAUGCCGAAAUCAACAGGGAGGUACUUGAGGUUUUAUUGAAGGUACUUGAGGUUUCAUUGGAUUAUGAGCCAAUAGAUGCACGUAAGAGUAAAUGUAAUAUCAGUGACUGCUUGUAACCAUGACAUAGGAUGGAGGGGUAGGAGAGCAUCGUCAAGAAGAAGAGGACAUGAUUCCAUCUUUCACUUCAUAUCCUCAUUCGCAUAAGAUGAAGGUGGCUGAGGUGACAUCAAGGGCAAUCAGGAAAUUCACCAAGCCUCUAGCUCUUUUAAUAUGGAGUCAAGUGACAAUUCUGAGUGUAAACAUCACCAUUCAUUACUUACGAAUUGAUAGUUGCAUCUGUUUCAAGAGUAAGAAGAUGAUUCAAUCUUGCAACUUCGGGGAUGUAAGAAUGAUAAGUGAUGCACAAGAAUGAAGAUACAUGAGAAAGAAAUUAGAGAGGCAAAGAGAUGAAAGCAAUGUAAUUACUAGAUAUAUAUAGAAAAGGAAGCAAGCAAUGUCAAGAAUUUUUCUAAAAAGAAAGAAAAAGAAUAAAAGCAUUUUGACUUUAUGUUUUUGUGUUUUAAUAAAAGCAUUAAGAAAAUAAGCAAAGAGAAAUUAAGUCAUUAACAACAUGCCAAGAUCAACAACCAAUUUGUUUAAAGUCUUCUCAUCUUGGGCCUUAGUGAAAAUAUUCUCCAAUUAAUCAACGGUAGGGAUGUAUAACAAGUCUACUUUGCCUUUUUGAACAAUUUCCCUGAUAAAAUGAUGGUGGAUAUCAAUGUGCUCUGUCUUUGAAUGUUGUAAUGAAUUUUGAAUCAUUUGGAUGGUACUUGUGUUAUCAAAGCAUAUGAGAGUCUUUGAGAAAGAAAAAACAUAGUCUAGGAGCUGAUUCUGAAUCUAAAGAAUCUGAGUAUAACAUCUUCAAGUGGCUAUGAUUUAGCUUUAGCGGUAGAGCAUGCCACUAAUGUAUGUUUCUUGCUGGACCAGCUCACAAGCCUAUUUCCUAGCAUUUGAGCUCCUCCAUGAUCACAGUCUAUAAAUCCCACUAGUUUGAACUUGGAGUCAUGAGGAUACCAUAACCCAAGAUUAGGUGUAUGUUUUAAGUAGUGAAAGAUCCUUUUUACAGCCAAGAGAUGGGACUCAUUUAGGGUAGCUUGAUAUCGAGCACACAAUAUCGUAGUAAACAUAGAAAUUAUCACUCCAUGAUACAAUGUUGCAUUCACAUGAGUGCCAACUUGAUCAUCAAAAAUAGACGUUGAUGGAGACAUUGGAGUUUUUGCCGGUUUAGAGUUAAUAAAACCAUAUCUCUUCAGCAAAUCUGAGAUGUAUUUUUCUUGGAAAAUUUAAGAUUCCAUCAGUGAGUUGCUUAACAUAAAAAGAAUGUUAGUUCACCCAUCAUGCUCAUUUCAAAAAUUUUGGCAAUACCAUUAGCAAACUCAGAACUCAGUUUCUCAUCUGUGGAUCCAAAAAUGAUGUUGUCGACAUACACUUGAGCAAGAAUAAUGUAAGAUCUAGUUGCUUGACGAACAAAGUGUUGCCGAUUGGUCCAUGUUUGAAUCCAUUCUCUAGAUGAUAACUAGCUAAAGUGUUAUACCAUGUCCUGGGAGCUUGUUUCAAGCCAUAGACGACUUUAUCUAGAAGAUACACAUGAUCAGGGAAUUCUUCACUUUCAAAUCCUAGAGGUUGUUUUAGAAAAACUUCGUCUUGAAUAUCCCCAUUGUAACAACCCAAAAUCCAGGUAAGCUUAUGACCACUUUUAUUUUGGAGAGUUGGCAUAUUAGUCCCUCAAAGUUGUAUGGUGGAUUAGUGAGUACGUUGGGCGUACUGAAGUGUACGCCGCGCGUACUCACACGCUUAAAUUGGACGCGGACUCGCCCGGGUACGCUGGGCGUACCCAGGGGUUACGCUGGGCGUAGCGAACCAAGAAGCAAACCCUAAUUCCUGGCUUUUGCACUAUAAAAGGAACAUGUAGUCCCUUGCCCUAGCCACCAUAUCUCCUUGAGUAAGUCCUUUGAGAGCUGAGAUUCGUGCUUUAGCUUGUGUGUGUGUUUUUGAGCUUGAAUUUAUCUUUUCAAGGUGAAAAAGGAGAAGAAGGAGCCAUUGUUGGAGCUAGAAGUUGAAGAACAAGUGUAGAUCUGAGUUCUACAGUGGUUGGAGAUCUUUUCUGAUGUAAAAAGCUCAAAGCUUUCCUUGUUCUUCAUAAGUUUUGCUUUUUGGACCACUUUUUGGGUUUUUGGUUCAAAGUUGGAGACUUUAUGUGCAAAGAGUCUCCAUAAGCUUAGAUCUGACCUUUUCUAGUGUAUAAUGUGUUGAGGAGUCAUAAAAAUCUAGUCUUGGAUGUGGAUCUUGUGUCAUGCAUGAGUUAUAGUCUCAUUAUGGAAAGAGGAAAGGUGUUUUGAGCACAAAGUGACCUUUACAACCAUGCAAAGGCUUAAAGGUUUCAACUUUAUGGAUUAAGUCACAUUAGAGGAGUUAGAUCUGAAGUUUGGAUGCAAGUCUUAACUAAUUAAGACCUGAAUGAGAUGGAUAAGGAAACUGGGCAUUACGCUUGGCGUAAUCCCAGUACGCAGCGUAAGCAGCUGCGCACCCCGUUUCUGUGAAGGCUCCGGGUGCUCCCAGCGUACACAUUUGGUACGCGCAGCGUAACCCGGGGGGUUGAAUUUUGUUGACUUUUAGGUUUUGGUCAAUUUUAGUGUAAUUGAGCCAAGUAAGGGGUAAAAUGGUCUUUUACCUUCCUGGGAGUGAUUAGAGGGAAUGGUCUAGCCUAGGGAAAUGUAUUGAUGUUGAGUGUUGUUUCAUAUGAUUAGGCGGAGGUUAGAUCUUAUCCCACGGAGUCCAAGAUUUCUGAGAUUUACGAGUUACCAAGCUACACCAGGUGAGUCUUCUCACUAUACGUUACCUAGAGUGGUAUUUAUGUGGACCGGAGGGUCUUAUGUGUUAUGUAUGAGAUUAUAUGAAUCUAUAUGCUAUGUGAUAUUUUCAUGUUAUGUGAUUGUAUAGACCGGACAGGAAGAUCCAAUGAUACAGACGGGACCAGAGGGUCUAACGAUUCAGACCGGGCCAGAGGGCCCAACGAGCUACGGGACUGGAGGGUCCCGCUGAGACACAUCAACCGGAGGGUCGUAUUGUAGCCUCAAGUGGCGUAUGUGUUGUAUGUGGUAUUUUGGGGAACUCACUAAGCAAUUAUGCUUACAGUUGUUGUGUUAUGUGUUUCAGGUACUAGCGAGGACCGUGGGAAGGCACCGAUGUGACUCGUACACACUAGAGUAGGGAUUUGUUUUUGUGAUCUUGGGAUAUGUUAUGUUUUGAUAACUAUGGUUGAAUACUUUUGAGAAUAUUUUGUAUAAAUUUGGUUGUUGAAAAAUGAAAAAUUGUUUUGAAAUUCACGUUGUUACAAGUUGGUAUCAGAGCCUUGGUUUGAGGGACUCGGAUGCACCUUUGGGCGUAUCUGAACUCAAACUGAGGAUUUGAGAAAUUUUCAACAAUAAAAACUAAAUUUUCUAAAAAAGAAAACAGUUUUGAAACAAACAGAGCAUAGCAGUGUGUACGGUCAACCAGCGCCCGAACGGUGAAUCCUCAAAAUACCCUUACAUUAUGUGUUAUGAGAUAUGCUAUGUUAUGUUAUGCAUGCUAGAGUAGGCUAGGUAAUCAUAUUAGGACUAGAGUGGCCUGAUUUGUGAUGCCUUAGCCUAGGAGAUUUCUGCUACUAUAAGAUGCCUUGAGAGCGAGUAGGUAGCAGUUCGGAGCUCUUGAGAGGUCUAUCGGAGGGUAGCCAAUGCAUAGUGAGAGUAGAGUACUUGCAAUCCGGGAUCCAAGGAGGAGGACUUGGGGUAAAUGCUGAUACGGUGUGGUCAGUAGUAUAGGGCUUGUACUACUGAAGACACCAGAUCAAUAAGCAGCCCAAGUAAGAAUCCUUUGGGUAUUGGAGGACGAGUAGGGUUGCGUUAUCGAGUGCGAGUAUGCUCGAUCGAAUCUCUAAUAUUUUAUGUUGUAUUUCAGAGGCAUCAUGGUUGGGACACGACACACACCUGAGAGCAGUUGGGUUAGUGACGAGGAGAUCCGUCGUUUGAUUCAUGAGGAGGUGGUUGUUGCCAUCCGGGCUGAGAUUCCGGAGAUGUUCGGGGACAUCAAGACCACACUGAUUGAGACCUUUGAUGAGCGGUAUGCAGCGGUGACUGAGGCUGCAGCUACUGCAGCUACUGCUGUUGUGGCUGCUGCCAGACCUCAGGGAGGUGACUCAUUGUUGUUUCGGGAGUUCAGCAACACGAAGCCACCAGAGUUCGAUGGGACGCAAGACCCGAUUGUUGCGAUGAGAUGGAUCUCUGACAUCGAGGGAUGUUUCUAUACGUGUUCUUUUCCAGAACACUUGAGGGUGCGGUUCGCUCUGAACCAGCUCCGCUUCGGAGCGAUGGAUUGGUGGAAGUUCAUGAUGGCGAGCUUCACUCUGGCAGAGAUUUCUGAGGUGACUUGGGAGAGGUUCACCGCCAUUUUUAGAGAUGAGUAUGUUCCCCCGGUGGAGAGGGAACGAUUGAUUCAGGAGUUCUUGACCCUCAAGCAGGGUACUGAUUCUGUUACAGUCAUUACCAGGAAGUUUCACAAGAGAGCGAUGUUUUGCCCUGAGCAGGUGUCUACUAAGCAGGCUCGCAUGAGCCGGUAUCUGAGUGUUCUGAGGAGAGAUAUUCGGGAGUUCGUGGCGAACUCGACUUACCGGACAUUUGCUGAGCUCCAGGCAAAUGCCCGAAAGAGGGAGAUUGAGUUGGAGACUCAGGCCAGGGAGGAGGCCGAGUCCCAAAGGAUGGAUCGGCGGUAGGCUCAGUCUCAGCCGACAGCCAAGUGGGCUAAGCCCGCUGAUUCGAGAUCUGGGGGCGCGAAGGGCCGCACUUGUGGGAAGUGCGGCAAGAGUCACAAGGGGUCGUGUCGGGCAGGAGUAUGCUACAAGUGCGGGAAGGAGGGGCAUAUCGCGAGGGAUUGCCCCAAGGGAUUUUUGGUUUGCUUCCGUUGCAACCAGACCGGCCAUCGGAAGGCCGAGUGCCCUCAGCUUUAGCAGGGAUCUAUGCCUGCGACCAGGACUACCGAGGUUUGGCCAGUGAAGGCCGAGGCGCCAAAGGCUCGUGGGAGGGCCUUUCAGUUGACAACGGAGAAGGUCCGUGCAGCACCCGACGUUGUGGCCGGUAUGUAUUCUUCUCUCUAUUUAUUUAAGUCUGAGAUAUUAUUCUUAUAUUAUGUUAUGCGUAGGUACUUUUCUUGUGAAUUCUGUACCUGCCUUAGUGCUAUUUGACUCGGGAGUGAGCCGAUCUUUUGUGUCAUUAGCCUUCAAUCACCAUAUUAGUAUUUGUCGAGAGGCCUUGAGUCGACCUCUGCGAGUUUCUAUAGCUAAUGAGCGAGCAGUUUAUGCCACAGAUGCGAUUCGAGGAUGUAUCAUUGAGAUCUUCGAUGUGGAGUUCCCGAUAGAUCUGGUCCCGAUUGCGAUGGGGGAUGUGUGUGUUAUAGUGGGCAUGGAUUGGUUGAGCCGUUUUGGAGUUGUGAUAGACUGUGAGCGUCAGUUGGUGACGAUAAGAGACCCUAGUGGGGGAGUACUUACGGUGUACGGAGAGAGUACCCGUCCUGAGUCAGCAUUUUGUUCAGCUGCUAGGGCGAGACAGAGUUUACAGCAGGGCUGUAUAGGAUUUGUGGCCUAUGUGAUGGACACGCGAGUGGCCACUGGGAGGCCAAGUUCGAUUGAUGAGGUCCCAACUGCGUGGGAUUCCCUGACGUUUUCCCCGAGGAGUUGUCGGGCGUGCCUCCCGAGAGGCAGGUGGAGUUUCGUAUCGACUUGGUGCCAGGGGCGACACCUAUUACCAAGGCACCCUAUCGCCUUGCGCCAUCCGAGAUGCAGGAGUUAUCCUCGCAGCUUCAGGAGCUGUUGGGAAAAGGGGUUUAUUAGACCGAGUAGCUCACCUUGGGGAGCGCCAAUCCUUUUUGUCAUGAAGAAGGACGGUUCACACCGGAUGUGUAUCAAUUACCGGGAGUUGAACAAGUUGACGGUCAAGAACCGUUAUCCAUUACCGAGGAUUGACUAUCUGUUUGAUCAGUUGCAGGGGGCGUCUUGGUUCUCCAAGAUAGACUUGAGGUCGAGAUAUCACCAGAUGAGGGUGCGGGAUGAGGACAUCCAGAAGACAGCGGUCAGAACUCGUUACGGACAUUACGAGUUCGUGGUGAUGCCAUUCGGGCUCACCAGUGCACCAGCAGCGUUCAUAGAUCUCAUGAACCGGUUGUGCAGGUCGAUGUUGGAUCGAUCGGUGAUUGUAUUCAUCGAUGAUAUCUUGGUAUAUUCGAAAUCCAGAGAGCAGCAUGAGGAGCAUUUGAGGGAAAUCCUCGGAGUUCUGAGAUCGAAGAGGCUUUACGCCAAAUUCUCCAAGUGUGAUUUUUGGUUACGGGAGGUCUAGUUCCUAGGGCAUCUCGUUAACCAGCAGGGGAUAUUGGUCGAUCCGGCCAAGAUUGAGGCUGUGAUGAGCUGGGAGGUGCCGAGGUCACCUACUGAGAUCAGGAGUUUCUUAGGGCUAGCAGGUUAUUAUCGGAGAUUUAUCAGGGAUUUCUCCAAGAUCACCGUGCCACUCACCAAGUUGACCCGGAAGGGUGUUACUUUUUCUUGGGGUCUGGAGCAGCAGACCUCAUUCGAGACACUUCGCCAGUGAUUAUGCGAAGCCCUGGUGUUGGCCCUUCCGGAGGGAAUGGAGGAUUUCGUGGUGUAUUGUGAUGCAUCAAUAUCAGGGUUGCGAGCAGUGCUUAUGCAGAGGUGGCAUGUGAUAGUAUAUGCAUCGAGACAGCUAAAGCCUCAUGAGUCGAGGUAUCCCACUCACGAUCUGGAAUUAGGGGCAGUAGUGUUCGCCCUCAAAAUAUGGCGGCACUAAUUUUAUGGGAUUCAGUGUACGAUAUUCAUGGACCACAAAAGCUUGAAGUAUUUAAUGGAUCAGCCCAAUCUGAACAUGCGCCAGAGGAGAUGGAUGGAUGUGGUGAAGGAUUACGACUGUGAGAUCCUGUACCACCCAGGCAAGGCUAAUGUUGUAGCUGAUGCCCUGAGCCGAAGGGCGGAGGGCGCCUCGAUAAGAGAUGUUUGCAUGAGAUUGAAAGUGAUGACUCUGGUAUGGGACACCAUUCGAGGGGCCCAGGCAGAGGCGGUGAGACCGGAGAACCGCAAGAGAGAGCGAGUGACUAGGUAGGUAUCAUAGUUUGUUACCGAUAGUCGAGGACUUAUGACCUUCCAGGGUCGGGUUUGGGUAUCGUUUGUGGGCGGAACGCAUACCGUCUUGAUGGAGGAGGUGCAUAGAUCGAAGUUCUCGAUCCACCCCGGGCCACUAAGAUGUAUUUGGACAUGAAGAAGGAGUAUUGGUGGUCCUGUAUGAAAAAGGGAUGUUGCAUGGUUCGUAUAGAGGUGCUUGACCUGUCGCAAGGUUAAGACCGAACACCAGCGCCCGCAUAGUAAGUUACAGCCGUUAGAGAUUCCCGAGUGGAAGUGGGAACAGAUUACCAUGGAUUUUAUCACCAAAUUGCCGAGGACUGCUAGGGGUGUUGAUGCAAUUUGGGUGAUUGUGGACAGGUUGACGAAGAGCGCUCAUUUCCUUGCCAUCAGUGAGAGCUCUUCUGCGGAGAGGCUGGCAGAAAUGUACAUGAAGGAGGUGGUAUCGCGGCAUGGAGUACCGAUCUCGAUUGUCUCAGAUCAAGAUGUGCGUUUCACUUCCAGAUUUUGGAAGAAAUUUCAUGAGGAAUUGGGUACGAGACUACAUUUUAGUACCGCGAACCACCCACAGACCGACGGGCAGAGCGAGCGGACGAUUCAGACGCUCGAGGACAUGCUUCGGGCAUGUGUAUUGGAUUUUGACGGGAGUUGGGAUACAUAUUUUCCCUUGGCUGAGUUUUCCUAUAACAACAUCCAUCACUCGAGCAUUGGUAUGCCACCUUUUGAGCUGUUGUAUGGAAGGAGGUGUCGUACCCCCAUUUGCUGGGGCGAGGUAGGGCAGCGUGUGAUGGGUAGUACAAAGAUAGUGCUUCAGACGACAGAUCAGAUACAACAGGUUAGACAGAGGUUGUUGACCACUCAGAGUCGCCAGAAAAGUUAUGCAGAUAGACGACAAUCUGAACUCGAGUUCCAGGUCGGUGAUUUCGUGCUCCUGAAGGUAUCUCCUUGGAAAGGAGUGAUCCGAUUCAGGAAGAGGGGCAAGCUGGUACCCGGUAUAUUGGGUCAUUUAGAGUGAUCGCGAGGGUGGUCAAGGUAGCGUAUCACUUGGAGCUACCUGCAGAGUUGGACCGGAUUCAUGAUACCUUCCACGUGUCGCAGCUGAGGAAGUGUAUUGCCGAUGAGUCGGCAGUGGUACCCUUAGAGGAUAUCCAGGUGGACGCAAGUCUAAAUUAUGCUGAGAAGCCGAUCGCAAUCUUGGAUCGGAGGAUCAAGGUUCUGAGGAACAAGGAAGUGCCCCUGGUUCAGGUCCAGUGGCAACAUCGGAGAGGAUCCGAGCUGACCUGGGAGCCAUUGUUGGGGAUGCGGGAGCAGCAUCCGGAGUUGUUCGCAACAUGAGACUUCGAGGGCGAAGUCUGGUUCUAGUGAGGGAGAAUUGUAACAGCCCGAAAUCCAGGUAAGCUUAAGACCCCUUUUAUUUUGGAGAGUUGGCAUAUUAGUCCCUCAAAGUUGUAUGGUGGAUUAGUGAUUACGCUGGGCGUACUGCAGUGUACGUCGCACGUACUCACGCGCUUAAAGUGGACACAGACUCGCCCGGGUACGCUGCGCGUACCCAGGGGUUACGCUGGGCGUAGCGAGCCCAGAUGCAAACCUUAAUUCCUGGCUUUUGCACUAUAAAAGGAACAUGUAGUCCCUUGCCCUAGCCACCAUAUCUCCUUGAGUAAGUCCUUUGAGAGCUGAGAUUCGUGCUUUAGCUUGUGUGUGUGUUUUUGAGCUUGAAUUUAUCUUUUCAAGGUGAAAAAGGAGAAGAAGGAGCCAUUGUUGGAGCUAGAAGUUGAAGAACAAGUGUAGAUCUGAGUUCUACAGUGGUUGGAGAUCUUUUCUGAUGUAAAAAGCUCAAAGCUUUCCUUGUUCUUCAUAAGUUUUGCUUUUUGGACCACUUUUUGGGUUUUUGGUUCAAAGUUGGAGACUUUAUGUGCAAAGAGUCUCCAUAAGCUUAGAUCUGACCUUUUCUAGUGUAUAAUGUGUUGAGGAGUCAUAAACAUCUAGUCUUGGAUGUGGAUCUUGUGUCAUGCAUGAGUUAUAGUCUCAUUAUGGAAAGAGGAAAGGUGUUUUGAGCACAAAGUGACCUUUACAACCAUGCAAAGGCUUAAAGGUUUCAACUUUAUGGAUUAAGUCACAUUAGAGGAGUUAGAUCUGAAGUUUGGAUGCAAGUCUUAACUAAUUAAGACCUGAAUGAGAUGGAUAAGGAAACUGGGCAUUACGCUUGGCGUAAUCCCAGUACGCGCGGCGUAAGCAGCUGCGCACCCCAUUUCUGUGAAGGCUCCGGGUACGCCCAGCGUAACCCGGGGGGUUGACUUUUAGGGUUUGGUCAAUUUUAGUGUAAUUGAGCCUCGAGUGGCGUAUGUGUUGUAUGUGGUAUUUUGGGGAACUCACUAAGCAAUUAUGCUUACAGUUGUUGUGUUAUGUGUUUCAGGUACUAGCGAGGACCGUGGGAAGGCGUCGGCGUGACUCGUACACACUAGAGGAGGGAUUUGUUUUUGUGAUCUUGGGAUAUGUUAUAUUUUGAUAACUAUGGUUGAAUACUUUUGAGAAUAUAUUUAUAUAAAUUUGGUUGUUGAAAAAUGAAAAUUUGUUUUGAAAAUCACGUUGUUACACCCAUGUAAGAAAGCAAUUUUUACAUCCAUCUAAUAGACCUUGAAGUUCUUGAUUGAAGCAAAAGCACGAAACACUCUAAUUUCCUUAAGUUGAGCAAUGGGAGCAAAGGUUUCAUCAUAGUCCAAACCUUCUAGCUGACAAAAUCUCCGUGCCACCAGUCUAGCCUUGUUUCUUACAACAAUCUCAUAUUUAUCCAUCUUGCUUCUGAAAACUGAACAAGUACUAAUGAUAGUUUUUUGUUAAGGCUCAGGGACAAAUGUCCGUACGUGAUGACGUUCAAACUCAUUCACUUCGUCUUAUAUGGACUUUCAUCAGAAUUUUGUUCACCCUUUAAUCCAUUAGGUUUUCCAGCCCAAAAACCAACUAUCACCCAUUUGACAGUUUAAGCCCCUAUAUUUAAUUAAUCUCUUUUGGCCACCAAAUUAAUUCCUAAUUAAUUUAUGACUAAUAUUAAUUUAAUAAUAUGAUUUUCCUUUUAAUAUAUUAAUCACACAAUAUAUUAAUAAAUCAUAAUUUCCUCUCUCUCUCUCUCUCUAUAAAUUACCUUGUAAAGUUGGUUUGGUGAAGGCAACCCAAAAGGACCAUACACAACCGGGUCAAGUUUAUACCAAAUAUAGUUUCGGGAUUAGACACUAAUCCAACAGUCUCCCACUUGGAUAAGUCUGAUAACUAUAUCUCACAUAUGACUUCAGGAUCCGAUUAGCAAUCGUAGCUCUUAUACGCUGUUGUCACCUCUGAUCAAAAUCCUAUCCUUUAGAUAACGGAUCGUAUAAUCCUCUGUUCUAGAUAUCAUGCUGACAAUCACAUGGAACUUAGUCAUACUUAUUAUUCAGCACAUUGUUCCUCGAUCUCCGAUUUGUUUGACAUGGAACUUAGUUGAACACAUCAACUUUUUCCUGACCGGGCCCAGCACAUAAGUCAAACCAAAUCAUCAAGUGGCCAGAUAUCGCUUUCAUCCUCUUGGAAUAAAAGGAAAAGAUAAACUUCGACUCAUAUGCUUUUAUUAUUCACUGGCUAACUCAUACACAACAAUACGUUCUAUAACAUCAAGUUACUGAUGCGUUUACCCAUUAUCAAUGCACAACCAACCAACAAAUAAUAACCAUAUCUCUAGGUUUAAACGUUAUAUGAUAUUAUCGUCUUGCGAUCAUUCGUGAUAAAUUCCAUGAAGUGAUACCAGCAAGCGCGGGUUUAUUCGAAUUCUCAAAUCAUAAUUCAUAAGCACUCAUGAGCUUUGCAGCAAACCUUUGCCAUGCCUAAAACCUUUUAGACAAUCUUCAAACAAAUUCAUGACAGUCUUCUUUCAUAUCUACUUCCAACAUAUGAGCGAUUGUGGACUGUUUGAAUAAUCUUAUUAUUCAGGAAGUCAAAACAUGCAAAAUUGAAACAAUAGAUAAAUAAUCAACACAAGAUAGUAGCUUUACUCAUAAACAAUACACCUUUAUUUAUUCAUCAAAUGUCAAGUACAAAUUAUCUAUUACACAUUUCCUAUUUAUCUAAUUUAAACUUAUAUCGUCCUUCAGCCCUAUGCUCCUCGCAUGCCGCAAGUGCUUAACCCUACUUAGUCCCUUUGUAAGGGGAUCUGCUGGGUUAUCUUCUGACGAUACCCUCUUCACCACGAGGGGUCCAGCUUCUACCCGAUGUCUAAUGAAGUGAUAUUUUCUGUCAAUAUGUCUGGAUCUGCCGUGAUCCCUUGGUUCCUUGGUCAAGGAAACCGCACCUUCAUUAUCACAGAAAAUCUCCAUAGGCUCCUUUAUGGAUGAAAAAACUCCAAGGUCUCCAAUGAAGUUAUUCAACCAUAUUGCCUCCUUUGAUGCUUCACUUGCCGCAAUGUAUUCUGAUUCACACAUUGAAUAAGCUAUCGUCUCUUUCUUGGAACUUUUCCAACUCACUGCCCCUCCGUUAAGGGUAAAGACCCAGCCAGACUGCGAGCGGUAAUUAUCCCGAUCCGUCUGAAAACUAGCGUCACUGUACCCUCGUACCCUUAAGUCAUCACUCCCACCGAGGACUAGAAACCAUUCCUUGGUCCUCCGAAGGUACUUAUGAAUAUUCUUAACUGCAGUCCAAAGAGCUCUACCGGGGUUUCCCUGAUAUCUGCUUACCAUGGUUAAAGCGAAGGCCACAUCAGGGCGAGUACAAGUCACAGCGUACAUGAUUGAGCCAACUGCGGAAGCGUAAGGUACUUGGCUUAUCUCUACUAUCUCUGCCUCUGUACUUGGUCUCUGAGUCUUAGCUUGGUAUUGCUUUGGAUUGGCAAUUCCCCUUUCUUGGAAUUUUCCUUCCUAAAACGUUUUAGUACCUUAUCCAAGUAUGUAUCCUGACUGAGUCCUAUCAGUCUCUUAUUCCUGUUUCUUACUAUCCUUAUUCCCACAAUAUACACAGCUUCUCCGAGGUCCUUCAUAGCGAAGCACUUCCCAUGCUAGGACUUGACUUCCUGCAAGGGUGGGAUGUUGUUUCCUAUGAGUAGUAUGUCAUCGACAUACAAUACGAGGAAGCUCACUAUACUCCCACUGGCUUUGACAUAUACACAUGACUCAUCUUCGCUUCACAGAAAACCAAAAUCUUUGACCUUCUCGUCGAAACAAAGAUUCCAUCUGCGAGACGCUUGCUUCAAUCCAUAGAUGGAUUUCUCAAGCUUGCACACUCUAUUGGGGUGCUUCGCAUCGACAAAAUCCUCUGGCUGUUUCAUGUAAACAUCCUCAGCUAACUUCCCAUUAAGGAAAUUAGUUUUAACGUCCAUCUGCGAUAUUUCAUAGUCAUGAAAUGCAGCUAUUGCGAGCAUCACCCUAAUUGUCACAACUAGCAUUUUUAGCUAGGAAAUUCUAUUCUCAUAUUAACAUCAUCCAUUGUAAGAGCAUGUACUCUAAGUGAAUACCAUACUCUAUCCUCAUUCAAAAUACACCUCAUAUGUUCAACUAAGGAUUGGAAACCUUAGUAAUCCCGGUCCAAGUUCCUUAUGAACUAAAAUUCUCCUAUUGGGCCUAGAAGCCCUAAGUGGGCUCUAUAUAGACCACAUUCAUAAAAAUUUAGCAAUUUGGGCCAUGUGGGCCUAAAAUAAUCCAUCUUACCUCUAAUGAGCCUUGUUGGGCCAUAAAAGAUUUCGUUUGUCCCAAUGGGGCCGAAAAUUUACCUUUGGGCUUCAUAAAUUCGAGUAUGGGCCCCAAGAUGAUUCCUUUCCUUUCUCCUUAGCCCAAAUCAGCCCAUGUUUUUUAAAAAAAAAAAAGAGAAAAGAAUGGAUAAAUGAAGACUAGACAUGCAUGUGACAACUCAUGUUUAACCACCAUGUAUCUAUGGUAGCAUCUCAUGUUUCAAGGCAAACUAUUACCUCACAAAUAACAAGGUUAUGAUCUCUCUCUCCUCUCUCUCCAUAUUCUCGGCCAACCCUCUCACCACCUUCAUUUUUCAUUCAAAAACUCUCUUAAACACUCUCAAAUACCUCUUCCAUCCUCCAUCAAAAAUCUCGAGUUGGUGUGUGCUUUCAAGAGGAUUCUCCACCAAAAAUCACCAUCCUAGGUAAGUUUUUACUUAUAUCCAUGGUUUAGCUUCUUGAUUUCUUCAAAAAUCUCCUCUUAACCCUCUCCAUUUCGUGAAUCAUACAUCCUAGAGCCAUCUAAGUUGUAAAGCUCCUCAAGAAGCUUGCUAGGGCCGAAAUCUUCUCUCAAAUCUUCAUCAAAAUCAAAUCCAAAUCUCAAGGUGAGCUUCAUACCCCCUAUUUUCUGUUUUUAUGAGUUUUGUGGUGGGGGGGGGGGAAUACGAGUGAAAGUGUAGAUCUAUAUGUGUUUUGUAUGCCUUGUAUGAUUUCCAUGCUUAUAUGUAUGCUUUUGUGUGUUAUAAUGUUGGAUCUAGCCAUAAAACCCCUCAAAACCGAGAUAUAUCUUAUGUUAAAUGAUUUUAGCAUCAAAUAUAUUUCUACAUACAAAGUGUUUCAAGAAAAAUAGCUAAGUGGUUUAGUAACAAUUUUCUUUGGGCUAAAAACACAAAUUUUGGGCCUAAAAUGUGAAAAAUACAAAAUUAAGGGCCCAAAUUGACAUAUCACGAAUUCUGAUGGAUGAAGUGUGUCAAAACAGUUUCAAUAAAACAAUUUCUGGAAAUAUACUCAUUUAGAGGAUUAAAAACAUAAAUUUCAAGCUUAAUGGGCUAAAAAUGACAAUUUCGGCCCAAUGAGGCCCAUUAUGCGAAUUUUUCUGUUUUGGAGGGCCAAAACUGUGAUUUUCUGUAAAACAGUGGACCAUAAGUGAUCCAAGUCCUUUUCAAAGGUUUAAAAUGCUUUUUAAAUUUAAAAAGGACCAAAGUUGCAAAAAUUUUACAAUUUGGGCCAAAAUUGUCAAAAUUGCGAAAAGAAGGGUUAUAACCGAGAAAACUGAAAUUUCAGGGACUUAAGCUGUUUUCUAUGAAAAAUAUGCUGGAAAAUAUUUAUUUCAAUAAUUUUUGGUGUUAAAAUGUCAAGAAAAUUGAUUUAAGGACCAAACCGGAAAGUAUUUAAAUAAAGGGUUGAAAAAGUAAAUUUUACAAACAAGGAGGGGCUGAAAACAGAAAAUUUUCAAGACUAAUUCAAUACAUGCAAUUUGACCAAAUAAUGGUACCACGACUAUCGACAAAAUACAAUACAUUACAACACCAAAAGUCGUUGUUAAACGAAUUGGUUCGGUCUCGAACCAAUAAAAAUCCGAAACUACUAACACGACGACACUAUGAUACUACAACACUACGAUUCAUACAAAUAACGAUUUGGAAUUCAUUAUACAUGCGAAUGUGCACAGACGUCUACGCACUAUCUUUGGGCCCCACAAGUGUAAAAUCUUGUUCGUUGAGCCUAGCUAGCCCAACGACCUGAUCUUAAGGCCCGAAGACUUCAAUCUUACGAAGUGUUGGGUUUUACCGAUCCGACACGACGUAACCGGACUUUCAAUGGCUUGUAGACUACUGGUCCCCAAGGGUCCUUUAGUGUCGCUAGUAGAGUCUGCCUUUUAUGCGAGGCGGGUCUGGGACCCCUCGUACCUUUUUAUCCCCAACCGGCUAAUGGAGUCAUCGAGGCCUUCGUGUCCUCUUUCUCUUCGGAUGUGGGACUACACGUAGUCAGGGCGGUUGGAUAACGUGAUUAGUACGGACGACGCCUACGGGAUCGUUAGUAUUGCUAUAGACUAGUCGUUUGUGUAACGCGUGUUUGUAGCAGAUAAUCAUGCUCAAAAAUAAUCCAAUGUCGCCUGGUAAUGAUAACUUCAUGCGUUGCAAUGGUUUCAAUGUAAAUUCAUGGAAUUCAAAGAAUUAGGAAAACAUCGGGUUUUCCUAGGGUUUUCAAUACAUACAGAUUCGAAAUACCUACAAUUUCAAUAAACAAUUUUUACAAGUAUAGAAAACAAACAAGCAUACCUAUGGAUCUUCACACCUUUUUGACUAUACUAUUUUCAGAAAAUAUCGGAUUUUCUGGUGGUUUUCAAACGAUACGAAACAUUGUUUUCAAAUACAACUUAUGAACUCACCAACAUUUCAUAUGUUGACGUUUUUCAAAAUGCUUGUAUUCUCAGGGAACCAGUGAAUCAAAGGAAAUCAUAUUCAGUGAUGGCUUGCAGUUUAUUUUUUUACCAAUCGAACAAUUUAUUUUGGGGAAUGUAAUGUUUAAACAAUGUACUUCAUGUAAACUUUACUGGUUGUACUAUAUUAAUGCAUGGUGACGAAUGUUGUUACGUUUCAUAUAUAUACAAUGUUAUGGUAUUCAAUUGAGUCACGACAGCCCCCGAACGUUUCCGCCGCCUGGUUUGGGGGUGUGACANNNNNNNNNNNNNNNNNNNNNNNNNNNNNNNNNNNNNNNNNNNNNNNNNNNNNNNNNNNNNNNNNNNNNNNNNNNNNNNNNNNNNNNNNNNNNNNNNNNNNNNNNNNNNNNNNNNNNNNNNNNNNNNNNNNNNNNNNNNNNNNNNNNNNNNNNNNNNNNNNNNNNNNNNNNNNNNNNNNNNNNNNNNNNNNNNNNNNNNNNNNNNNNNNNNNNNNNNNNNNNNNNNNNNNNNNNNNNNNNNNNCUAGGAACCUAAAAUCAUACCCCUUAAUCUCCAAGAAGGGAACCUCAACUGAAUCUAUGCAAUAGUCGUAGAGCUCUAGGAGUAAUUGGUAAGCUAUUUGUUUCUAGUAUUCAUAGCCCAUCGUGCAAUACGCUAUAGACGAGUAUCAUUAGCCAGGAAACCCUAUCUCCUUAGCCAAGGAAUAGUCGGGUGGCUCGACCCAGAGGAAGAACCCCAGGAGGGACAUGAAGUAGAACUCGCAGGUGAACCCGCUGAGUCAAUAGUGGACCUCGAAGAGGAAGAGCCGGAGGGCAAUGACGAUGACGACACGGAUGUAGAAUCCAAUGACAUCAAUCCUCCAUGUAAAUCCAGGGCACCGACUUAUAGUGUGGGCCCCGGUGACCCCAUGCCCCCUCGGGCACCCGAUAUUUGGGGAUAAAGUCACCAGUAGGGAAUACGACCACACCACGGUAAGAGCUGAGGUCUCUUUAAUUUUAGCCACAGAGGACCAGCUGACCAGGCCCUCCCAGUCGUGGUGCAACGCACUCGAGGUAUUGAUAACCAAGCUCAGGACAUCCCAAAUCGAACGAAACAAAUAUGGUUUGUUACUAAGAGGGACGAAAGGAAAACACGGGAGGUGAAUGGAGACUCUCGAGCGGGACAGUUAGUUGGGAGGCACACCUACGAGAUACCGAGCAACAAGUAGCUCGUCUCCGAGGUGCAUCCACUUCAUCAGCAUCACCACCAGACACUUCUCGCCACGACUAGGAUCAGCCUUUUCUAAUUUCCCCUACUAUCCGACAUGACUCUCUUUCGUGUACUAAGAUGGUACAUACCCCUGAAACGAUUAUGUGUUAUAUUUAUUUCAUAUUGCUGCAAAGACUCAAUUAUAUGCACAAGCGAACCCUCGGAACCACUAGAUACUUAAGGAUCUCGAAACUAAAACAACCCAUAUAACCUAAGGAUAGACGUAACAAUCGUGCCAAAUCAAUGAUUACCUAUUACCGCAAAUACAUCAUAGGGAUGUAGAUGGAGGCAGUAAGAAUUAUACAACAAGAUGCAAAAGAAAAAUUUAUAGAGUACAACCAGUAAUGACGAUCAUUACUUACGAUCUGGGUUAUCAAUGUGCAUCAGGAAAAUGCCAUCCCGCAAGAAUAACAAGCGCACCCGCGAGACACCACUCCUGCAGAUGGACUCUGCUACAUUUCAAGCUGCUGUAAUGGCAGCAGUAACCGCUGCUAUGGCACAGAUCAAUGCAAACAACCCUAAUGGAGGCAGGAAUAGCAUUGACAACUCCAGCCAAAGGAACAAACAUGGAAACCAACAAGUGACAACCUGUCAAGGAACUCCAAACCCCAAGCUUAAGAGCAGGAAGCUGAGGUCUGGAGGUAAGAGAAAGGGACAACACACUCAAGGGUUCUCAAGGGAGCAACGUGUUGUUGCUGUUCAUGCGACCACGACCACUAUUACACCAGCAACCAGGAGACCAUAUGCUGGAAACCUUCCAAAAUGCAACCAGUGCAAAUUCCAUCAUAAUGGAGCCUGCAGGGAGAUGCAUUGUAACAAAUGCAACCGAAAGAAUCACAUCGCCAAAUUCUGUAGAACUUAUCCAUGCCAGAAUCGUCAGCCAAAUGAAAACGACAACAAUCGCAACAACCCUAACAACAACACCAAUGAUGAGACCAGUCGCACCUGCUAUAGGUGUGGAGGAACUGGCCACAUCAGGCGCAAUUGCCCUAGGAAUAACGAUCGAGGAGCAGAAGGAUCAGAAAUGGUCCUGACCUUGGGUCAAGGCGAAGCAAUCCAAAACCCAACAAUUGUUACUGGUACGUUCCCACUUGACAACUCUUUUGCUUACCUCUUAUUCAAUGGUAAAUCCGAGUGAAGUUUUGGUUAGUAACAACUUCAAACACUUACUAAAACAACAUCCCCAAAGCUAAGCUAAGCCUUUUCAAUGGACAUGGCCAAAGGGGAAAAAUGAUUUAAUCUAGGGUACUCAUGUGGAGUACGCCUUAACACUAAACGACCAUUCAUUACAAAUAGAUUUCAUGCCAGUAAAUAUUAGGAGUUUUAAUGUGAUAAUCGUCAUGGUUGGGUAAGCCCCCACCGUGCUGAUACUAUGUGCCGCGAGAAGGCCGUUUGCCUUCACCUUCCUAAUCACGAAAACUCUAAUAAUCCAUGGUGAUAAACCUGGCGCUAAUCCUCUUCCUAUCUCGUGCAUCAAGGCACAGAAGUGCCUGCACCAGAAGAACUACGUUUUCCUCACUCAUGUUGUGGACAAGACCAAAGAAGAGGUAGGCAUACAGGGUAUUCCAGUAGCUUGUGAUUUUCCCAAAUGUGUUUCCUAAGGAACUUUCGGGAAUACCCCAGAGAGACGGGUUGAAUUUCGAAUCAACCUCAUAUCGGUAACCACAUCAAUUGCCAAUUCACCCUAUAGGUUGACUCCCGCCAAAAAUUCNUUCACCCUGGAGAGCUCUGGUCUCGUUCUUCAAGAAGACGGAUCCUUCAAAAGGCACAUCGAUUUUAGGAAAUUGAAUAAGCUCCCUAUAGAAAAUCGAUACCCACUUCCUCGGACUGACGAUCUAUUUGGCAAGCUCCAAGGAGCUAGUUGCUUCUCUAAAAAUAGAUCUAAGAACCGGUUAUCAUCAACUUCGAGUCCGAGAAGAGGACAUUCCAAAAACUGCCUUCCGAACUUGUCACGACCAUUUCAAAUUCAUUGUGAAACCCUUCGGUCUAACGAAUGCUCCCAUGGUUUUCAUGAGCCUUACGAACCAAGUUUCCCAACCAUUCUUAGUUAGCCCUUUCACUAUUUUCAUCAAUAACAUACUUAUCUGCUCACAAAGCGAGAACGAAACACUAUCAUCAUCUACGACCAGCCUAGAAAGCAUCAAGGCUGGGAAUGUCGCGAUGAAAGCACUACAUGGAUGGAUAAGACUCUCGAAGUCGAAAGACGAAGCUUUUUGUUAUAAGAGUUGAGUUGGGCGUUAUCUGGGUGAUCGUCGAUAGGUUAACCCAAUCUGCUCAUUUCCUGCCAAGACAGAAAUCAAACAAAAUGGAGGGAUUAGCUUGGAUCUAUAUCCAGGAAAUCGUGAGACUCCAUGAAAUAUCGGUAUCUACUAUCUCGGAUCGAGAUAACAGAUUUUCUUCAAGACUAUGGCAGUCAUUUCAGAGGGCUAUGGGAACAUAACUAGACAUAAGCGUUGCUUACCACCUUCAAACCAAUAGCCAAAGUGAACGAAAUAUUUGACCACUCAAAUUCAUGCUACAAGUCUAGGUGUGGGAAUUCAACAAGUCAGGGGAUACCCGGUUUCCCUUGACUAAAUUCUCAUACAAUAACAACUAUCGCACGAGCAUCAAGGAUGCUCCUUUCGAAAACUCAUUAUAGUCAUAAAUGUAUAUCACUCGGUGGUACUUUCAUGAGACCGGAAACCACUAACGAAACAACAGAAGAAGAUAAUCCAAAUCAAAGCUGGAUUUCAAUGCAUCGCGAGACCGACAGAAGAGCUAUUCUAAAAAGCAGCGUAAGCCAUUAGGAUGUCAAGUCGGGGAUCGCGUGUUAUCAAAAGAAUCUCCUUGGAAAGGGAUGAUUCGCUUUAGGAAACGAGAAAACUAAACCCACGAUACAUCGGACUGUUCGAGCUUCUUGCUAGGAUUGAAGACAUAUAGACUGUAGCUGCUUGUAGAGCUUAGCAACGUGAACCCUGUGUUCUGUGUCUUGAAUCUGAAAAGAUACAUAUCAUAUGAGUCUCUUAUCAUUCCUUUACGAGAAAUCAGAGUAAGCGAGGAUCACAUGUUCAUCAAAGAACCAGUCAAGGUAUUGAAUAGGGAAGUAGAACAUACAAAACAAAGCCCCAUUAUGAAUGCGAAGAUUCCAUGGAAUCCUAAGCUUGGACCGAAAUGCACAUGGGAAACGUGAAGAUCAGAUGAAGUGCCUAUUCUCUCAUUCACGAACCUAUCCUUAGAAAGAAUUUCGGGACGAAAUUCCCUCUAACGGGGGGAUGAUGUCACAACUAGCAUUUUUAGCUAGGAAAUUCUAUUCUCAUAUUAACAUCAUCCAUUGUAAGAGCAUGUACUCUAAGUGAAUACCAUACUCUAUCCUCAUUCAAAAUACACCUCAUAUGUUCAACUAAGGAUUGGAAACCUUAGUAAUCCCGGUCCAAGUUCCUUAUGAACUAAAAUUCUCCUAUUGGGCCUAGAAGCCCUAAGUGGGCUCUAUAUAGACCACAUUCAUAAAAAUUUAGCAAUUUGGGCCAUGUGGGCCUAAAAUAAUCCAUCUUACCUCUAAUGAGCCUUGUUGGGCCAUAAAAGAUUUCGUUUGUCCCAAUGGGGCCGAAAAUUUACCUUUGGGCUUCAUAAAUUCGAGUAUGGGCCCCAAGAUGAUUCCUUUCCUUUCUCCUUAGCCCAAAUCAGCCCAUGUUUAAUAAAAAAAAAAAGAGAAAAUAAUGGAUAAAUGAAGACUAGACAUGCAUGUGACAACUCAUGUUUAACCACCAUGUAUCUAUGGUAGCAUCUCAUGUUUCAAGGCAAACUAUUACCUCACAAAUAACAAGGUUAUGAUCUCUCUCUCCUCUCUCUCCAUAUUCUCGGCCAACCCUCUCACCACCUUCAUUUUUCAUUCAAAAACUCUCUUAAACACUCUCAAAUACCUCUUCCAUCCUCCAUCAAAAAUCUCGAGUUGGUGUGUGCUUUCAAGAGGAUUCUCCACCAAAAAUCACCAUCCUAGGUAAGUUUUUACUUAUAUCCAUGGUUUAGCUUCUUGAUUUCUUCAAAAUCUCCUCUUAACCCUUUCCAUUUCGUGAAUCAUACAUCCUAGAGCCAUCUAAGUUGUAAAGCUCCUCAAGAAGCUUGCUAGGGCCGAAAUCUUCUCUCAAAUCUUCAUCAAAAACCAAAUCCAAAUCUCAAGGUGAGCUUCAUACCCCCUAUUUUCUGUUUUUAUGAGUUUUGUGGGGGGGGGGAAUACAAGUGAAAGUGUAGAUCUAUAUGUGUUUUGUAUGCCUUGUAUGAUUUCCAUGCUUAUAUGUAUGCUUUUGUGUGUUAUAAUGUUGGAUCUAGCCAUAAUACCCCUCAAAACCGAGAUAUAUCUUGUGAAAAAUGAUUUUAGCUUCAAAUAUAUUUCUACAUACAAAGUGUUUCAAGAAAAAUGGCUAAGUGGUUUAGUAACAAUUUUCUUUGGGUUAAAAACACAAAUUUUGGGCCUAAAAUGUGAAAAAUACAAAAUUAAGGGUCCAAAUUGGCAUAUCACGAAUUCUGAUGGAUGAGGUGUGUCAAAACAGUUUCAAUAAAACAAUUUCUGGAAAUAUACUCAUUUAGAGGAUUAAAAACAUAAAUUUCAAGCUUAAUGGGCUAAAAAUGACAUUUUCGGCCCAAUGAGGCCCAUUAUGCGAGAUUUUCUGUUUUGGAGGGCCAAAACUGUAUUUUUCUGUAAAACAGUGGACUAUAAGUGUUCCAAGUCCUUUUCAAAGGUUUAAAAUGCUUUUUAAAUUUAAAAAGGACCAAAGUUGCAAAAAUUUUACAAUUUGGGCCAAAAUUGUCAAAGUUGCGAAAAAGAAGGGUUAUAACCGAGAAAACUGAAAUUUCAGGGACUUAAACUGUUUUCAUUGAAAAAUAUGCUGAAAAAUAUCAAUUUCAAUAAUUUUUGGUGUUAAAAUGUCAAGAAAAUUGAUUUAAGGACCAAACCGGAAAGUAUUUAAUUAAAGGGUUGAAAAAGUAAAUUUUACAAACAAUGAGGGGCUGAAAACAGAAAACUUUCAAGGCUAAUUCAAUACACGCAAUUUGAUCAAAUAAUGGCACCGCGACUAUCGACGAAAUACAAUACACUACAAUACCAAAAUCGUUGUGAAACGAAUUGGUUCGGUCUCGAACCAAUAAAAAUCCGAAACUACUAACACGACGACACUACGAUUCAUACAAAUAACGUUUGGGAAUUCAAUAUACAUGCGAGUGUGCACAGACGUCUACGCACCAUCUUUGGGCCCCAAAAGUGUAAAAUCUUGUUUGUUGGGCCUAGCUAGCCCAAUGACCUGAUCUUAAGGCCCGAAGACCUCUAUCUUACGAAGUGUUGGGUUUUACCGAUCUAACACAACGUAAAAGGACUUUCAAUGGCUUGUAUACUACUGGUCCCCAAGGGUCCUUUGGUAUUGCUAGUAAAGUCUACAUUUCAUGCGAGGCGGGUCUGGGACCCCUCGUACAUUUUUUUCUCCAACCGGUUAAUGGAGUCAUCGAGGUCUUCGUGUCCUCUUUCUCUUCGGAUGUGGGACUACACAUAGUCAGGGCGGUUGGAUAACGUGAUUAGUACGGACGAUGCCUACGGGAUCGUUAGUAUUGCUAUAGACGAGUCGUUUGUGUAACACGUGUUUGUAGCAGAUAAUCAUGCUCAAAAAUAAUCCACUGUAGUCUGGUAAUGAUAACUUCAUGCGUUGCAAUGGUUUCAAUGUAAAUUCAUGGAAUUCAAAGAAUUAGGAAAACAUCGGGUUUUCCUAGGGUUUUCAAUACAUACAGAUUCGAAAUACAUACAAUUUCAAUAAACAAUUUUUACAACUAUAGAAAACAAACAAACAUACCUAUGGAUCUUCACACCUUUUUGACUAUACUAUUUUCAGAAAAUAUCGGAUUUUCUGGUGGUUUUCAAACAAUACAAAACAUUGGAUUUCAAACACUACUUAUGAACUCACCAACAUUUCAUAUGUUGACGUUUUUCAAAAUGCUUGUAUUCUCAGGGAACCAGUGAAUCAAAGGAAAUCAUAUUCAGUGAUGGCUUGCAGUUUAUUUAUGUACGAAUAGAACAAUUUAUUUUGGGAAUGUAAUGUUUAAACAAUGUAUUUCAUGUAAACUCUACUGGUUGUACUAUAUUAAUGCAUGGUGACGAAUGUUGUUACGUUUCAUAUAUAUACAAUGUUAUGGUAUUCAAUUGAGUCACGACAGCCCCCGAACGUUUCCGCCGCCUGGUUUGGGGGUGUGACACUAAUAGACUUUAUUUUCGCGACUGGUGAAAAGGUCUCAUCAUAGUCAACCCCUGGAGUUUGUGUAAAUCCCUUCGCAACCAAUCGUGCUUUAUAAGUGUGUACUUUCCCAUCCAUGUCCGUCUUCUUCUUAAAGAUCCAUUUGCACCCGACCGUCUUACGACAUGGUACAUUAUCAAACAAAUUCCAAACUUGGUUGUCGUACAUAGACUGAAUCUCACUGUCCAUUGCUUCUUUCCAUUUAGCAGACUUCGGGCCUGCCAUGGCUUCCUUGUAGUUGCUAGGUUCAUCCAAAUUUACUAGUGUACUAUCACUAAUAAAUGUAUCCCCUUCAGUAGUAAUAUGGAAUCCAUAAAACUGGGGUGGAACACUAGCCCUACUUGAAUGUCUAAGAGGUAAUUACUCGUCAACAGGUUCAAUAGGAGAUUCCUACUCAGGUUGAUCGCCAGUGUUAGAGGUUCCUUCAUCACUCGACUCAUGAAGCUCUUCAAGAUCGAUUUUCCUCCCACUGUACCCUUGGCCUAUGAGUUCUCUCUCUAGGAGAACCCCUCUCCUUGCAACGAAGACAACAUUGUCACUCGGUCUAUAGAAGAGAUAUCCGAAGGAUGUUUGCGGGUAGCCGAUGAAAAUACAUCACUCAUUACGAGGUUUGAGCUUGUCGUGAGUCUCUCGUCUUACGAAAGCCUCGCAACCCCAAACCUUGAUAUGUGCCAACGAGGGAGCUUUCCCUGUCCACAUCUCGUGAGGUGUUUUGGCAACCUUCUUCAUGGGAACUAGGUUAAGGAUAUGGGUAGCAGUCUCUAAGGCAUACCCCCAUAAAGCUAUUAGUAACGAAGUCCGACUCAUCAUAGAAUGAACCAUGUCCAACAAGGUCCGAUUACAUCUCUCAGCCACACCGUUCAAUUGUGGCGUCCUAGGAGGCGUCAAUUGCGAAACAAUUCUACAUUCCUUUAGAUAGUCGUGAAACUCAAGACUUAGGUACUCUCCUCCUCGGUCUGACCGAAGCAUCUUGAUUUUCCUGCCCAGCUGAUUCUCCACUUCAUUCUUAAACUCUUUGAACUUUUCAAAGGUUUCUGACUUUUGCUUUAUUAAGUAUAUAUAUUCAUAUUUGCUAUAAUCAUCUGUAUAAGUCAUGUAGAAGCGGCAAGCAUCCCUUGUGGUGGAUCUAAAGGGCCCACAAACAUUUGUGUGUAUGAGAUCCAAUAGACCCUCACCCUUUGAACAAGUGCCAGUAAAGGGUGACUUGGUCAUCUUCCCAAGUAAACAAGACUCACAUGUGUCAUCGUCCCUAAGGUCGAAUGACUCCAACACUCCAUCCUUUUGGAGUUGGGCUAUUCAUUUCUUGUUGACAUGGCCAAGGCGACAAUGCCACAAGUAUGAUUUGUCCAAACUAUUGGACGAAUCAAUAUUCAACACAUCAUUUCCUAAGUUGUCCACAACAAACACAAAUUCAUAUAUUCCAUUACAAGGUAGUGCAUUAAAAUAGAAAACACCAUCAAGAUAAACAUUAAUAGAACCAAUUAUAUUGUCAAAUGAAUAUCAAAACCCUUGUCUAUAUAAUCCAUGAAAAGAAAUGAUGUUCCUUGCCAUGUCUGGCGAAUAGCAACAAUUAUUUAAAUCUAAACCUAACCCAUUACUCAACACUAAGGAAUAAACUCCGAUCUUAGUAACUGGUGACGAUCUUCUGUUUCCCAUGACCAAGUUUAUCGUUCCAUGCUCCACUUCCCUACCUUUUCUUAGGCCCUACAAAUCAGAACAAAUGUGGAAACCACAUCCAGUAUCAAGAACCCAUGAAGUAGCAAGUGAUGAGUUAUUAGAUUUAAUUGAAUACAUACCUGCGAAAGUGGGCUUUAUCUUCCCAUCCUUAAUAUCUUGCAAAUAUUUUGGGCAACUUCGUUUCCAGUGGCCCUUCUCAUGGCAGUAAAAGCACUCUACAUCCUUAGGGACAGAAGAUGGUUUAGCAGAACCAACUUUGGUCCCACUAGAAGAGGAACCAUCUUGGGACUUCCUAUUUUGGUGGCUCUUAGAAGGAGCCUUCCUCUUCUUACACUUUCCUUGCCCAAUUGCUAAUAUAGGGACCGAUUCAGUAGGAAUAGAUGCAAUAGAUUUAUCCUUUAGGUUGCUCUCAGCAGUUCUCAACAACCCUUGAAGCUUGCUCAAAGUGACCUCCUCUUUGUUCAUGUGGUAUGUCAUUCUGAAGUAUUUGUAGCACGAAGUCAAGGAGUGGAGGAUGAUGUUGAUAGCCAAAUCCUCAUCAAAGUUAACAAUUAACUUUAGAAGAUGAUCAACAUACCUCUGCAUCUUCUGCAAAUGCGAGGUUAGGGAUUCUCCACUCCCCAUCCUAGCGGUCAUCAUGUUAGUGAUGAUCUCAUAGCGCUCUUGCCUCAUGCUUUGGUGGUACCUAUCCAUUAAAUCUUGAUGUAUCUCGAAUGGAUACAUGUCCUCGUAGGACUUUUAGAGUUUUGCAUUCAUAGUCGCGAGCAUGAUGCAAUGAACCUUCGUAGUAUCACGCUCAUGUGCCUCAAAGGCAACAAUUUCUUCAGGAGUGGCAAUGUCUGGAUUGAUCUUUUCAAGCUUCUCGUCGAGGACAUACUCCUUGUCCUCGUAGCGAGUGAUCAUCCGAAUGUUUCGGAUCCACUCGUUGAAGUUGUUGCCAUUAAAGAUCACUUUCCCACACAAAUUCAUGAGUAAGAAUCACCAUUAGCCGCAGGAGCGUUGUUCUUGUUUGCGUUAGACAUCUGAAAAUAGAAAAGGACAAGUUUGAUUAGAAUGAAUCCCCAAUUAAUCACUAAAAUGAGAAAUUAGGGCUAGGAUCCAACAACAUUAUUUACAACUUAGAAAAGAGAUGUCGUAAUCUAAAAGCAAAUAAUCUGAAGGUAAGUGAAUGACGAUUCACUAAUUUUCCACCAUGAAAAACAAAAGAAGAUUAUGUUUUAAAUGUUUUAUGAAAAACUCCUAGAUCUUUGAGNUGGAUUUGAAAUUCCUAGAUUCUUUUGAGAUUCAUUGAACUUUUCAAUGGCAUGUUUCAAUCUCGAUGUGCCCUUCAAUUUUGUGACUAGGAUACCGAGGAUCACAAACAAGGUGUGAAUAACCAUGCGAAUCAACAUGGUGCACUCAAUGUCACUAUCACCUAAUCAAUAUGUCGGUUAGCCACACACAUUCCAUUGAUCUAUGAUAAACAUUGAGCCACCCUUCGCAACUAAUGUCAACCCCAAAUUAGUGUGUCGGUUAACCACACAUGCUGAACUAACGUUUGAUAAGGGUACGAAGCGUAAUUCCAUGGAAUAACGUCAUUUUCACAUUUUACCCUAAAGUAACUAAGAUUGGGAAUUUGAAAAACGUUUAGUUACUUGUAAUAUUCAUUAUACUUAUAAUGAGGAAUUAAAUGCCCUAUCAUAUCCGUUCGGCUAACGACCCUCCACCAAUCAAGGAAGCGGUGGCUGAGAGUGGACACCCAUUAAGCACCAUUUUAUAGGUAGCAACCUUAUACCCCCCUUAUAGACCGGCUUCAUGAAUGAGGCCUACUAGCGAUAAAAGUAGCUUAUUCUUAUACAUAUAUAUAUAUAUAUAUAUAUAUAUAUAUAUAUAUAUAUAUAUGUGUGUGUGUGUGUGUGUGUAUUAAUCUUAUAAUAAAUAAAGUAUAAGGUUUGAAUUUUAAACUUGUAAAAUUCUAAGGGUUUGAAAUUUAAAUAAUUCAAAAUUAAACUUUUAAUCAAAAAUUUAAAUUCCAAAACUUGAGGACAAGUUUUGAACUUUUCAAAACACAAAGGAUCAAAUAACAAAUAAUAUAAAUUAAACAAUUAAUUUUGUGAUUAUCUAUAUAUGACCUCAUCCAAUGUUAUUCAUAAGAUAAUUACCAAAUAAUUUAAACAAUCAACAUUUAUCAUAUAAAGAAACUAUUAUUCAAAUGAUUUAAAAUUAUCUUUUGUUUUGGUAAGGAUAAUCAUUUAAACACAAUAAAAUUCGGAUUUUAUCAUUAAAAAACAACUUUGGCAUUUAUCCAUCAGCAAAACAGCAAUAAAUCCCGAAAAUCUUUCUGUCUGACAGCUAAACUCCUCGAGUCCACCUUGGAACUCGUCGAGUUCAACCUGCUCGUCGAGUUUAUCAGGCAGUUUGCAAUAAAAAAACGAUUUUAAAGCUUGAACAAAUAAACUAGGCAUCAAUACAAUAGAAACCAAACCAGUCUCUGAUAACACUAAUGGGUUUUACACACAAGAACUUUCCUAUGUGCUCAUGCAAACCCUAAUGCUUGGAUCUAGGUUUCUCUAUUGUACAUGCAUUGUAUCCAAGACUUACAAACCCUAAUGUAGAAUACAUAUUUCGAAAAUAUCAAUAUAUACCAGAUCUAGAUGUUUACCUCUUCAAAAAUCUUGGAUCUUCUUCUUCUUGGAGCUUAGAGUCACAAGUGUAACUCCUCUAAUGGCUUACAAACACCACACAAGCAAGAAGUCAAUAUGAGAGAGGGAAGAGACGCUAAAAAUCGGCCCUAGGGUUUCCUUGGAAUCAAGUGGCCGAAAACUGCAUGUAGGGGUCUCUAUUUCAACUGUAGGUUUCUAGGGUUUUAGUCAAAAACCCUAAUGGACAGCUUAAUCACCAAGCAGCCCAUGGAAUCUUCUGGAAUAAGGCCUAUGGAUGAAAUUAUGAUUUUCAUCAUAAUUUCGUUCACCCUUUAAUCCAUUAGGUUUCCCAACCCAAAAACCAACUAUCACGCAUUUGACAGUUUAAGCCCCUAUAUUUAAUUAAUCUCUUUUGGCCACCAAAUUAAUUUAUGACUAAUAUUAAUUAAAUAAUAUGAUUUCCCUUUUAAUAUAUUAAUCACAUAAUAUAUUAAUAAAUCAUAAUUUCCUCUCUCUCCAUAAAUUACCUUGUCAAGUUGUUUUGGUGAAGGCAACCCAAAAGGACCAUGCACAACCGGUUCAAGUUCAUACCAAAUAUAGUUUCGGGCUUAGACACUAAUCCAACAAGUUAUCGAUUCAGUUGAUGAUGCAGAGGUAUGUUAGAAAUAGCAACAUACUUUGAUUUCUUCCUAUUACAUCAUUGUCCUUUAAAGUACAUUGCAUGUAUAAGAAACAUUGAAACUAUUUCUUACAUUCAGCCCAAUACAAUUUUUGUUUUUGUGUCAGGUGAAAGUGGGAGGAGAGGUGCAAAAUAAAGGGUAGGCAAUAGAAAGAAAUGAAAGUGGUGUUGUGUGAUGUUGUAAUAGAAAGAAAUGAAAAUGAGAUGCCAUAAUAAUCAAAUAAAUGAAAUUAUAUUGCUAUUUCUUACAUUUAGCCCAAUAACAUUAUACAUUUGGCUCAACCCUUCCUAACUAUACAAUUGAAACAACAAGAUUCUAAUAGAAAGAAAUCGAAGUAUAACGCUAUAAUAACAUAUAAAUGAAAGUACAUUGAUAUUGAUCGCAUUAAUCUUAACAACAUUAUAUAUGGUGGACAUUUGAAAGUGUUGACAAAGACAAUAACACAUUGUUUGAAGAAGUGAGGAUCAUGGUUUUAAAAUAAACAAGGUGGAGCAGUUGGAAAAAAAAAUCCUACACUCAAUGUGAAAAGCACUCCUUAAUGCCAUGAGAGGUUAAACUUUCUGCACAUAUAAUAUCUAUAUUACUUUGUAUCUGUCUGCAUUAGCCCAUUAUAAAUGUCAUAUAAUUUUUGUAUUAUUUUUUUGUUUGCAUUUUUUAGAAAUUUUGUAGCCUUUAUUAUAUUUUGAUUGGACAAUCGGGAACACCUAAGAGAUGUAUAUUUUUAGUGGCUUUUUUCUUAUACUAAAUGACAAAUGAAGGAAAGAUAGUAAUAAGAUAAUUCAAUUUGAAGGAGGGUUGGUAGUAAAGGAGUAAACAUUUGGUUCUGAUUGCAUAUUUUAGGGUAUAUUGCAAAAAUUAGCUAUAAUCAGGGAAUAAAAUGUUAAAAUAACCUCAAAUAAGGACCAAAAUUGUAAGAUGGAAAAAUAAGCUCUAAUCAUUGGUCUCUAUUCAAACUAAAGGAGUAACACAGGCCCUAUUCAAAGUAAAAUAUGUAUAGUUUUAAGACAAAAAUUGGAAAAAUCAGCUAUGAUCGGGGAUUAAAAUAGUCAUUUCACUUGGAAUAAUGACACAACAUGUUACAAUAACGGCCGAUACGUAUAGUUUUAGGGUACGCACUUUUGCGUAUCAUAAAUCACUGCGUGUCAUAGUUUGCGCGUCAUUAAAGGCCUAUAUUCUAAAAGUGAACCUCAAAUAAGGACCAAGAAUGCAAUGAUAAAAGCUUUCUGGGACCAAAAUUGAAAAAAUAUAUACUCAUGGAUCAAAAUAUAAUUAAAUCAUAAUCUUAUGUUUCUUUUCUUUAGCAGGGUGUUAAGAUAGAUGAUCCACAAGUGUUUAAUGGCCAAGAGGUGGAGGUUUGGUCGCGUGUUGUGUGGAAGCCAAAAUGGGUAGUUACAUUUCUGAUGUUAAAAGGAAAUCGAUGGAAACAACAACUAUGUUUUUCAAAAAUCUACUUUGGUCAUUAGAGGUCGUAUUGUUCUUAUUGAAGAUGUGUCACUUGAUGGAACUUAGUUAUCAGUUCACUUGAUGAUUUUGAGUUAUGUUAGAAAUAGCAAUGUACUUUCAUUUACCCCAACCUAACCUAUUUAAUGAGCAGGUUGAACCUGAGUUGAUUUAUUUAAAUUUCCAAAAAUAUACCCUUGAAAAUCAACUAAGCCUUCAAACACAAUUACAUAAAACUUAAAAACUCCGAUAAUUGUUCACGUUUGAAAAUAAUACAACGAUAAGUCUCUAGUAGAAACACAAAUCAAGUGUUUACAACCAUAAAAACAUUAUACACGUUUAAUCUUUAAAUGCUAGACAGCUCAACUUUCAAUAACGAUCACCAAUCCACAUUUUUUGAGUAAUAAAAAUAACAAAACUAUAAUAAUCAAUUAAAUAAUAAUACUAUAUAUAUAUAUAUAUAUAUAUAUAUAUAUAUAUAUAUAUAUAUAAGAUAAUAUAAAAAAAAUAUAAGNNNNNNNNNNNNNNNNNNNNNNNNAUAUAUAAGAUAAUAUUAAAAAAAUUUAAGCAGGUUCACUGGUUGUAAGCAGAUUGAGAAUUUUAACCCUAACAUAACCCAUUUAAUUAAAUAUAUUAGACGGGUUAAGCCGUUUAGUUAAACGUGUUAAAGAUCUCAACCAAACCAACUAAUUACCAACCCUAAAUAAAGGGUGGAUGAUUGAAAGUGUUGAUAAAAACAAAAGUGUGUUACCUAAAGAAAUGAAGAUUGGGGAUUUCAAAAUUAAUAUAAAUGGAGCAAUUGGAAACAUCUUAUAGUGAACCUAGGAAGCAUUCCUUGAAGGCAUGAGGUUAAACUUUUUGUAUAUUUGAUUCUAACCGACAAAAAUGCAAAAAUGGUCCCUAUGGUUUGUCAUUUUUUGUGGAUAUGGUCCAAACCUUUUAAAAAUUGGAUUUCUGGUCCUUAUUGAAAGGUUUGUUUGUGGAACAAGUCCCUGGGGUUAACAGCCGUUUGUUUGUGGCUGUUAAACCCCUCACGUGCAUUGCACACGAGGGCAUAAAUGUCAUUUUACUUGAGGGACCAUUUUUACAAUUCCUGAAAUAAUAUAUAAAGACUUCCCCAACGUUCUUCCCCAACGUUCAAGUUAUUCCCCAAACGUUGUUCUGCAACUUUCAAGUUGUUCUUCCUUCUCUCAUCUCAUGGACACCGAAGAACCCAGGCAGAUGUUUCUAUGCUUGCCCUCAAAAGGUAAAGAAAUUCGUUUGCACCCAUUUUGAUAUGUAAUCAAAUAACAUUUGUUAUUUUCCCCUUUUUGAAGGAUUCUGCUUGUCGCUUCAUCGGAUGGGUUGAUCCCCCUAUGUGUGAAAGGUCUAAAGUCAUUAUUCCUGGACUAUUGAGAAAUAUUAACCGAAUGCAAGCUUGGUGCACAGCUCUAAAGAUCAUGUUGCUGGCUAGAUGGGUGUUUUUUGUGAUUUUGUUCAUAAGGUCUGUUUAGGUUUAGGUAAUAGGUCAAUGGGGUGGGUUUUUAUUUGUUGAAGAUCGAUAAAAGUGUGGUUUUUUGGUGAAUUAAUGGUUUUUGGUACUUUGACCUAGGUUCUUUGUAGUUGUUUGUAAGGUCAAAGUAAGUUGUGUAUGUAGUAAAUGACUUCCUGGUAUAAAUAUGAAUUUUAUGGAAUUGCUUAUGUUGUUUGUAAGGUUCUUUGUAGUUUUUGUAAGGUGAAAGAAAGGUUAAUGUGAAUAAUUGACUAUAAUGGUUAUAAUAAACAACAAUAACAAAAAACCAUAAUAACCAAGGCUGCAAUUACAUAAUAGACUACAAGCAUAUAGUGCAAUUACAUUAUCCCAAAAUAUGCAACCAUAUAUAUAUGUUCUAAUACUUAUCAUACUAAUGAAAACCAAAAUAACCAUAAGUCAUAAGUUUUUUAACAUCAAAACACUUCCAAAAGUAGCAAAUAACAUCUGCCAAAACAAACACAACCUUGAUCUUCAACUUCCACGUAACUUCCACCUCCUUGACCUUUGCAUGUCCUUGAUUUGUGACCUUUGUUUUUGCAUUUUGCACAUGUUACACUGACAUAUUUCCUUGUUAAUUUCUGAACUCCAUCAGGACCCACUUUACAGCCUUCUUCCUGACAUACACCAUGAGUACCAGUCUGACUUUGACUCCCUCUUUGACUCUGACUCAAUUUUUCAUCCUCACUUUUCUUCCUCUUCUUUGUAGGCCUACCUGGUUGCUUAUGAUGUAUUGGAGGGAUAAGUGUGGUGGGACACAAACUUUUAGGCCACAUUAUUCUUCCUUUUAUGGGCUCUACCUUAUAGGAAUAUGCAUUCUUCCAUGUAUCCAACCAGUAUACCUUAUUGACCCACCUGUAAAUGUCACCAACAUCCUCUGAGUUCUUGGUCAUUUCAUAAAGGGUUGCAAUGGCAUGUUUACAUGGGAUGCCUAUUAGCUCCCACUUUCUGCAAGUACAUGUGUUGUUCCUAACAUCUACAACAUGUUGGUCUUGCCAUGCCCCAGUGACUUGGUAUUUCUCACCCCCAUUCCACCUAGCAAUGUAAUGUGAUGCAUGAGACUUGUUUACAUCCAAUAUGGUUGUUGCAGUGGGUGUUAAAGGCCCUUUUGCCUUAUCCAUCACGUUCAUAACAUUACAGAUUCUCUUCAUCAGGUAUUGUCUAGUAUACUCCAAACAACCUAUGAUUGGCUUAUCUCUUCCCUCUAUUAUCUUGCUGUUAAAUACCUCACAAAGGUUGUUUAACAGUAUAUCAGAGAUUGCUCUGCCUGUUAAAAAAAUUAACAUAUUGUUUUAAGUACAAGUACACAUUUAACAUAUAGUAAUUUAUGGUAAUUUAUGUACCUGUAAAAUGGCUUCUUGCCCAGUGUUUUGGAGGAAUCUUUCUAAGCCAUUCACAUGCCUCCUUGUCAUAGUUGCUAAAUUCUUUCAUGCAAUGUUCAAAUUCAGGUACAGUGGUUGCAGUUGCACAUCUCCAUAAAUGAUCCUUGUACUCUUUCAAUUUCCAUUUCACUCUCAUGUUCUGAUGUAUGUGCCUGAGACAAUACCUGUGCUCAGCACAUGGGAAUAGUUGGGCUAUUGCUGGUAUUAAACCCUAUAACAAUAACAAUAAUUAAGUAUUUAGUUUAUAUAAUAAUAAGUAAUUAAUAAUACAAGUUAGAAAGAGAUACCUUUUGUCGAUCUGUGAUAAAAGUAAAGUUAGAGUUUGAACCAAGAUCCAAGUCUUCUCCUAAACACUGCAAGAACCAUACCCAACUACUUUUGUUCUCUGUCUCAACAAUGGCAUAAGCAAGGGGGUAAAUACCAUUGUUAGAGUCCAACCCAACUGCUGUUAGAACCUGUCCAGGAAAUGGUCCUUUCAUAUGUGCACCAUCGAAACCCAAAAGAUCCCUGAGGCCAGCCUUAAAACCUUUUUUCAGGGGACCUAAGCAAAUGUAGAUUCUUUUAAACCUCCUCGUUGGGUUUGAUGGGUUUUGUUCACUGUAAACAUCAAUCUUGACAGUUGUGUCAACAUUGGUUGCUUGCAAUUCAAGGACAUAGUCCCUCAAGAUCUCAUAUUGUUUUGUAUAGUCACCCUCCACGAUCUUAGUUGCAAUAUCCUUGGCCCUGAAUACUUUGUCAAUAGAAACACCAACCUCGAAGUCCUUUUGAAGUUGUUCCUGCAAUGCUCGAAGAGGAAUCCUUGGAUUCGUGUCGAUUUGGUCCAUGAUUCUCUUGGAUAUAAAAGUAGCAGUGUAAGCUCUAAUCUUCCUACUUUGAAGGCAAGUAUGGUUGUCAUUUAAUGUCCUUACAAACCAGGGAGAUUCUGUGUUUGACCUAGAAGCAUGAAGGAACCAACUACAGUUUACUUUUUCUGAAUUUACCUCUUUGCCCUUGCUUUUAUUUUUGGUAUUAAGGCCCACCACCCCACUUGCAUUGAUGACAGGGACUACACCUCUACACAAUGCCCGAAGUCUAAGCUUGUCAUUCUUUUUAUAAUAUAAAUUCCUCCUAGUUUCUAGUGCGUGCAUGUCAAUUUUUUCUUUCAAUUCUUUCUUUGAUUUAAACUUUUGCCCAACAUAAAAACUGGCCUUAUGGAUAUUGCCAAGACUGCAUCUUUUCUCCUUAGCCAGAUUUUUAAGAACACAUCUUCUUUUCCUUUCAUCUUCUGACCCUUCAUCUAAAGAAUCCCAUCUAUCAUUGUCAAUGACUUCUAUGUCCUCAUGUUCAUCAUUUGUCCCAACCCCGUUAUGAAACCCAUCCAUUUGAACACAACCAUAAUCCUUAUCAAGAUUGAGGUUAAAGUCAGUCAUAUCCACCUCCACUUCUGAUACAUUGUUUUCAUCAUCAACAAGUUCAUCAUAUUGUUCUUCUGAUUGUUGCCCAAGAUCAUCACUGUCAGCAGACUUUUCAUGUUCAGACUGAUGGUCUUCAACAUUCUCAUCUUCUGGUGGUUGAUAAUGUUCUCCAUCAAAAGGAUCAAAGUGAUCAUGAGAAAAGUUCUCAUAAUGAAAGUCAUCAUAAUCAAAGUUAUCAUGGUCACCACCUUGAUCUUGUACCACAUCAUCCAUGUUAGCAUGCUCAACCUCUUGAUCUUGAACCACAUCAUCCAUGUUAGCAUGCUCACCAGCUUGAUCUUGUACCAUAUCAUCUAAUUUAGGAUUCUCACUACCUUGAUCUUGUACAACAUCAUCCAAUUUAGCAUGAUCACCACCUUGAUCUUCUACUACAUCAUCCAAUUCAACUAAACAAAGUUUUUUGGCACAAGAACUUUGACCAACUAUUGAGUUCACCCUUACAUUUCUUCUAUACUGUGGUGAAACUUCUGUAGGGACUUUGUCAUAGAGUAUCAAGGACAUAUACCCUGCCAACUGUGUUUGAUCAUCAGCUUCAUCUAUCAUUGGGGUUUUAUGCUUUGCUGGUAUUUGAGGUACAUUUGCUUCUUUUGGAAGAUCACCAUCACAGAGCUCCUUAAUAAUAACUUUUUGCUUUCCUUUUGGAGACAUAAAAUAGGUCAGCAAAUUAGUUUGUCCAUGUUCUGUAUACACUUCAAUGACCUUGUUAUCUCCAAUAUACUGAGCCAAAUUCAAGACAUCAUCAUCAUUCCCUAAAGCUCUGAGGCCAAAAUCCAAGUCUUCAUGAGGAAUCCUAAAAUGGUAAUAUAUUACUGGGGGUACAGAGUAACCUAGCUCAACCAUCAUUGCGUCUAGUUCAUGAACUGAGAACUCAUCAAUGUCUACUAAAUCAAUAUAUCUCACUUCACCUUUAACAUAUUUCGUGUUUGGAAGCUUCGUAAAAUUUCCACCAUGGUGUAGCUUUAUGCUGAACAUUGUUGGUACACGCUCUACAAGAUACAAAAAACAUUAAGUAACAAAUUAUCAGAUGUUUGCAUUUUUGGCUUAAUUCUUCAGAUCAUCAAGAAACCUAACAAAAUUUCGUAAACAGAGGAUAACUGAAACUAACCAUAUUCAUUUGUGAUGUCAUACGUCUCGCCUUUUGGCCUAAUCGCCCACAUUACGAACACCAUUUACAGUUGAAAAGCAANUUCAGUUGCUCAUUUAUUUCAGAAUCAUUGAUGCAGAAAACCGAUACUAAUUACGUUUUCCAUUGCGAAAUAUAAUGGAAGUGCCAAAGUAUGAUAUCUAAUGGAUUUACCAUUACACCAUUACUAAACAGGUUGUUCGUUUCAAACAAAAUUGAUUUGUAUCAAACUAACUUUUUUUCCAUAAUGGUCCGGUUCGGUUUCCAAUUUUUUUAGUGUACCUUUAAUUUUCAUUGUGUUUUUUAAUGCUACGAAUGUAUGAUUUUUUUAGGAUAUAUUAUUUCAUACAAAACAGGGGAAAUGGCCACCCAUGGUGCUGGUGGCAAAUAUAUUGAUAUGGGGGAUUUAAAAACUCCAACCAAAUUACAUUACAUUACAUACUGGAAAAUAAGAAAUCAAAAAUAAAAACUAGAUGACAAACUAUGUGUGUCUAGCCUUUUGCAAACUUGAAAUGAACACAACCACUUUCACAUAAACCCAAUCUUUGAAGCUGUCAUAAAAUUGAAAAAAUGCACGUCUCCCUCNUUUACAGUUGAAAAGCAAAAACAAGUAAACACCUUGGACCAAAUCUUGAUUAGGGUUUUUGCGUUAAAAACGAAUGACGAAGAAGAUGGAAGUGGAAGAGAUAACUAAAUAUUUUGUGAUUUUGUGUGUAAUAUGGUGCUAAGACGGUAACAAGCGGGUUUAUUUCAGGAAUUGUAAAAAUGGUCCCUCAAGUAAAAUGACAUUUAUGCCCUCGUAUGCAAUGCACGUGAGGGGUUUAACAGCCACAAACAAACGGCUGUUAACCCCAGGGACUUGUUCCACAAACAAACCUUUCAAUAAGGACCAGAAAUCCAAUUUUUAAAAGGUUUGGACCAUAUCCACGAAAAAUGACAAACCACAGGGACCAUUUUUGCAUUUUUGUCAUUCUAACCAUAUGGUGCUAAUAUGACGUUCAUGUGGACUUGCUCUUUUAUUUAAUUCUUAUUUUAUUAAAUGUUAAAUUUAUUUUAAUCUAAAAGAAUAAUUAAUAUGUAUAUUUUUAUUUAUUGAAAACCUUAGAGUGAUAUUAUGGGCAAAAAGUGCAAGCUCAAACGGUACCUAUUACAUUUUAUUCUCAACCUUUUCUUUCUAAAACAACUUGUUCAUCUAUAGUCAUCUUGGGGUCAUGUGUUGCAGAUACAAUAGAGGCCAUUUGUUGCAGAUACAAUAGAGAACUCAAUAAUAGAAAUGAUAAACUAGAGUAAAUUAAGCUUUCAAUUUCCAUUUAUAACUUUUCUUAUUGGGGUGNCUAAACAGGUUGUUCGUUUCAAACAAAAUUGAUUUGUAUCAAACUAUUUUUUUUCCACAAUGGUCCGGUUCGGUUUCCAAUUUUUUUAGUGUGCCUCUAAUUUUCAUUGUGUUUUUUUAUGCUAGAAUGUAUGAUUUUUUUAGGAUAUAUUAUUUCAUACAAAACAGGGAAAAUGGCCACCCAUGGUGUUGGUGGCAAAUAUAUUGAUAUGGGGGAUUUAAAAACUCCAACCAAAUUACAUUACAUUACAUACUGGAAAAUAAGAAAUCAAAAAUAAAAACUAGAUGACAAACUACGUGUGUCUAGCCUUUUGCAAACUUGAAACGAACACAACCACUUUCACAUAAACCCAAUCUUUGAAGCUGUCAUAAAAUUGAAAAAAUGCACGUCUCCCUCGACGGUUGAGAAGUAAAGCGCCACAUGCUAUCCAAAAUCCAGUAGCAAAACCAAUGCCCACACCAGUAUAAAACCAUCCCCAGAGUUCAUCAUUUGUGUCUUCCCCAUCACCCUCACCUUUACCAAUAAGAGGUGGUACUUUUGAUUCUUCAUCUAGAGGACAACUUUUGGUAAGAGGAGGUCCACAUAGACAUGCAUUUCCAUUGUAUCUUGAUGGUUGAAAGGAUUGGAGUUGAGUGCUGGUUGGGAUUCUUCCAGACAAGUUAUUAAAUGACAAAUCUAGGUCAUUCAAUAAACUCAUCUGAGACAUGCUUGAUGGUAUCCUCCCUGAUAAAUUGUUUCUGGAUAAAUCCACCGUUAGAAGCUUUUUCAUCUCACCAAUAUGCUGUGGAAUCUCUCCAGAUAGAGCAUUCAUUGAAAAAUUCAGGGCAAUCAAAUCUGAAAGAUUGGUAAUUUGAUAUGGGAUUUGUCCUGUUAAGUUGUUGCUUGACAGGUCAAUGCUCUUCACCAAUUUCAGAGUACUUAAGAAUUCAUGUUCACCUCCUUGCCACUGAAUCAUUGCAUGGUCAACAUAUAUCCCUGAUGCAUAUACAAUAUUGUUUAUACUUGUUUGAAAGUAUACAUCUUGUAAGACUCCUCCUUGGUGAACCAUGCUCGUAAGAUUACUCAAACAUGAGGGGAUGGUUCCAUGAAGAUUUCUCAUCGACAGGUCUACAAUUUGAAGAUUACCUAACUGACAUAACUGUAAAGGGAUGGUUCCAAUGAAGUUGUUUGAUUUUGAUAACAACANNNNNNNNNNNNNNNNNNNNNNNNNNNNNNNNNNNNNNNNNNAAACUUGUUGGCCCCCAAAUUCAACGAGAUUAAACCCGUGCAAUUUUUUAAGGACAAAGGCAAUUCUCCAGAGAAGUUGUUCUUGUAUAAAUACAACACCUGGAGUUGUAUCAAAGAUCCAACAGAGGGAGGAAUCCGUCCAAAGAGAUUGUUGUGUCCAAGAUUAAGAACUUGUAGUCCUUUGAAACGCCACAAACAGUCCGGGAGUUGUCCGAUUAAUGAGUUAUGAGAGAGGUCAAGAAAUGAUAAGAACCCAUCAACAAUUUGGCAUACAAAUGAGAUUCCCCCAGAAAAUUUGUUUCUGGAAAUAUUUAAUGAGAACAAGGUGGAAGGAACAUUCGGUAUUGGACCAUAAAAGUUGUUGGAACUCAAAUCUAUCUCUGAAUAUUUGGCAAAAUUUGAUGAUAAAUCUGGUACUUUCCCGCUAAUGUUGUUGGAAGAGAGAUUCAGAUAUUCUAAUUGAGAAGGCCACAUGUCCCAAAACUCCAGAGGAAUUGUGUCUGAAAUUCCAGUAUUGGAAAGAUCAAGACGGGUAAGAUUUUUGAGGUCUGAAUCCAUUUGGGGAAGCGAGGCCCUACCUUGCAAGAGCUCAGAUCAAGAUACUGAAAAUAAGAGAUGUUUGACAAGUGAUCUGGGGAAGGAACUGUAAGAUUAUUAGAAGAAAGGUAAAGAGUUCGGAGCCUGGGUAGUUCCCACAGUUUCUCACUUAUACUUCCAUUUAAGUGAUUAUGAGACAGGUCCAAAAGCUUUAGGGAUGAAAACUUUUGGAUCUCAUCGGACAAUGAUCCUAUAAAUUGGCUAUGAGAAGCAUCCAACCAUUGUAAUGAAAGGGAUGUGCAUCCAGACAAGUUGUUGAGAAAAUCAGGAAAUUUGACAGCAGCAGAGUUGUUGUAGAAGGAUAAAAUUUCCAGACUACAGAGGUUACCAAGAUAUUUGGGUAUCCCAUCUAACAUAUUGUCAUAGAGAUAAAGUCCAUUAAGCUUAUCGCUGGUUAAUGGGAGCAACCAACGAUACAUGGAUGAUGUGAGAUUGUUGUCACUGAGAUAAAGGGUAUGAAUAGAUGAAGAAGAAGAAGAGUUGAGAAAAGAAGAAUAUGGAUACAUGACCUGUGACAGCUCACAUCUCCCUAAACUUAAACUCAACAGUUCUGGGAGACUCGAAAUUACACCUACCCAAUUAUUUGCAUUCGCAAGGGAAAUCCCAUCCAUUCUCAGAUCCUCCAAAUGAGAGAGAUGAGACAACCACUCUACCUUUUCAACUCUACACCUUCCAGCAGAAUCAAGAUGAAGGUAUUGCAAGUUGGUGAGGUUUCCAAACUGUGAAGGAAUGGUUCCAUAAAGAGAGUUACUGGAAAGGGAAAGGUACCUUAACUGGGUCAAGUAACCAAUGGACCUGGGAAUAGCUCCAUGAAAAGAAUUGUAAGAAAGGGAAAGGUACCUUAAUCGAGUCAAAGAACCAAUGAAAGUGGGAAUGGUUCCAUUGAAAAAAUUGAAGGAAAGAUCAAGAUGAUUCAAGUAGGUUAAGUUAAGCAAGGAAUGGCUAAUCUCACCUCCAAGACCAUCCUGUGAAAAGAAGUUGUUGAGUUCAAGCUUUGUGACAUGACCAGUUUGGUUGCUGCACUCAACUCCACUCCAUUUACAGCAGUCAUGUUGGUCAGAUCUCCAUGUAGAGAGAGUAUCAUAAGUGUCGUGAAGGGGAGCUUUGAAGAGAAGGAGCGCAAGUCUCUCAUUAUCCAAACACUUUUUCAUAUUAACACCAUUUCUAUCAUCUCCUCCUUCUCCCACUGCUACCAAUUGGCUGGUAGUUGCAGUCACAAGGAGUACCAAGAAAAGUGAGAAAACUAUAGAAGCACAAAGAUUCAUAAUUUAAUUAAAAAUGAAAAUCUUGGUGAUUUUUGGUUUGUAAUGAUGCCUGCCUAUAUGAACUGCACCCGUGAGUGUUUAUAUAGUCUCAACUGUGAGCAUAACUGAUUCUAAACGGGUGGCCUUGAAUUAAUUGUGUCGGGGAUACAAUAUUUAAUUCCCAUGAAAUUAGAACCAAACUAUAAGAAAAAAUCAAAGAUGAAGAUUUGAAAUAAAUGUCUCAAAUUAGUCGUUCAAAGACUUGCAAGUCUUGACUAUUUGCAUAUAUUAUCUAUAUCUUAUCCGAUCUUUGUGAUAUUUUCAAAGACUUUUAAGUGAUGUUGACCAUAACCUGUAUUAAAUACAAACAUAUAAGAAUGUAAACGCAAACAUUGAACUGACCCCCAAUUUAAUAACAACUAUUUCAUAAAUCUAGUAUUCUCAUUCCAUUGUUAAACAAUUUCUGUUUAUGCUAUCCUAAGAGUAUUUUUAUGAAAUCAAUUAGAAAAGUUUUAGCAGAAACAUAUAUCUAAUUUAUCAUAUCAAUUAAUUCAAAAUUUUCGAACAGAAACAUAAACCCACUAUUCAACAGAAACGANAAAAAAAAAAAAAAAAAAAAAAAAACGUUAUAAAAAAAAAAAAAAAAAAAAAAAAAAAAAAAUAGAGAACAGGGAUGAAGAGAGAAAUGCGUUGAGUUUAGUGAUGGCCAAUUAUUUACCAGACGGAAAACCAAGAAGAUGACAACGGUAGCAAAAAAAACAUAUUUAAAAGAAUAAUAAAGAUUGUAUACAAGUUACAUUUUGUUGGAAGUCAUUUAUACAUAAACAUAUUUUUAUAAAGAAAAGAAUAAUUUAGCAAAAAAAAUACAAUAUUUUAGUUCGAUUUAUUAAACCGUUUAUUAAUAAAUUUUGUUUCUAUAAUAAAAAUAAUGUGUAGUUCGGUUAGUCAAAAAAAGUUAAAUACCUUGCUCAUUAACAACAAUAUUAUACUUAACUUGGCUCAAAUUUAAAAGUGAGUUUUGGAUGUAUUCAAGGGCACUUUAUUUUGUUUUUCUCUCGGGCCCCAAAUAUGUAUGUACCGACUUUGGUCAAAACAUAAAUCAUAAAGCUUAUAAAAUACUUUUUUCUUACAAUACAUUUUGGUAUGUGCAUAUUUAAUCAUGUAUUUUGUGCAUAUUUAUAAUACUUUUAGUUACAAUUAUGCUUAUUUUGGGACACAAGGUACUUAUUAUGUUUAAAAUAUGUUUUGUAGUAGCAAAUACAUGUUCGGUAUGAAAAGAUAGAAACCGAGAAGUUGGAAGUAAGAAAAAUUGGGCAAAGUUAAAAAGAAGACAAAUAAUUCAUGAAGUCUGAAGCCCACGACAUGGUCACUCUAUUCCACGUCGUGGUAAAUGGAAGAUUCACGAUCAAUGAUCUAACUUGGAAAAUACGGGAUUUAACAGAAGACCACAACCUGGUGCCUAUUCACCAUGCUAUAGAGAUCAAGUUUAUGGAAACUAUAUAUAUUCGAACAUUAGAUCGAAUGUAGAGACUUUUGCCCAAUUUUCUGAGAGGGAUUACGACUAAAACCCUCUGGAAAACCUUGGGAAAACUAGGAAUCAAUUGGAGCUCAAGAGUUGAAGAGAUCUAGACGAAAUCAACAUAGAUCUAUUAAGUUUGCUAGCAUUACUCAUGUCUAGUCUUAAUUACAUUGAUUUAGUCUGCUUUUCUAUUGUGAUGAGAGGAUAAAAACCUUAUACUUCUAUUUGGUAAAGAUGAACCCAAAUCUUAUGUGUUGAUUUCAAUUUACGGAUGUUUUACAUUGAUUUUACUUAUGUUUGAUAAUCAAAACCCUAGCAUGUUUUAGUUCUAGUAUUUGAAUGCCUUGCUUUGACUUUAGUGUAGUAGAUGAUCAUUCUAGUGAUUUAUGAUCACUAAAUUGCUAGAGCUAGGAUUAAUCACAUCUUAGAUUAGGUAAUUAAAGCUAGUAACUUUAAAUUUGUUAGAGGGCAUAAUAAAUCUUAAAUUGUGCUUGCUUGCUUAACUUGAUCAUAGCAAAGUAACUAUUAGAUUUAUCAUUCAUAGUCCAAUUUGUGCUUAUAUCAAUUUUUUGUUUAACCUAUGCUUGAUCAUUGCAUAGUAAUUCAUAAAUUGGCACAUCUUUGCAUUUGAUCAUAAUAACUAGUAAAUUAAUGAAUUGGUAUGUCCUGGUAGCAUGUGUUUGCACCAUAAUUCAUUGACAAAGCAUUGCGAAGUCUCAUCAGCUUAUGGUUUUAUAUGCUGAAUCAAUAACUACUUUUAUUAGACGAAUUGGGAGAAGAAUGGUAUGAUACAUGUAAUACACUCUAGUGUUUUGUUGUACCCAUUGACAUAGAGUUUCCAAGCUCUCAUCAACAUUUGUUAUUAAAUGUUGAAUCAUAAAACUUUAAACAAGAAAAUUGGGUAAGAAUGGAUUGAUGUGUGUGAUAGUAUAUGGUAUAUAGACUAACCAUCGGCAUAAAUGUGUCAAGAUCUCAUCAGUGUAUGGUCUUUUAUACUGAAUCAUAAACUUUAAAGAAGAAAAUAGGGCGAGAAUGGAUUGGUGCGUGUGAUAGCCUAACGUACAUAAACUAACCAUCGACAUAAUUUUUUUCAAGCUCUCAAUAGUGUAUGGUAUUUUACGCUGAACUACGAAACUUCAAAGAAGAAAAUCAGGGCAAGAGUGGGUUGAUGUGUAUGAUAAACAACAGUACAUAGUUUAACCUGUUGGAUUAGGUGUCUAAACUCAUAACUAUAAUUGGGAUGUACUUGACCCGAUAGUAGCAUAGUCCUUUUGGGUUGCCUUCACCAUAGCAAUUUGAUAGGAUGAAUUAUGAAGAAAAAGGUUAACUAUGAUUUAUUAUUAUAUUAUAAGAAUAAUAUAUGAAUUGAGAAAUCAUAUUAUUUAAUUAGUAUUUAUCAUAAAUUAAUUUGGAAUUAAUUUAUUGAUCGAAAGAGACUGAUUAAAUUGAUGGGGACUAAUUAUGUAAAUCAAUGAUAGUUGUAAUUUGGGCUAAUGUAUCCUAUUCCCAUCGGAUGGACGAAAAUAUAUGGGAAGCCCAUAGAAUUUCAUCUAAGGCAUGCCAUAUAGGGAUCCAUAUGUUGCUUAGGGCAUAAACAAGGGAAUUAGGGUUUCUAAGUCGUAAACCCUAGGAGCCACAGCUAUAAAAGGAACUCUAUGGCUCACAAAAUUGGACCCUGUGAUUUCAUAAGAAACCUUAACCGAUUUUGAGGCUUCCUUCUCUCUCUCUUGUUCUUCCUUGUUGCUAGUGGUGUUUGUGAUUCCGUUCGAGGUGCAACAUUUGAGGCACUAAGCUCUUAAAGGUCAAGAUCAAAUCAACAACAAGAAAGGUAUUCUUCUAACCCUAAUUUGAAUAUAAUUUCAUUCUUAUAAAUGCUAGAUUAGGGUUCUUGCUUUGGAAUUUUAAUUUGCAUGUAUAACUUGAGAAAAGCCUAGAUUCAAAGCAUUAGGGUUGCAUGUACACCAUAGGAAUGUUGUAGUGCUCAAAACCCAUCAGUGGUAUCAAAGCUUAGGCUGUUUUUCUGUUGUAUGAUGCAAUUGUAAUGUUUUCAAGGCUGAAAAAGUUUCGUUUUUGGCCACUGGCUGCUGGACUUGACGGGUCCCAUGAAGGAACUCGAUGAGUUCAUGCCCUGACUCGACGAGUUGGUUCGUCUGGUGGCAGGAUUUUUGGAGUUUUGGCCUAAAUUAGAUUUGGAUAAUUACCAUAAAUUGUUUUUAUUGGUUAAAUUCAAAUUAUAUAAUUUGGUAAUGGAUAUCCUCAUCUAAUUAAAAGGUAAUUGUCAAAUUUUAAGAUAAUUACAAGAUUAUGUGAUAAAUUAAUUAUUUGUAAAUUUUGAUUUGAGUUUUCUUGCCAAAUAAAUUGGAUUAGAUCAUAUUUGUGAUAAUGAUAAAAUUAUAUGAUUAAUUUAAUUGUUUUAAAUUUGAUCUAGAAGUUUUGAAAAGUUUCAAAAUUUGUCCUCAAGUUUUGGAAUUUAAAAUUUGAUUAAAAGUUUUAGUUGUGAAACAUAAAAUUCUAAAACGCUAGCAUUUUAAAUGGUUAAAAUACUCAUAAUUUAAAUUUACAAUUGAAGGUUUUAAUUUUGGAAAUUUAAAAUGGACACAAGUAGAAUGAAUAAUUAUGGAUUUAUUGAUAAACAAUUAAAAGAUUAAUUAAGAAAGUAAUAAUAAAUCCAUAAUAACAUGGUUUAAACUUUUAAUUGACUUGAAAUUCUAAUUUAUUUAAAAGAUUAAACCACCAAGUAUUUUAAAAGUUUAAAAUACACCCUUGUACUAUUGUAAGAUUAAAAGUUUAAUUUAUAUAUANUAUAUAUAUAUAUAAGUAAAGUCAGUCUUACUGUUAGUAGGCGUCAUUCACGAAAUUGGUCUAUAAGGGGUGUUUAAGGAAGCAGCCUGUAAAAUGACCGCCAUUGGGUAUCCACUCUUACCCACCGCACUCUUGACUAAUGGAGCGUCGUUAGCCGAAUGGUUAGGAUAGGACAUUCUCAUUAAUAAGUAUAAUGAAAUAGAAAGUAACUAAACAUUUUAUAAAUUCUCAAUCUCAGUUACUUUAGGAAAAAUGUGAAUUUAAUGCUAACCCAUGAAAUUACACAUUGCACUUUAUUGGUCGUUAGUGGAGUGUGCGUGGUUAACUGGCACACUAAUAUGAGACUAAUGAAGGAUUGGAAUGGGCAACUCGUAGAUUAUCAUAUAUCAAUGGAGUGUGUGCGGUUAACCUGCACAUUGAUUCGGUGAUAAAUGACUUUGAGAUUACAAUUUAUACCAAAAUGCCAACAAUGUGGCUAAAUAUUGACAUCAUCUUAUGUAUAGAUGAUAGAUAACAAAAGUUAAAUACUAGACAAAUUAACAAUCUUGAAAACCCCAUUUUUAUUUUGAGAGAAGUGUUCUUAUAAGAUUGGACUGUGAUGUUCUAUCACCAAAUGACAUUUUUUUGUAACUCUUGACUUUCAUGGUUUCAACUUUAGAACCGCACCACCCAUCUCCAUCUUUUCAUUUUCUUAUGAUAAUAUGAUCGGACUCCGAGUGUUUGCCUUUUCACACAAGGCUUGAGAACCUAAAAGAUAGUUUGCAACCUUUUAUUCACCACAUUAAUAGCAAGUAGGAUAUCAUACAUGGUAAAAUCUUAAGACUAUCUACAAUAGCACUAACCAAACAUCCCGCUUCACUCUCUAAUUUUGAAUGAUCACAAAAUGUUCGUAAUUCACAGCCUUGGAUAAAGAUUUCACAGUAAAAUCUGGAACGUUAGUAAGUAUGUUUUAGGAGAACUUAGAAAAAUAUGCAAGUUCAAAUGGUAUUUAUAACCUUUUAUUCUCAACCGUUUCUUUCUUGAAAAACUUAUUCAUCUGGAUGACUGUAGUCAUCCAAGUGCCAUGUGCUGCAAAUACAAGAAACAACUUGGUAAUAGAAACUAUAAACUCAGGAGUAAAUUACACUUUCAAUUUCCAUUUUUUUGGGGGGUUAAUGGUAAUUCUCGGUUGCUCAUUCAGUUUUGAAUCACUGAUGCAAAAAGCUGAUUCUAACCAUGUUUUCCAUUACACUUUCAAUUUCCAUUUUUUUGGGGGGUUAAUGGAUUCUCAGUUACCAAACAUUACCAAACAGGCGGUUCGUUUUCAAACCAAAUCGAUUUGUAUCAACAACUGUUUUUUUUUCUAGACUGGUCUGGUUUGGUUUAUGAUUUUCUAGUGCACCUCUAAUUUUCAUCUUGUUUUUACAUGCUACGAAUGUAUGAUUUUUUUAGGAUAUCUUAUUUCAUACAAAACAGGGGAAAUGGCCACCCAUGGUGUUGGUGGCAAAUAUAUUGAUAUGGGGGAUUUAAAAACCCCAACCAAAUUACAUUACAUUACAUAUUAGGAAAUAAGAAAUCAAAAAUAAAAAAUUAAACGACAAACUACGCCUAUCUACUCUUUUGGAAACUUGAAACGAACACAACCACCUUGACAUAAACCCAAUCUUUGAAGCUGUCAUAAAACUGAAAAAAUGCACGUCUCCCUCGACGGUUGAGAAUUAAAGCGCCACAUGCCAUCCAAAAGCCAGUAGCAAAACCCAUGCCCCCACCAAUAUAAAACCAUCUCUCAACUUCAUCAUCUAUGUCUUCCACAUCACCCUCACCUUUACCAAUAAGAGGUGGUACUUCUGGUUCUUCAUCUCCAGGACAAUAUUUAGUAAGGGGAGGUCCGCAUAGUCCUUUGUUUCCAUUGUAUCUUGAAGGUUCAAAGGAUUGGAGUUGAGUGCUGGUUGGGAUUCUCCCUGAAAAGUUAUUGUAAGACACGUCUAUGUAAUUCAGGAAGCUCAUAGUAGACAUGCUUGGUGGUAUCCCUCCCGAAAAACUAUUUCUGGAUAAAUCCAAAAUCUCAAGAUUUUUCAUCUCACCAAUUUUCGGUGGAAUCUCUCCAGAUAACUCGUUCUUUGACAGGUUCAGGGAAACCAGGUCAUGAAGAAUGGUAAUUUCAUUUGGGAUUUGUCCUGUUAAUUUGUUGCUUGACAGGUCAAUGGUCUUCACCAAUUUCAGAGUUCUACUAAAUUCACGUUCAUCUCCAUGCCACUCAAUAGUCGCAUGGUCGGCAUAUGUACGUUGUGUACGUACAUUAUAACUUCUCACAAAUUCAUAAUCAAAUUCACCUUUUGAGAGUCCUCCUUGUUGAACCAUGCUCGUAAGAUUACUCAAACAUGAAGGGAUAGUUCCAUGGAGAUUGUUCAUCGACAAGUCCAGAACUUGAAGAUUAGCUAAAUGGCAUGACUGUAAGGGUAUGGUUCCAAAGAAGUUGUUUGAUCUUAGGAUAAGAACAUACAACCUUGAUAAGUUUUCACCAAUCCAGACAGGCACUUUACCAGAAAACUUGUUGGCCCCCAGAUUCAAAGAGAUUAAACUUGUGCACUUUUUUAAAGACAGAGGCAAUUCUCCAGAGAAGUUGUUCUUGUAUAAAUACAACGCAUUGAGUUGCAUCAAAGAUCGAAUAGAGGGAGGAAGCCUUCCAAAGAGCUUGUUGUGUUCGAGAUUAAGAACUUUUAGCUCCUGGAAAUGCCACAAACAGUCCGGGAGUUGUCCAGUUAAUGAGUUAUGAGAGAGGUCAAGAAAUGAUAAGAACCCAUCAACAGCUUGGCAUAUGAAGGAGAUUCCUCCAGAGAAUUUGUUUCUGGAAAGAUGUAAUCUUGACAAAGAGGAAGAGACAUUUGGUAUCGGACCACGAAAGCUGUUGGAACUCAAAUCUAUCACAAAAAGGUUGGCAAAAUUUGAUAAUAAAUCUGGUACUUUCCCACUAAUGUUGUUGGAAGAGAGAUUCAGAUAUUCUAAUUGAGAAGGCCAGCUGUCCCAAAACUCUAGACGAAUUGUGUCCGAAAUUCCAGUAUUGUAAAGAUCAAGAAAGGUAAGAUUUAUAAGUGUCUGAAUAAUCCAUUUGGGGAAGCGAGGCCCUAGCAGCUUGCAAGAGCUCAGAUCAAGAUAUUUAACAUAAGAGAUGUUUGACAAGUGAUAUGUGGAAGGAACUGUAAGAUUAUUAAAAGAAAGGUCAAGGGU
RNAcentral lists this long non-coding RNA (155796 nucleotides) under Lactuca sativa (garden lettuce). RNAcentral's name for it is "long non-coding RNA (LSAT_LNC006422)". Lineage: Eukaryota; Viridiplantae; Streptophyta; Magnoliopsida; Asterales; Asteraceae. The record is from RNAcentral.